CUCAAGUUUUUUACCUGUAUCUAGAUAAGUUUUAGCAUUCAAUUUAUAGGAAAAUAUUUAGUAUAUUGAUAAUAGAGGUUUUAGACUUCACAACUUGACAAAUUUUUAUCAGUAAAAACUCAUCGGCUAUGCUUCACCCUUUCAAUCUCAUUCCCAUUUAACUGACUCACUUUUUCUUCUUACCAUUACAAAAAUAGAAGCAAAAGCAAAGCUCCCUCAGUUUAUUUUGUUCUCUUUUCCUCAAUCUCACAAUCCACUAUCUGUUUUGCCCUUUGCUCGAUUUCGUAAUCUUCUUCGGGUUUUGCCUAUCGAGAAGAUGAGUGAAUGUUAGAGUAUAGAUAAAGACUCUAUUAGUUUAUUAGUUGUUAGUCUGUUAUACAAGCAGUUAUGCUGUUAACUGAAAUUGUUAGUAGCAAUUACUCAUACACAUAUUAUCAAUACUAUUGUUAUACUGGUUAAAUUCAAGAUAAUAAUACAAAAAUCAUUCUCUGCAUAUUCUAUUUUUCUUUCAACUUAAUGUAGAUAUUAACAUAAAGCAAGGUUGUGCCGUAUGCCUACUUUUUUAUUGUCUUACAUUAUAGAUGUGCUUUUUACUUGCAGAGUUUAAAGCAAGGUAGUAUAAGUCAGCCAAAACCUGGGGAUUAAGCUUUGACUUUUUAAAUAUGCUACUAUGAAGGGAAUGAAGAUGGCAGUGAUCGGUGUAAGAAAAACAGAUGAGGAAACAGAGAGUCAAGAGGGAAUUAAUGGCAGAUCUUUGGAAAGGCCAUUAUGCUUGGAAUUUUAGCUAUUCAAAAAAGAGAGGGAAUGAAGAUGGCAGUGAUCGGCGUAAGAAAAACAGAUGAGGAAAUAGAAAGUCAAGAGGGAAUUAAUGGCAGAUCUUUGGAAAGGCCAUUAUGCUUGGAAUUUUAGCUAUACAAAAAAGAGAGGAAUAAGUAAGCUUCUAAUUUCUUCUACUGAAUUAUUGUCAUAUAUUUGUGGUUAAGCUGAGAUAUUGAGGCUUUAUUGCAACCUGUUAACAGAUUUGGCUUGUUGAUAUCAUUCAACUCUGAUAAUUUUAUAUUGCAUUAUUUACAGAAAUCUGUAGGUGUUUAGCUUAGCUGAACAUGUUAUGCGGCUGCAAUGUGGUGUUUGUGUCUUGAAACAAGCGAUGCGAUUUUCUAUAGCCAUUUGCUGCGUACAGUAAGUCUUCGUUGUGAAUUUACAGUCACUGUUUUGGGAGAAUGAUGUUAAGGGGGUGCUGGAACUCCAGCAAUCGUAAAACGUGGCUGUGAUUCGAGCUAUUAUACUGUGCUUGAAGCUUCGAACUAGAGCAUGACAGUUUCAUUGCGUAUCAAUUCAACCUCAGAUUCUUUGGGGGACGUAUCCGAGCUAAUUAAUUGGUCCAUCAAGUGAAAGAUAUCGAUUUUUGAAAAUGUCUUGCUAAGGCAGCGGCCAAGGAUGGGGUGGAUUGGAUUUUAAUGUUUAUGGAAUGGUAUUUAUUGGCAUUAUACAUUAUGUUGUACUGUUGUUUUUUGUUUACUGUGUUGCUUGUAAGCUGUAACUUUUACACUUGGUUUCCUUUAUUUUAUAUGAUCUUCAAACGAUGUUUAAUCAAAAAUUUUCCACUUGAUUGUAGACUUCAUUGUGUGAAACUUAAUCAAUUUCAUUAGAUUGUAAAAUUAGGUAGUCUUAAGAGUAUAUUGUAAUUUGAUAUUGCUAAUUUUACAUAAAGGUCCAUGGAUAAAUUAUACAUUGCGAAUUCUACAAAUGUUUAAGCUAUGAUAACAAUGUCUAAUUCUUCAUUUUAUCAUUACAAAUUAGCUAGUGAUAGCUGUUGCAAACAAUGUUGUUUGAAUUGGUAAUCAGGGAUUUAGUGAGUAAGAAUUGAGUAUUUUAUUACCCAUAAAUUCAAAACUUGAAUCCUAAACUAUGAUCUAAAACAGAAUUUAUAUUUUAUAGUAUAACAAUGGCAGUCCUUUCAAUGAAAUGCACCAUACUUAAAUAUGGUGGUUAGAAAUUGAGUGGAGCUAAGCUUAAGUUUGCCAUAAAGGGGUCCCAUUUUGUACAUCAAAUAUAAAGACUCAACUGUGUUUAAUGGUCCACAGCCUAUACUUUUGUGUAUACAAAUAUGGAUGUCCAUUUCAUGAUUCCCCUGAAAUUAAGGCACUGUUUUCUUCCACCAUUCAUUCUCUAGGGGUCUUAUCUACUACCCUUUCUGCAUUUAUUGGAGAUAUUUGGCACUAAUGAGCUUUGCAUUUUAGAACAAUAUGUAUGACUGUAAUCUGCAGAUUUUCCAUGAAAUUUCAGCGAAAUUCCUUGUAAUAUAGCUUCGUGGAAAAAAAAGAUGAGAAGAUGACUCUUGACUCUGUUUUGCUACUAUUGAUUUGUUUUUGGUUUUUUUUUUUUCAAUCAAUGAAGGAUGAUAAUAACAAGCUCUUAAAAUUUUAUGGGUAAAUUAUCUCGUUAGUCAUUUUAAAUAGGGGUCAUUCCUAUUUUGGUUGCUCUAAUAUUUUUGUUUAAUUUGGUCAUCCAAAAAGGAAAUUGAUCACUCUUCUGUUAAACAAUAAUGGAAUAUUGAUUGUGUAUUUCCAUAUUAGUCAUGCUGAAAUUUUUAUGAUGGAAGCAAUGUUUUUUUAAAAAAAUUCACGUCAGUAUUUCAAUUGGAAUAAUUAAUAGUAAUAUUUACUUGGAUUAAUUGAUGAUAUUAUUGUAGUAAAGGAUCAAAUUAUUCCAUUUUAAAGUAUAAAAAUAAAAAUCUAAAUUUAGGAAUAAUAAUAGGACCAAACAAAAUUUUAAUUGUAAGGACUAAAUUAUAAAAUCUAGAAAUUUUAGAAAAGGGACUGUUUUGCAAAAUUGUACAAAAAGAGGUUUAGAACUGAACUGUAGAGUAAUAAAAUCUAUUUUUGAGGCAUUAAAUUGUAGAAUAGUAAAAAUUUAGAUUCCAGGGACUAAUUCGUAAAAAUAUAAAAUUGAAAUAUGAUGGACUAUUUUCUUCGACAGUGAAGAGAGCUUUUCUUUUGUUGCUCUGGAAGCUUCCCCUUUUUGUUUCUUCGACGGUGAAGGCAGUCAAUAUAGUCUUAUUAGUUUGGAAAAUCUCUAACGGAAAAAAAAAUUGGUAAGAUAUUUUCCUUGAAAAUGUCUUGAUGUUACAUUUUCUUUCAAGAAUUAUUUCUUUUAGUAAUUCAUUUUCCACCAAACAUAGACGGUAAAACAAUGAAAAUAUUUUACGGAAAACAUUUUCCAUACAAACAAAUAGACCAUUAAUUAGAAAACCAAUUCGAUUCUAUAUUUAAAAUAAAUGUAGGCAAGCAUAUUUGUUCGUAAAAAAUCUAUCGAGACUUUCUAAUCAAUUUUGGUAUUGAGCAAAUUGGAUUCUUUUAAAAAAAAUCGAAGCAAUUUAAAUCCCAUCAGUUUCAAAAGUGAGUAAUUAAGGAUAAUUAAUCACAACAUUGAUGUUUUCCAUCAAAUGUAAAUAAUUUUAAUUGGUAUAAUAACAAAUUUACCCCUCAAAGUUUACAAUUAUAAAACUUGUCUUGAUUUAACAAAUUUAGCCAGCAAUAUUUGUGUAAAUGUUUAUACUAAAUUUGUUGAAUUUUCAGAAUUAAGACCAAAUUAACAAAACAUGCAAACAUGGCUAAAUUUUUUGUUAUACCAAUCAAAAUUAUGUACAAUUGACGAAAAAUAUUAACGUCAUGAAUAAUUGUUCUUGUUGCUCACUUUCGAAAUUAAGAAUUAUUAAAUUACUUUGAUUUUUUUGAAAGGGACCGAUUUAUUCAAUUUCAAAAUUGAAAGAGAUUGGAGAGAUAUUUUUACCCAAACUCACCUUACCUAUGUUCAGAAGAAAGAACUAAACUGGAAACCCCCAAAAGCGCGCACAAAGAAAAUCUAUCAUUGUUUCACCUAAGAAAAAUAGAAACACAACAUCCUUCCUUCCAAAGACUUUUCAUUUAGGGGAAAAGGGUGGCGAUUAUUCUUGAGAAAGUUGUAGGAAACUUAAGUUGAAUUCACCUAAAAUUAUCUAGAAGUGGCAAUUAUUCUUAAGAAAGUUAUACCAAAUUUUAGUUCAAUCGACUCAAAUGACAAAAUGCAUAAGAGUCAAUAUUUUUGUUAGGAAAUUUAUAAGAUAUUUUAUCAUAACCCAAAACGAAAUUCAAGAAUGGUGACAAUUUUUUUUUGAAGUUAUACGUUUAAUUACAAAAUCAAUUAAUAUUUAUUUUUCUUAUAGAUGAUUAUCACAUUAUUUAAAUAAUCUUUUGUACUUUUAUCAUACCCCAAAUAAGUCUUUAAAGUCUAAAUAACCCUUAAUUUUUAACUUGUAUUUAGAUAAGUUUUAGCAUUCAAUUAAUAAGAAAAUAUUUGGCAUAUUGAUAAUGGAGAUUCUAGAUUCCACAAGCGGAGGCGGUAUUAAAAUUUUUAUCAGUAAAAACUCAUCCGCUAUGCUUCACCUUUUCAAUCUCAUUCCCAUUUAAUUGACUCACUUUUUCUUCUUACCAUUACAAAAAUAGAAGCAAAAGCAAAGCUCCCUCAAUUUAUUUUGUUCUCUUUUUCCUCAAUCUCACAAUCCAUACACUUACAUGGCGUCUUCUUCAUCUUCUUCUCGUCAAGUGAAACAUCAAGUUUUCUUGAGCUUCAGAGGUGAAGACACGCGUGUUAACUUCACCGCUCAUCUACUCCAAGCUUUGAAAGACAAGGGAUGGACUGUCUUCUUCGAUGACGAUACACUAAAGAAAGGGGAGAAAAUUUCAUCAGCACUUUCGAAUGCAAUUGCGGCCUCAAUUCUCUCCAUCAUCAUUUUAUCUAAAGACUAUGCUUCUUCAAAUUCAUGCUUAGGUGAACUUUCUGACAUCAUGGAUCGCAAGCGCAAUCCUACUGACAAAUAUAUUGUUCUUCCCAUCUUUUACCAUGUUAAUCCUUCCCAUGUGCAAAAAAUUGGUGGGACUUUUAAGACAUCCUUCCAAAAGCAUGAAUCAAAGCAACCAGCUGAUAGAGUACAACGAUGGAAAUCUGCAUUUCAAGAGGUCGGUGCAUUAAAAGGGUGGCAUAUAGGAGGCAAAUCCGAUAGGUAACAAUAUAUCUAGUCUCAUCUCCUUAUAUUUUACUUAUACGAAUAUCUUUCUUUUGACUCUCGAUUUUUUAACUAUUUUCUAGAUAUGAAACAGAGUACAUUGAAGAUGUGGUUGAAUAUAUUUCAAAAGAGUUGGAUAGCAAUUGUACAAGUGUUUCUGAAGAAUUGGUUGGAAUAAAUGAUCAAAAAAAGAUAAUUUUGGGGCUGAUUGAGCAAGAGCAUAGCCGUGUAAUAGGACUUUGGGGAAUGGGUGGUAUUGGCAAAACUACCCUUGCUGAUGUUGCGUAUAGUGAAAUCUGCCAAAAUUUUGAAAGCCACUUGUUUCUGCGAAAUGUUAGUGAGAAAAUAAAAAAUGUAGGGAAUGAAUCUUUACGAAAUGAACUUUUUUCCAAAUUAUUAAACCAAAAAGGAAUUUGUAUCAACAGCCCUUCCAUAGGACACCCUUACCAAGAGCGGUUGAACAAUAAAAAAGUACUUGUUGUCCUUGAUGAUGUUAGUAACCCAGAUCAAAUAGAAUUUAUGGGUGUUAAACAUUUUGGUCCAGAAAGUAAAAUCAUUGUAACAUCUAGAGAUAGACAGGUACUUAAAAAUGGAAGAGCUAACCACAUAUAUGAGGUGAAGAAGUUGAAUGAGAAUGAUUCUCUUCAACUUUUUUCUACACUUGCAUUUAACUUGUUGACUCCCGCAGCUGAUUUUCAAGAUCUAUCAUGCAAGUUUGCAGGAUAUGCCCAAGGUAAUCCACUUGCACUUAAAGUUUUGGGUUCUAAACUAUAUACAAAGUCUAGAAAAGAGUGGGAGAGCGAAGUGGAUAGUCUAAAGCAAUAUGCCGAGCCAAAAAUGUCACAUAUUUUGAAGAGUAGCUUAGAUGGGUUGCGUGAGCUAGAAAAGAAUAUAUUUCUUGACAUAGCAUGCUUCUUUAAAGGAGAAAAAAUGGAUACUGUAGAAAAAAUUCUAAGUAACUAUUAUAUGGGUGCAAUGAGUGGAAUAAGAAACUUAGUCGACAAGUGCUUACUUGAUAGCAUAGAUUGUUAUUCUAUGCACGACAUGCUUGAAGAGAUCGGCAAGGACAUUGUUCGCCAAGAAUGUAAAGAAGACCCGGGAAAGCGUAGCAGGUUAUGGUUUCCUGAAGACGUAGAUCAAGUGCUCAGAUAUAAUAAAGUAAGCGCUAAUUGUAUUUACAGUGUUUUCUAUUAUUUUAUAUAUUUGUGUUAUUUUAAUUAAAAUUUAUUUGUGAUAUCAUGUAAAUAUAUAAAUUCAGUUAAUUAUAUGUUUUCAUACGUUAAAAGUUUAAUUGUUUGUAUUUAUAUUGUAUCAAAUGUUAAUCAUUUUAAUUAUUAUUUCAAAAAAUAAAAUAUCAGUUUACUUACCAUGCAUACAAAUAAAGACAAAUGUCUUAAGAGUAUAACAUGGGAUCUACUCAAGGAUUUACUGGGUUGGUACUUAUUUAAUGCAUUGCUUUUAAAAAACAGCAAAAUGUAUCUUUAUGUACUGAUACUUGAUAAAAUGUUUUUCAUUAUUAGGGGACCGUAUCAAUUGAAGGAAUAAAAUUAGACAUGUUUCAAAUGGAUGAGCUGCAGUUAUGUCCAUCUGUUUUUCAGAACAUGCUUAAUCUUAAAUAUAUUUGCUUCUAUGAUUCAAAGAUUGAGAAGGGCUAUCGAAAUCCGAAGUUUCUUAUAGAGCAAGUUGAUAGUAUAUCUCUUCCUAAUAAGCUAAGGUACCUUUGUUGGGAUUAUUUUCCCCUUAAAACUUUAUCAAGUUUUAAUCCAAAGAAUCUUGUCAUGUUGAUAUUACGAAGUGGCAAUAUGGAACAACUGUGGAAUGAAAAUGAUCAUAUGGUAUGUGCUUUCAUACUUUCUCCAUCUAAGAAUUUUUUUAAGGAAAAAAAAUUAUAAUUUGAUGUAUCAAAUGAUCAUAUGAUGACAUCUUAUUUAAAGUUUUAAAAAAAAUAAAUAUAAAAGAUUUUAUUUUAUUUAAAUAGGUGACAUCAUUUGAUCUAUUAAUUGUGGGUGAAAUUUCAAGUCCAAUACAUCGGUAUAAGUUUUUGUUUUUCUUAUUAUUAUAAUUAUUUAUUUCCUUUCCAUUUUUUAUUGCCUAAAGUAAGUGGAUGACAUUUAAAUUUUUUUCCUGUACAGAAUCUUGUUAAUUUAAGGGAAAUUGACGUCUCAAAUUGCAAAAAAUUAAGGAAGAUACCUAAUCUUUCAAGAGCCCUCAACCUUGAACUCCUUGAUUGCUCUUACUGUGAAAGUUUGUUUGAACUUCCUUGCCUCAAUCAUUUGGCAUCUCGUGAUGAGGAUAAGCUUCGCCUUGAGGGAUGUUAUAGUCUCAAGAAGUUUCCUCAGGUCCCAAGUCACUUUUGUUAUUUAGAUUUACGAGAAACUGAAAUACAAGAAGUACCUGAUGCAAUUAAGUAUCUCCACAAACUUGAAAGAUUGUUGUUGAGCAAAUCAAAGGUAGAAAAAGUAUCGAUCAAUAUUUCAAAGUUGGAACUCCUUAGUGAAUUGAAUCUUAGUGAAUGCCCAAUGGUCGAAUUUCCAAAAAUCCCGAGGAGCUUAACAUGGUUAGACUUAUCUGGAACUGGAAUUGAAGAAGCUGCCUUGUCGUUAGACUCUUUAAGUAAUCUUCAAUACUUAAAUAUGAGCGGCUCAAGUAUUCAAAAGCUAAUGUGUAAUAUCACCCUGUUCGGUUCCAGAGAGUUUCCAACUGUCGAUUUGCCCACACCAAGCUUGAGGUCUAAAAUCCUUAACCAUAUGAGGAUGGAUCGUUGCGAGAGCCUCAAAUUACUCUCGGAGCUUCCACCAUAUAUGCAAAACUUGAAUGUACAAUGCUGCACAUCAUUAGAAAAAGUUUCCUUUGCAGAUCAAGAUUUAUAUCAGUUCGAUUCGUUAGGUGAUGAUUUGUUUGGCAUGCUAUUCUGUAAUUGCAUCAACUUGAAUCAAGAGUCAAUUGAUAACAUUGAGGAAAAUGCCAUGCUCAAAAUUGGAUCCCUAGCUAAGAAAUGGGCAGCGAGAUAUGAUUGGAAAUACCAGCGAGAAGACUUUCCAAGAUUGAUUUGUUGUUUCCCAGGAAACAAAAUUUCAGCAGAUAAGUUCAAGUGUCAGAGAAUGAAUUCUUCCUUGAGUUUGAAGAUUGCCCCAAAUAGGGGUAGUGGGAGCAGAUUUUUGGUUUUUGCUAUUUGCCUUGUGGCUGAUCUCACUCACUGCCAUCGCUUUAAAUAUCUUAAUUGUAUUUGUGAGUACCACCUUACAGCCGCCGGUGGUGGUGAUUCUAAAAGCUACAUAAGUAAGAUAUCUUUCUUCGAUUGUUCUGAGCCAAAUAAGUACAAGGGUGAUCACGUGUUUAUUCUAUCUAGCAACGACAUGGUUGAAGAAGACAAGAACUAUGAAGAGGCAUCAUUUAAAUUCUACAUCAUCGACAAUGAUGAUGAAGUUAAUGAAGAAGAAGACUAUAACAAGGUGGAAAGAUGUGGUGUUCAUGUAUUUUACGUGGAUGCUACUGAAAAGAGAGUUGCUGGGAACAAAAGAAGCUUUAGCCAUGAUGGUGAAGAAGGGGAUGGAGGACUUAAAAGAUUGAAAUAGUUUGUAUUUCUUUUCAUCUUUGGCUCUGUUUUUGAGGAGUUCCAACUUCUCAAUUAUGUCAUCCAAAUGCAUAGUUAGGGGUUUCAUUUUCAUCUCAUUUUUUCAUAUUAUCAUAAAUCUUCAUGUUAUUUUUCAUAUUGCCAUACUUUUGUUUUCCACAACUGUUAAUAGUAAAUUUUCAACUUAUAAAUUAGUGACAGAAAAUGAAGUGCUUUAAUUAAUUAAAACCAACCAGAAUGAAUCUAACUUGCUCUGCUUUAUAAAUUACUUGUCUUUUAGAAGGUGCUUUGCCAUACUGAAUCCUUGUAGUUCCACAUUGUAAAUGUUAAAAGCAUAAUUUAUGAACAUAAAAUUGGAAAUUUGUUCAAUAGUUUGUGAUAGUUGCUUAUUAUUAUUUUUUCUCAUCUUCAUUCCGCCGUAAUGUCUGUGUUGUUUUGUAGAUAUAGCAUACAUUGUCCAAGAACGAAAUUCUCCAUAUAUAUUAAUUAAUUUGGAGGAAAAUUGAACGGAAACUAGAGAUUUCAACACAGUAGCAAAAUGAUUCUGCUUUGGAGUUGAUAAAAUAUCCAUAGAGGAUUUUGGUGGGUACCAAAACUCAGAUAUUAAAAUUCAUACUUAAUUCUUAUUGACAGUUGACUUGUUUUUGGUUGGUUUUUUUAAUUCAUAGGGCCAAAUGUGGACUCGAUUCAGCUUCAUUGUUUAGUUUCCAGCAUUGGUGUCAUCUGGUAUCUCAAUACUUGCUGCAUUUUCUUCCAUUAGAAAGAUUGGUUAUUUGUGAGAUACGUUUUUCUUAUAUCCUUUGCUUUUGUGUUGAUGUAAGACGAAGGAAUGACAGAUCUUUGUGAAUGCCACUGCUGAAUUGGAGCUUUAGCCAUACAAGGAGGAACACCUGAGCUGUAAGAGCUUCAAUUUGUUUUACUGAAUGCUUGCUUUAUACAAGUGUUUGAACUGAUAUUUGGUGAAAAUGCAAGUUGUCAACAGAGUUGUCUACACAAAUGCAGAGUAAUCUUUUGAGGCCCUUUCUAGGUUCUGGCAAUUCAGUCUUGGUGGAGAAGUAAGUUACCUUUGACUUUGACUUCUUAUUAUGAUUUUAGGUUCAUAUGAUGAUUUUAAGCAUCCUUAAUCUUUUUUUUCCCAUAUUUAUCAAUGGGAUUAUAUAAAUCCAAAAUUUGCAACAGAUCUCAAAACUUGUGAGAUGAACACAUGGAGCUGGAGGCAACCUUUGACAGUUUUCAUUCUCAAGCUAGAUUGAGUUAGUUUCAUGGUAGAGGCAUUGGAGUUUGGGCUGAAAUUUCUUUGUAUGUUACUGCCUCUCAUGUUGUUUGAGCUUUGCAGUGAAGAGAUAUUAAGAUUCAUACUUGAAUUCUUUUUGGCAAUUGACUUGUUAUUGGAUGGUUUUGAUUCAUAGGAUCUGUGGUGGACAUCAUUUAGCUUAAUUUUUUGGGUAUUCGAUUUAUUUGAAUUAUUUGGAUUCUUUGAAUUCGAAAAAUCCUCGAAUUGAACUCGAAAUUUGAAAAAAAAAAUCAAGUUGAGUCAAUUAAUUCGAUUAACUCACUUAACUUGAUUCGAAUAAUUUGAAAUUCGACUUUUUUUUUCAAUGUUUUCGAAUAGAAUCGAAUUUUGCUCAUUCCUACUUGCUAAACAAUUUAGGUGAAUCCUUUUUUAAUUAGAAAACUGAUUCGAUUCUAUGUUUAAAAUAAAUGUAAGCAAGCAUAUUUGUUGGUAAAAGAUCUAUUCAAUCUCUCUCAAUGUUGAUAUUUAGUAAAUUGAUCUCUCUUAAAAAAAUUAGAACAAUUUAAAUUCCAUCAAUUUCGAAAGUGAGCAAUUAAGGUAAAUUAAUCACAACAUUAAUGUUGUCCAUCAAGCGUACAUAAUUUUGAUUGGUAUAAUAACAAAUUUACCCCUUAAAUUUUACAAUUUUGUCUUGAUUUAACAAAUUUAGCCCACAACAUUCGUGUAAAUGUUGAUACUAAAUUUAUUGAUUUUUUAGAACCAAGACCAAAUUGACAAAAAAUGGAAACAUUGAAGGCUAAAUUUAUUGUUAUACCAAUCAAAAUUAUGUACAAUUGACGAAAGACGUUAACAUCACGAUUAAUUGUCCUUAGUUACUCACUUUUAAAAUUAACAAUGAUUAAAUUACUUUAAUUUUUUUUUGAGAGUGACCAAUUUAUUCGAUUCCAAAAUUGAAAGAAACUAAAGAGGUCUUUUUAACCAAACUCACAUUACCUGUGCUCAAAAUAAAGGAUUAAACAGGAAACCCCCAAAGCACAAAGAAAAUCUAUCAUAAUUUUACCUAGGAAAAUAGAAACCCUUCAUUCCAAAGACUUUUCAUUUAGGGGAAAAAAGUGAAAAUUAUAAAGUUUGGGAAAUUUAAGUUCAAUUCACUUAAAAUUGUCUAAAAGUGAUUCUUAUUCUUAAAGAAAAUUAUAUGAGAUUUCAGUUCAAUUGACCCAAAUCACAAAGUGUGUAGAAGUCAAUAUUUUUGUUAGGACCCAAAAAGAAAUUCAAGAAUGGAAAUUUAUUUACUUAACAAUUUUGUGCCAAUGGAAGACCUUGACUUGGAAAUUAACACCCCCCAACAUCAUUGGAACAAUUUUUCUUGUUGAUAAUAAUCUUUAAGACAAAAAUAGCAUCACAUACAUACACAAGAGCUGAGUUACUUGAUUUACAAAUCAAAGUUCCAUAUAUUAAAAUAAAUUUUAAUUAUAAAAAUUUCAAACUUCAAAAAAAAAAAAAGAAAAAAAAAGAGAGAGCAGAGCAAGCAGCACAGUUAAUUUUAUUUGGUUCGAGUUUUUGAUGGUAGGCAGCAGAGUUAAAGGCUUUUGGAGAGAUAGAGUUUGAUUGGUGGUGCGGUUUCUAAGGUCCACACGCACAUUCUUCACUCAUAAAAUUGGCUAUGCUUCACCCUUUCAAUCUCAUUCCCGUUUAAUUGACUCGCUUUUUCUUCUUACCAUUAAAAAGAUAGAAGCAAAAGCAAAGCUCCCUCGGUUUAUUUUGUUCUCUUUUUCCUCAAUCUCACAAUCCAUACACCUUCAUGGCGUCUUCUUCAUCUUCUUCUCGUCAAAUGAAGCAUCAAGUUUUCUUAAGCUUCAGAGGUGAAGACACGCGCCUUAACUUCACCGUUCAUCUACUCCAAGCUUUGAAAGACAAGGGACUGAAUGUCUUCUUCGAUGAAGAAAAACUAGAGAAAGGGGAGGAACUUUCACAUGCACUUUCACAAGCAAUUGCAGCCUCAGAUCUCUCAAUCCUCGUUUUAUCUAAAGACUAUGCUUCUUCACAAUCAUGCUUAGCUGAACUUUCUGACAUCAUGGAUCGCAAGCGCAUGCCCACGGACAAACAUAUUGUUCUUCCCAUCUUUUACCAUGUUGAUCCUUCCGAUGUGCGAAAUAUUGGUGGGACUUUUAAGACAUCCUUCGAAGAGCAUGAAUCAAAGAGACCAAUUGAAGACAUGAAGCGAUGGAAAGUCGCCUUCGCUGAAAUCGGUGCAUCAAAAGGGUGGCAUAUAGAAGGAGGCAAAUCCGAUAGGUAACAAUACAUACAUUCUCAUCUUCUUAUAUUUGACUUAUAUAUAUAUCUUUCUCUUUUGACUGUUGAUUUUUUUUUUUAAUUUUCUAGAUUUGAAACUGAGUACAUUAAAGAUGUCGUUGAAUAUGUUUUAAAAAAGUUGAAUAGCAAUUGUAGAAGUGUCUCUGAAGAAUUGGUGGGAAUAGAUGAUCAAAAAAAGAAGCUUUUGGUGUUGAUUGAGCAAGCGGGCAUCCAUGUAAUAGGACUUUGGGGCAUGAGUGGUAUAGGCAAAACUACCCUUGCUGAUGCUGUAUAUAAGGAAGUCUCUCCAAAGUUUGAAUGUAGUUUGUUUCUUCAAAACAUUAGUGAGAAAAUAAAGAAACAGGGGAGUGAAUCUUUACGAAAUGAACUUCUUUCCAAACUAUUAAACAAUACUCUUUCCAUAGGAUACCCUUACCACGAGAGGCUGAAUAAUAAAAAAAUACUUCUUGUCUUUGAUGAUGUUACUGACCCAGACCAAAUGGAUUUUGUGGGUGUUAAAUAUUUUGGUCCUGGAAGUAAAAUCAUUGUAACAUCUAGAGAUAUACAAGUACUUAGGAAUGGAGGAGCAAACCACAUACAUGAGGUAAAGAAGUUAAACAUGAACGACUCUUUUCAACUUUUUUCUACAUAUGCAUUUCAAUUGUUGAAUCUUCCAGUUGAUUUCAAAUAUCUAUCAUUCAAGUUUGUAGAAUAUGCCCAAGGUAAUCCACUUGCUCUUAAAGUUCUGGGUUUGAAAUUAUAUACAAAGUCUAUAAAAGAGUGGAAGAGCGAGGUGACUAAACUAAAGCAAUGUGGAGAAAUAAAACUUUCACAUAUUUUGAAGAGUAGCUUAGAUGGGCUGGAUGAGUUAGAGAAGAAUAUAUUUCUUGACGUAGCACGCAUCUUUAAAGGGCAACACUUGAAUUACGUAGAAAAAAUUCUAAGUAAUUAUUAUAAAGGUGCAAGAUGUGGAAUAAGUAAAUUGGUCGGCAAGUGCCUACUUGAGGUCAAAUAUGAAUCUAUUUCUAUGCAUGGCAUGCUUGAAGAGAUGGGCAAAGACAUUGUUAUGCAAGAAUCUGAAUACCCUGGAAAGCGCAGUAGAUUAUGGAAUUGUAAAGAUGUGGAAGAAGUGAUCAGCUAUGAUAAAGUAAGUGUUAAUAGUAUUUAUAUUCUUUCUAUUCUUUCACAUGGUUUAAUAGAUGUUGUGGUGUACAAAAUAUUAUCCUUUUUAAUUAUUAUUUUAAAAAAUAAAAUAUUUAUUACUUCCCAUAAACAUAAUGACCAAAUGUCUUAUGAUGCAACAGUCAACAUGGAAUUUGCUGAAGGUUUUUUGAGUUUGUUAAAUAUAUAAUGCUUUACUUUAAAAAAAAUUAAACAGUAAAAACUUUGUGCAUCUAAAAAUUCCUCUAAUAAAAAGGUAUGCCAAGUUAGUUUAAAGUAUUUCCUAAUUUAAUUAACUUUUUUAUGACUGAUUUAAUGGAAUGUCCAUAAAUUUUUUUGUGUUAAUUCAUGAUAAACAAUUUUUUUGUCAGGGGACUGACCUAAUUAAAGGAAUAAAGGUAGACAUGACUGAAGUUGAUAGUCUACAGUUUUGUGCUACUGCUUUUGAGAAGAUGCAUAAGCUUAGAUAUAUCAACAUCAGCUUUCCUAAGAAAAUGUUGUGGCUUAAGAAGCUAUAUGCAAAUCAAGUUGAGAGUAUAUCUCUUCCUGAUGAGUUAAGGUUUCUCCGUUGGGAUGUUUACCCUUUCAAAUCUUUAUCUGGUUUUAAUCCAAAAAAUCUUGUCGUGUUGAAACUAUUACAUGGCAACAUGGAACAACUUUGGAAUGAAGACGACGAUAUGGUAUAUACUUUCAUACUUUCUUCAUCUAAGAAGUUUUUUUUAAGGAGAAAGAGGAUUUAUAAUUUGAUGUGUCAAAUAAUAUAUCGGAUGAUAUUUAUUUAAAGUUUUUAAAAUAUAAAUAUGAAACAUUUUAUUUAUUUAAAUAAGUGAAAUCAUUUUAUUUAAUUUUUUUAAAUAUAUAUAUAAAUUUAUUUUAUUUUUCUAAAAGAAGCAAUUUCAUCUAUUAAUGGUGGGUGUGAAUUAAUACACCCAAUAUAAAUUUUUAUUUUGAUAGUCUUAAUAUAAGUAGAUGAUGCUCUAAAGUAAUCAUCCUGUGUAGGAUCUUGUCAAUUAUUUAUUUUCUUUUUAUUUCUUACUUUCUAAAGUAAGUAGAUGAUACUUAAGAAGGAUAUAAUUAUUUUUAUAUAUUUUUCUUUUGCACAGAACCUUACUAAUUUAAGGGAAAUUGACGUUUCAUAUUGCAAGAAUUUAAGGAAGAUGCAUAAUCUUUCAGGUGCCAUCAACCUUGAACUCCUUCGUUGCAUUGGCUGUGAAAGUCUGGUUGAACUUUGGAGUGAAGAUGAUCAUAUAGUAUGUGUGCUUUCAUACUUAUUUCAUUUAAGAAUAUAUUUUUUUAAUUUAAUGUAUCAAAUAAUCAUAUGUUAUGUUGACAUCUUAAUUAAAGUUUUUACAAAAGAAAUAUGAAAGAUUUUAUUUUAUUUUAUAUAAAUUAGUGGCAUCAUUUGAUCUAUUAAUUGUGGGUUAAUUUUCAUGCCCAAUACAUCAAAUAUGAAUUUUUAUUUUUCUUAGUAUUAUAAUUAUUUAUUUCCUUUUUCUUUUUUUACUACUUAAAGUAAGUAGUUGAUGCUUAAAAGCAAUACAAAUGUUGUUUCUAUACAGGAGCUUGUUAAUUUAAGGGAAAUUUACGUUUCAGAAUGCAAAAAUAUAAGGAAGAUAUGUAAUCUUUCAAGAGCCAUCAACCUUGAAUUCCUUGAUUGCUCUUACUCUAAAAGUUUGGUUGAACUUUGGAAUGAAGAUGAUCGUAUGGUAUGCGUUUUUAUACUCUCUCUUUUUUUUGAAAAAAAUAAUUUAUAAUUUGAUGUAUCAAAUAUUCAUAUGAUAAUAUUUUAUUUAACGGUUUUUAAAAAUAUAUAUAAAAGAAUUUAUUUUAUUUAGAUAAGUGACAUCGUUUGAUUUAUUAAUACAUCAAAUAUAAAUUUUUAUUUUUAUUGUAUUAUAAUUAUUUAUUUCCUUUACAUAUUUUACUGUCUAAAGUAAGUGGUGGAUGCUUAGAAGUAGAACAAUUAUUUUUUCUGUACAGGACCUUGUUCAUUUAAGGAAAAUUUACUUUGAUGGGUGCGUGAAUUUAAGGAAGAUACCUAACCUUUCAAGAGCCAUCAACCUUGAAUUCCUUGGUUGCUCUAACUGUAAAAGUUUGGUUGAACUUCCUUGCCUCAAUCAUUUGGCAUCUCUUCAUCAAUAUAGUCUUCGCCUUAACGGAUGUUAUAGUCUCAAGAAGUUUCCUAAGGUCCCACGUCCCUUUUGUUCUUUAGAUUUACCAGAAACCAAAGUAGAAGAAGUGUCUGAUUCAAUUAAGGAUCUCCACAAACUUGAAACUUUGUGGUUAGGGAAGUCAAAGGUGAAAAAAGUAUCGAUCAAUAUUUUAAAGUUGGAAUUCCUUCGUAAAUUGGAUCUUAGUGGUUGCCCAAUUGAAGAAGUGUCGUUGCCUUUCGACCCCCUAUGUAAUCUUCAGCACUUAAAAAUGAGUGGCUCAGCGGUCAAAAAUGUAUCGAUCAAGUUGGAAUCCCUUCGCAAACUGAAUCUUAGUGGAUGCCCAAUGGUCAAAUUUCCAGAAAUCCCAGGAAGCUUAAUAAAAUUAAACUUAUCUGGCACUCAAAUUGAAGAAGUGUCGUUGCCUUUCGACUCUCUAUGUAAUCUUCAGCACUUAAAUAUGAGUGGCUCAGCGGUCAAAAAUGUAUCGAUCAAGUUGGAAUCUCUUCAUUAUCUGGAUCUUAGUGGUUGCCCAAAGAUCGAAUUACUCUCAGAGCUUCCACCAUAUCUGGAAGUCUUGAGUGUAAAUGACUGCACAUCAUUAGAAAAAGUAUCCUUUACAGAUCAAAAUUUAAAUCAGUUUGAUUCUUUAGAUGAUGAGUAUUGCAUAAAUCAUAACUUUUUAAUGCGAUUCCGUAAUUGCUUCAACUUGAAUCAAGACUCAACUAAUAACAUUGAGGCAAAUGCCAUGCUCAAAAUUGGAUCCCUAGCUAAGAAAUGGGCAGCGAGAUAUGAUUGGCAAUACAACCCUGACAGAGCUCCAAGUUUGAUUUGUUGUUUCCCAGGAAACAAAAUUUCAGCAAAUAUGUUCAAGUGUCAGAGCAUGAAUUCUUCCUUAAGUUUGAAGAUAGCCCCAAAUGGGGGUAGUGGGAGCAGAUUUUUGGUUUUUGCUAUCUGUCUUGUGGCUGAUCUCACUCACUGCCUUGAAUUUCAAUUACGUGAAUGUAUUUGUGAGUACCAACUUACAACCGCCGGUGGUGGCAAUGGUGGAGGUGGUUGUGAAAAUUUCAGAAGUGAGAUACGUUUCCGCAGUUUUUAUGAGCCAGUUAAGUACAUGGAUUAUCACGUGUUUAUUCUAUCUAGCAUCGACAUGGUAAUAGAAGACAAGAAUUAUGAGGAGGCAACAUUUGAAUUCUACAUCAAAAAUUUCCAUUUCGAUGAAGACAAUGAUGGAGGAGAAAAGUAUAUCAAGGUGGAGAGAUGUGGUGUUCAUGUAUUUUACGUGGAUGCUACUGAAAAGAGAGUUGCUGGGAACAAAAGAAAAGCUUUAGCCAUGAUGGUGAAGAAGGGGAUGGAGGACUUAAAAGAUUGAAAUAGUUUGUAUUUCUUUCCAUCUUUGGCUCUGCUUUUGAGGAGUUUCAACUUCUCAAUUAUGUCAUCCAAAUGCAUAGGUAAGGGUUUCAUUUCAUCUCAGUUUUUCAUAUUAUCAUAUAUUUUUUAGUUUUUUCAUUUCAUUUUUCAUAUUGCCAUACUUUUGUUUUCCACAAUUGUUAAUAGUAAAUUUUGAACUUAUAAAUUAAUAACAGCAAAUGAAGUGCUUUAAUUAAUUAAAACCGACCAGGAUGAAUCUAACUUGUUCUGCUUUAUAAAUUACUUGUCUUUCAGAAGGUGCUUUACCAUACUGAAACCUUGUAGUUCUACAUUGUAAAUGUUAAAAACAUAAUUUAUGAACAUAAAAAUUGGAAAUUUGUUCAACAGCUUGUGAUUUUUGCUUAUUAUUAUUAUUAUUAUUUUUUCCAUCUUCAUCCCCCUGUUGUGUCUGUGUUCUUAAAAUUCAGAUAUUAAGAUUCAUACUUAAUUCUUAUUGACAGUUGACUUGUUAUUGGUUGGUUUUUUUUAAUUCAUAGGACCAGUGGUGGACUCGAUUCAGCUUCAUUGUUUAGUUUCCAGCAUUGGUGUCAUCUGGUAUCUCAGUACUUGCUGCAUUUUCCUUCAAUGACAUCUAGAUUCAUUAGAAAGAUUGGUUAUUUGUGCCACUGCUGAAUUGGAGCUUUAGCCAUAUAAGGAGGAGCACCUGAACUGUAAGAGCUUCAAUUUGUUUUGCUGAAUGCUUGUUUUAUACAAGUGUUUUAACUGAUAUUUGGUGACAAUGCAAGUUGUCAACAGAUUUGUGAACACGACUUCAAAGUAAUCUUUUGAGGCCCUUUCUGGGUUCUGGCAAAUUCAGUCUUGAUGAAGAAGUUACCAUUGACUUUGACUUAAUUAUCAUGAUUUUAGGAUCAUAUAAUGAUUUUCAGCAUCCUCACCAUUUUUUCCCAUAUUUAUCAAUGGGAUUAUAUAAAUCCAGAAUUUGCAAGAGAUCUCAAAACUUGUGGGAUGAACACGUGGAGCUAGAUGGAACCUUCGGCAGUUUUCAUUCUCAAGCUAGAUUGGGUUAGUUCCAGGGUAGAGCCAUUGGAGUUGAUAGCUUCUUACCUUGGAUUUUGAUUGUCGUAUCAGUUUGGGCUGAAAGUUCUUUGUAUGUUACUGCCUCUCAUGUUGUUUGAGCAUUGCAGUGAAGAGAUAUUAAGAUUCAUACUUGAAUUCUUUUUGGCAAUUGACUUGUUAUUGGUUGGUUUUGAUUCAUAGGAUCUGUGGUGGACAUCAUUCAGCUUAAUUGUUUAGGUUCUACCAUUGGUGCUUGUGCCAUGGGCAGUAAGUAGAGAUUUAAUCAUAUUGUAUCUCAAGACUAUCUGCAUUUUACUUCAAUGAUUCGUUCACCCAUUGAUUUAUGCUCAUAUUUCCUUAAAAUGUUAGUAAAUAUAUAUGUUUUCAGUUCAUGAUUUCUGAUUUAUAUUCAUGUUAGAUAAGGUAAACCUACCAACUGUUCCCUAUAUAUAAUCAAUAGAUGCUUGAGAUUGGUUAAUCUUCUAACAUAUGGUUUUAUAUUGAUCACAGAGUAGGUGUUUUCUAUUUGUUAUGUUUUAUUUUUUUUGAAUUUUAUGACCGUGAUCCGUAGUUUCCAUAAAAUUUUAAUGAAAGUCAAGUCGGACAUAGUGCUGCACAUAAUUCCUCCCAUUCAUUCUCAAUUGUGGAAUUCACAAUCUGCCAGAAAUCAUACUCAUAAGAUUUCCCUAGCUUCCUUCCUGACCAAUUUGCAAACAUGUCCCUCGCACAAUUCCUAUGCUCCACCUUUGGCGAUAUGUCAGAAAUUACAAUCUGAAGGCCUUAAUUGUGUUUUAAUGAACCAAAUAGAUUAUUAGAAAAAUAUAGUUAAUUAUACUUAACAAAAUAAAAAGACAAGACCAAGCCCAAAUUAGUUAAUUCACUAACCUUUUGUUGGUCCUUGAUAAUUGUUUAAUUCGGCUCGGUUUGGUUCACAAUUUCUUAUAUUAAUUUUUUGUUUUGAUUUUUAAGGUUUAUUUUGAUAAAAUGAGUUUUGUUUUAUGGCUUUUAAAUAUUAUUUGAUAAAUUUCAAAUUUAUUUUCAUAAAUAUUUCUAAAAUACAAUAAUUUUUCAAAAACUUUUAAAUUACUUUCACUAUUUUAAAUAUAAAAUAUGUAUUUUUAUAUCAAAAAAGUUAAAAUUAAUUAUAUAUGAAAUAAAAAAUAAAAUUCGAUUCGAUUUCAGAUAAUAACCAAUUUUUUAGUAAAAAACAAACAAACAAAUAAAAAUUACAUCAAACUAAAUUGAUCAAAAGCACCCUUAACUUUUAUCUUGAUUUAAAAUAUUUAAAACAUCACGAGGGACUUUAUUAUAAAACUGUAAACUUAUCCUCUCAACUAAGCUCAAUUAAUCGCCAUUUUUAAAUUUAUAUUUUAUUAAUCGUUGAAAUAAGAAACAUUUUGGGUUUGAUGGGCCCACCCACCAUCAAAACACUCCCACUUUUGCGGUAAAAGAUAAAAAGGAGAAUUGAUUAUCUCCGGUGGUGUUGACUAAGAUAAUUGGCUAAGCUCAAGUCUAAGGAAAACGCCUUCAAUCUCUUUCCCAUUUAAUAAAAGGAUACCAAAGAUUAUGCAUAUUUUACACUUUUUCUUCUUACAAUAAUACCACAACCCAAGCAAAACUCACUUGCUAUAUUUUUCUCUCUUUUGCUUCAAUACUCUUCCAUGGCUUCUUCUUCUUCUUCAUCUUCUACUCUAAUGAAGUAUCAUGUUUUCCUUAGCAGAAUACCCUUAAAUUCUAUAUGAUGUUGUAAUAGCAUAAGGAAAAAAACUAAAAUAACUAGAAUAUCCUUAGCAGAAUUUUUUUUAGGUAGAUGAUUAUUGUUAUUGUUAUUAAAUUUUAAUAAGAUUAUUAAUAUAAAUAAUAAAUAAUUUAAUCAUAUGUUAUAAAAAAAGUUGACGAAUAUUGGGUUUGAAAGUGCUUCUGAAGAAUUGGUUGGAAUAGAAUAUCAGAAAAGGACGAUUUUGAAGCUGAUUAAGCAAAAAGACUGUCGUGUAAUAGGACUUUGGGGAAUGGGUGGUGAAGGCAAAUCAACCCUUGCUGAGGCUGUUUAUAAAAAACUCUCUUCAGAGUUUGAAACGCAUUGCUUUCUUCAAAAUGUUAGAGGAAAUAAAAAAACAAGGGAAGGAAUCUUUACGAAAUAAAUUUCUUUUGGAAUUAUUGAACUCAAAUGUUGAUAUAGGCACCCCCUCCAUUGGAUCCACUUUAACUCAAGAGAGACUCAACAAGAAGAAAGUACUUGUUGUCCUUGAUGAUGUUGAUGACUCAGACCAAAUAGAUUAUAUGGGUGUUAAACAUUUUGGUUAUGGAAGUAAAACCAUUAUAACAUCAAGAGAUAGACAAGUGCUCGAGAGUGGAGGAGCUGACACAAUACAUGAGGUGAAAGGGUUAAAUGAGAACAAUUCUCUUCAACUUUUUUCUACCUUUGAGUUUAAGCAGUUGAAUCCCCCAGUUGGUUUUGAAGAUCUAUCCCGUAGGUUUGUAAAGUACACACAAGGCAAUCCACUUGCUCUUAAAGUAAAAGAUAAUCUGGCGUGCAAGUAACACCAGUGUUGACUAAAGGAUAGUUGGCUAAGCUCAAGUCGUCGCCUGUGCUUUUGCCUAGGCCUUCAAUCUCUUUCCCAUUUACACUUUUUCUUCUUACAAUAAUACCACAACCCAAGCAAAACUCACUUGCUAUAUUUGUUCUCUCUUUUGCUUCAAGCACACUAUCAAUACUCUUUCAUGGGUUCUUCUUCUUCAUCUUCUACUCUAAUGAAGUAUCAUGUUUUCUUGAGCUUCAGAGGUGAAGACACGCGCCUUAAUUUCACCACUCACUUACUUCAAGCUUUGAAAGACGAGGGACUUGAUGUUUUCUUCGAUGAAGAAAAACUGGAAAGGGGGGACCAGCUUUCACAAGCACUUUCUCGAGCAAUUGCAGUCUCAAAUAUCUCAAUCAUCGUUUUGUCUGCAGACUAUGCCUCUUCGAAAUCAUGCUUGGUUGAACUCUCUGACAUCAUGGACCGCUAUAGCGUCGGACAACAUACUGUUCGUCCCAUCUUUUACCAUGUUAACCCCUCUGAUGUGGUGAAAAUUGAUGGGAGUUUUAAGAAAUCCUUUGAUGAGCAUAAAACAAAGAGGUCAGUUGAUGAAGUGAAACAAUGGGAAACCGCUUUUGCUGAAGUUGGUAAAUUACAAGGGUGGCAUAUAGAUGGAAGCAGGUCGGAUGGGUAACUAUAUUUGUCUCAUCUCCUUAUAUUUGACUUAUCUUCGUUUUGGCUUUCAUAUAUAUACUUCUUCUAUUAUUUGCUAGACCUGAAACCCAGUACAUCAAGGAUAUUGUUGCGUAUGUUAUGCAAAAGUUGAUGAAGCAUCAAGUUUUCUUAAGCUUAGGUGAAGACACACGCCUCAACUUCUCCAAUCACCUAGUAAAUGCUUUGGAAAAAGUAGGAAUUAAUGUCUUCCCCGAUAACGAAACACUGAAAAAAGGAGAGAAACUUCCACCAACGUAUUCUCGAACAAUUUCGGCCUCAAAUCUCUCAAUCCUCGUUGUAUCUAAAGCCUAUGCUUCUUCAAAAUCAUGCUUAGGUGAACUUUCUGACAUCAUGGAUCGCAAGCACAAUCCCAAUGACAAACAUAUUGUUCUUCCCGUCUUUUACCAUGUUGAUCCUUCCGAUGUGCGAAAUAGUGGUGGGCAUUUUAAGACAUCCUUCGAAGACCAUGAAUCAGAGCAACCAGCUGAUAGAGUACAACAAUGGAAAACUGCUUUUGCAGAGGUUGGUAAAUUAAAAGGGUGGCAUAUAGAAGGAGGCAAAUUUGACAGGUAACUAUAUUUUUCUCAUCUUGUUAUUUUCAACUUAUCUUUGUUUUAGAUUUCAUAUUUACUUUUUACAUUUUUUAUUGUUUUCUAGACCUGAAACCGAGUACAUUAAAGAUAUUGUUGAAUAUGUUAUAAAAAAGUUUACGAAUAUUGGGUUUGAAAGUGCUUCUGAAGAAUUGGUUGGAAUAGAAUAUCAGAAAAAUGCGAUUUUGAAGCUGAUUAAGCAAAAAGACUGUCGUGUAAUAGGACUUUGGGGAAUGGGUGGUGAAGGCAAAUCAACCCUUGCUGAGGCUGUAUAUAAAAAAACUCUCUUCAGAGUUUGAAACUCAUUGCUUUCUUCAAAAUGUUAGAGAGGAAAUAAAAAAACAAGGGAAGGAAUCUUUACGAAAUAAAUUUCUUUCGGGAUUAUUGAAAUCGAAUGUUGAUAUAGGCACCCCCUCCAUUGGAUCCACUUUAACUCAAGAGAGACUCAACAAGAAGAAAGUACUUGCUGUCCUUGAUGAUGUUGAUGACUCAGACCAAAUAGAUUAUAUGGGUGUUAAAUAUUUUGGUUAUGGAAGUAAAACCAUUAUAACAUCAAGAGAUAGACAAGUGCUUGAGAGUGGAGGAGCUGACACAAUACAUGAGGUGAAAGGGUUGAAUGAGAACGAUUCUCUUCAACUUUUUUCUACCUUUGCGUUUAAGCAGUUGAGUCCCGCAGUUGGUUUUGAAGAUCUAUCCCGUAGGUUUGUAAAGUACACUCAAGGCAAUCCACUUGCUCUUAAAGUUUUGGGUUCUGAUUUAAAUAAAAGAAGUAAAAAUUAUUGGGAAAGUAAGGUGGAGAAGCUAAAGGACUGUCCCCCAGAAAAAAAAAUUUCAGAGGUUUUGAAAAGUAGUUAUGAUGGGCUAGAUUUAGUAGAGCAGAAUAUAUUUCUUGACAUUGCAUGCUUCUUUAAAGGGGAACCCAUGGAAAGAGCAAAACUUAUUCUAAGUAGUUGUUAUACGGGUGUAGAGUGUGGAAUAAACAAAUUGGUUGACAAAUGCCUGAUCAAUGUCUCAUCUUCUACUAAUUUCUCUCUUGAUUAUUUUGAUUAUUCUACAAUGUGGCCAUGUAAAUUAUUACGAGAUGCAAUUGAUAUGCAUGAUAUGCUUGAAGAGAUGGGUAAGGACAUUGUUUGUCAAGAAUCUAAAACCCUUGGUAAGUGCAGUAGACUAUGGAAUCCGAAACACGUGGAAGAAGUGCUCAAAUAUAAUAAAGUAAGCACUAAUUAUAUUUUUUAAUAUACUUUAAUGAGAUAUUGUCAUUUGGUUGAAUGCCACUAUAUAAACCUAUACAUUUGAUAUCAUAUCAAGUAUUAUCCCUUUUAAUUAGUAUUUAAAAAAUAAAAUAAUUAUCAUCAUACUGGACACAUAAUGACUAUGUCUUAGGUAUAAUGUAGAAUCUGCUCAAGGUUUAUGACUUUGUUAAAUACUUAAUGCAUUGAUUUGAAAAAAUAAAAACAAAAGAAAAGAAAACACUUUCUGUAUGUAAAAGUGCUCAAUUAGUCUACGUCUAUCCUAAUAUAAUUAUUUUUUUAUGAGUUAUUUAAUGGAAUGUCUAUAAAUUUCUCCAUGCUAAUAUUUGAUAAAUUGGUUUUUGUUAUCAGGGAACUGAUCGAAUUCAAGGAAUAAAGGUAGCCUUGUCACGUAUGGGUAACCUAUUAUUCCAACCUUCUGGUUUUGAAAGCAUGAUUAAUCUUAGAUGUAUUUUCUUCUAUUUUCCUCGGAGUUGGUUGAGGAAAGAGCAUGAGGAUUAUAAGAAGCUACAUACAUACCAAGAUGAUAUUAUCUCUCUUCCGAAUGAGCUAAGGUAUCUUGUAUGGCAUUAUUACCCCUUCAAAUCUUUAUCAUCAAGUUUUAAUCCAAAGAACCUUAUUACAUUGGAAUUACCAUAUGGAAACAUGGAGCAACUUUGGAACGAACUUCAUCAGGUAUAUAUACUUUUAUACUUUCUUCAUCCAAGAAUUUUUUUAAGAGCACUACACCAAAACAGGUUUUUAGCGGCUUUUUUUUAGGCCUGUAGCGGCGCUUCUUAGCGCCACUAAAGGUGUUUGCGAUGCUUCCACAAGCGCCGCAAAAAAUGCCGCUAACGACAACGUCGCUAUGUUUGCAGCGUUUAAAAAAAUAAACGCCGCUAAAGGUCAUGUUCUUUAGCGGCGCUUAGAAAUAAACGCCGCUAAAGAUCAUGUUCUUUAGCGGCACUUAGAAAAAAACGCCGCUAAAGAUCAUGUUCUUUAAUGGCGUUUAAAGAAAAACGCCGCUAAAGAUCAUGUUCUUUAGCGACGCUUGAAGAAAACCGUCGCUAAAGGGCAUGUUCUUUAGCGGCACUUUAUACACAAACGCCGCUAUAGGGACACGACUUUUAGCGGCGCUUUUAUAAAAAAACGCCACUAAUUUGGGAUUUCUGUAAAAUAAAAUUUUCCAUUUUUUCAGCAUUCCUGUAGCAACAAAUCAAAAGCAACCAGAUCUAAACCAGCCAAAAGCAAUAAAGUUAUAUAAUAUUUCAAAUUAAAUGAAUAAAAUAAUAUUAAUAUCAAUAAAUAAAAGUGAAUUCAUAUUAUUUUUAAAAAAAUGUUAAAAGUUGAAAUGAUAAAAAUAUUUAUGCAAUACUCUAUGACGCGGAAUUUGCGACUGCUGAAACAUCUUCAACAUACUCUGAAGCUACUGUUGGAGUUCGUCGUACUUUCUGCUCUGCUCUGCUUAUCUCGAGUCCGCAUCUGCUUUAAGUUUUAGUUGGAGUUCUUCAUAUUUCUUUUGAACCUCUGUUUCUCUCACUGUAGCCUCUGCUUCUCUCACUGUAGCCUCUGCUUCUCUCGCUGCAGCCUCUGCUUCCCUCGCUACCGCCUCUACUUUAAGUUGUAGCUGGAGUUCUUCAUAUUUCUUUUGAACCUCAACUGUGGUCGCUUGCAUCUGAGCAAUCUGGUCUUUUAACCUCUGAACUUCAGCUUGAGCCUGACUCCCCGAAGCCAUGUAUUGCUGCGAGCUGGAUCCAAAAUAUUGGGUUGGGCUAGCAAAAGAUCUUUGAAAUCGAACCCGACCAUACCUUUUAGGACCCAAAACUUCAGUAAUAAUUUGGUUAACAAUGUCUUUGGGAUGAACAGAACUAUCACUAGAAGCAAUCGCUUCGUACUCCGCAUUUUUAUUCUUUAGUUUUUCCUAAUAAAUAAAUCACAUAGUUAAGAACGCAAUAUAUAUUAAAAAAAAUAAAUGCAACAUAACAAUAGUCGCAUUACAAGCAAUGAAUUAAACCAUUAGAAAAUAAACACUAUAAAUAACUAAAACAAGUCAAACGGUAUUAAGUAAACGUACCAUAAUUUCACCAGCUUCAAGAGUCAUAGCAGAUCCAUCUUUCUUCCUAUGUGUAAUUUCAAAAAGUUGAAGGCGUCCAACUUUUUGACCGGACGACAGUUCCUACAAUAUAGUAGUAAAAAUAUUAUUUAAUGGAAAGUUAUACAUAUUUGACAAUAUUAAAAAAUUAAAAAUACCUCCGCCUCAGCUACACAUGCAAAACUUCUCGACCCGGCUGUGUGAGUGAAUUUUUGUUUAUGCCUGCUGCUUUUUCCAACUCGUUCACGAUCCUACGUUAUGAAAUUUUUAGUACGUAAAUAGUAAAUACUAUAAACCAAAAUAAUUACAAUAAUUUGGAAGUACGUCAUACCUCGCCUUUCUUCGAAUGCCAAAAUCUAACCGCAUCUUCCCAUUGGUACCUCAGCAUACCCGGCGGGACAUUUUGUAAUUUCUCAUCGAGGGUUGUUUUUUUCUUAUAAUAAUAUUUCUUCAAAGUAUUUUUAUGUUCUCUCCAUCUUUUUCCCAAUGCCUUCUUUACAUAAGCAUCCAAGACCUCUAAAACAAACCUCGCCUACAAAAAACACAAGUUAAUAAAGUAAAUAUAAAUGAAACUAUUUCCCAAGUAUUAUAGAUGACAGUAACAUUUUGUUACCUUAAUAUUAUCGAGGGCUUGGUUUUUGUUGCUAUCAGGCAUUUGAUUCCAUGACUCGUAGUUGAUAGGCAACAUAUCCGUAUUUCGUGCUAAAAUGCUCAUGUAUCCUGCUAAAAGUCGAGCUUCUAAUCCAACAGGCUGACCAAAACUGUUUCUGCAUACAUUGACACACUCAACUAGAUCUAACUUGUAUAAAUCUCUAAGUAGCGUACGUCCUCGACCUCUACGUGUCCCACCAUUUUCAGCUGCAAAUGGUAUAUUAUAAUAUAAGAAUUUGAAAAAUAAAUCAAUUAUAAGUCAACACGCAUGUAAAUUAAAUAUAAAAUUACUUUGAACUUCUGUAGGAUCCUUAGGUGUAAUCGGAACAUUCGAAGAUCCAAUUACUAUUUGUUGUUCAGUACUAUUUGUUUCUGUCGAGUUUGGAUCAUUUUGAACAAUGCUUCCCCUUGGAAUUUUUCUUCUAGGCAUUUUAUCUGCAAUACACAUAAAAUAGUUGAAAACUUAAUAACUAAUUACAACAAUAACAACACAUAUAAAAUAGUUGAAAUAUAUAGUAAGACCAAGAUUUAAAUUAUGAUAUUACAUAUAAUUAAACAAUCGUAAAAUCUUACUACGUCAUUAGUCGUAAAUAUCUUCAUCCGUAUCCUGACAAACCCAUUGAAAUUGUGUAAUAGUACUAGGGAUAUUAUCGUUUAAGUUUUGUUCUGGAAAGGGCAAAGUUUUUGAUCUGUCGUUGAUGUUAUCUCUACUUCCACUGCCCAUGUCAAACAAGUCUCUAGGGAUGUUACGGAGUACAACGUAUCAACCCUCAUCAGUUGGAUCUUUUGAGUAAAAAACUUGUUUGACUUGAGAUGAGAAUACAUGCGGCUCAUCUAUCAGUUGUUGUCCUGUGUGAAUCAAUCGAGCGAAGUUCACCAUUGUAAAACCAAAUUGAUCUUGCUUAAUUCCACAAGCAGUAUUAACAUCGGCCCAAUCACCUCGAAAUAAGACAACUUUCCAUUUGCCAUAGUAAUCCAACUCAAUUAUGUCAGUAAAAAGUCUGAAAUAUUCCACAUUUCCCUCGACAGGAUUAUUGUCCCUAGCACUAGCAUAACUUGUAAUUGAGGAAUUAACAACUAUUCCACAAUUUUGCAUUCUCCUCAACCUCUCGCUAUAUUUUGUAUGAAAUCUGAAUCUGUUGAUGAGGAACGCACUAUAUCUUUUAACCACUUGAUUUGGACCUUGGGAGAGCCAUUUAACUUUGUCGUUUACAUUCUUCCCACUCCAAACCUAUUGAAUGGAAAGUAAACUGAGUAAUUAAAAAUGUUAUAAGAAAACAUUAAUAUUUGUAAGCGGAAGCUCCAACCGCAUACCGUUGGGCUUAACCAUUCAUGAAAAGAUUCUGUAAACAACUUAUUGAUAUCUCGAUAUUGUGUUCUUCGGGAGCGCGAACGAGAUCUCAACAUUUGUUUGUACUCGCUAUGUUAAAAAAUGUUCACUUUGUUAGAAGAUAAUCAAUUUUUAAUUUGAUAAAUAUUUAUCAAAUUUGUAGAACUUACUUCCGUAAAGGUUCCAUUAAUUCGUGGUGAAACAGAACAUAUCGAUGUGCUUGUACCCAUGAUAAAUGAUCUAAUUUUACAAUUUUAACUUUGCCGAUUGGUUCUCUAAAACUUUGGAACAAAUAAGUAUCGAUGAUGUUAUGGUCCGUGAGUCCAGCAUUCCUAUUUGGUCUGUUCAACCUUGUUUCAACAUCUUCCAAAUAUCUUGAGCAGAAGGUCAUACAUUCCUCUUCUAAGUAGCCUUUAGCAAUCGAUCCUUCUGGAUAUCGCUUGUAGCGGCAGUAAGACUUUAAUUUGGAUAGAAACCUAAACACGAUAUACAACACUAUCAAAAGUUGUAACUAAAGGCAUAGAGGUGAAUGAAGGAAAAUUUUAAAAAUUUUAAUUAACACCUUUCUAUGGGAUACAUCCAUUGAUAGAAAACGGGUUCGCCAAGAAUUGCUUCAUGUGGGAGAUGAAUUAUCAAGUGAACCAUAAUGGUGAAGAAGGAAGGUGGGAAGAUUUUCUCCAUGUUGCAUAAAGUCAAAGCGUCUUGAUCCUAUACCUUCUGAAGUUCUUGAACAUCCAAAACUUUGCCACAAAUGGCUUUCAUUAUAUUGGAUAGUUCAAUUAUACAAGACGUCACCUUCUUGGACAUACAACAUCGUAAAGCAACUGGCAGUAAAUCUUGCAUCAAGAUGUGAUAGUCAUGUGAUUUUAGCAAAUAUAAUCUUCGAUCUUUAACACUAACACAUCGAGAUAUAUUUGAUGCAUACGCAUCUAGAACAUUUAUAUUCUUCAACACCGUGCAGAACACUUCUUUUUUCGUCUUCGACAUUGAAAAAAUAGAAGGCGACAACCGAUAUUUCCCAUUCGGAAGUGGAUUGGGAUGAAGAUCAGGCCGAAUUCCCAUUUGGACUAAAUCAAGUCGACUCUAAAGAUUAUCUUUUAAUUUUUCGUCGACAUUCAAAAUUGUACCCACAAUGUUCUCGCAGACAUUUUUCUCAAUAUGCAUAACAUCAAGAUUGUGUCGUAAAAGGUGAUGCUCCCAAUAAGGCAACUCAAAAAAAAUACUUCUUUUUUUCCACAAGUCUGCCUCAUUAGGAUCGUCCUCUUGAUCAGAGUCAUCAUUAGCUUCAUCAUUUGAUCUUCUAUUUCUUUGCGUGUUUGGCGGUUGGUUCAUCUUCCCAUAAAUGAAAUUCAUAUCUUCCAACAUGAACAAGAUUUCAGAGCCACUGGUCUGCGAAGGAGCUUCUCUGAACUCUUCUGUACCGUCAAAUACAGAACUCUAAAAUCUAAAUCUAUGAUUUUUCGGUAACCACCGACGAUGCCCCAUGUAAGAGAACUUCUUCCCAUUGUACAACCAUUGCAAACAUGUUUGUGCAGCACAACAAGGACACGCAUAACGACCCUUGGUACUCCAACCAGAUAAAUAAGCAUAAGCGGGAAAGUCAUUAAUGGUCCACAUCAAAGCUGCACGUAAAUUAAAGUUCUCCUUUCUCAACACAUCGUAUGUCUUGACACCAACCCAUAAUUGUUUUAACUCUUCAAUAAGUGGCUGUAAAUUCCCAGGCCCUUUCUCUCUAAGGAUAAUCAUAGAUAAGAUAAGGGAAGAUUGCUUCAUGCAAAUCCACGGAGGCAGAUUGUAAGGAACAAGCACUACUGGCCAAGUACUGUAUGCAGUGCUCAUGAUCUUGAAAGGAUUAAAUCCAUCAGAUGCUAGUCCAAGCCAAACACUCCUAGGAUUGCUUGCAAAGCUUGGAAAUUUAUUGUCAAAUGAUUUCCAAGCUAAAGAAUCUGCCGGAUGCCUUAGUAAUCCAUCAUCGGUUCAUCCAUCAUGGUGCCACGUCAUAGACUCCGCUUUCUUGGACGACAUGAAAAGCCUUUGAAGUCUUGGUAUAAGGGGAAAAUACCGCAAAAUCUUGACUGGCUUCUUCCUCAACUGUGCAUCAUUUUCAUCGUCAUUCCAAUCUUCUGUGUUUCUAUUUAUCCAACGGGAUUGGCCGCAUACAUGACAGCACUGUUGGUUUUUCUGAUCGCCCCAAUACAACAUGCAGUCAUUUGGGAAACUAUGGAUUUUGUUGUACCCAAGGCCUAAAUCUUUUAUCAUUUUCUUCAUAUCUUUGCAUGACUGAGGGAUUUUUGCAAACGGAAAUAUUUCUCUCAAAAACUCUAACAGCAUUGUCAACGAGUUUCCGGUCCACCCUCCCAAACAUUUUAACUGAAAAAGACGAACACAGAAUGACAUUUUUGAAAAUUUUGAUCCCUCAUACAGUUCUUCGUUCAUGUCAUUAAGUAGAGCGUAGAACUUCGUCGCUUCUCCAUUCGGCUCUUCAUGUGGUACACUACUUCCCGGUUCGGUAAAAGCAGUUCCACCAAUAUUACAAUCAUCAGAUGCCACAAAAUCCACUGGGAACAACUGCACACCAUGAUUGUGCAUAUUAAAUGCAUCCUGCAACAUACCUUUCAUGUCAUCCCCUCUAUCAGACUGUUGGUAAGUAGUAUCAGGAUAAGAUACAUCCAUCGUUGAAGAGGAAGUACUAGGCGGGCAUUCUCCAUGAAAUAACCAUUGUUUAUAACCCCAAACAAACCCAUCAACAAUUAGAUGCCCGUAUACAACCUCACGAUAAUGCCAACUUAUGUUGACACACUUCUUACACGGGCAAAGAAUCAUGUUCUCUUGGCUUGCAUAUUGAAAUGCAAAAUUUAGAAAAGUCUGUACUCCAUUUCGAUAACCGUUGCUAACCCUUGACAAAUUCAUCCAAGACCGGUCCAUUUCUUAAUUCUUGUAGUCUGACGUUGACAAUAAUUUGCACUGUAAGUUAAAACGCUAGUUAUAACCAUAAAUGAGUUAUAUAAGUUAUGAUAUGAUAUAUUUUUAUGUAUUAUGUAAGUUAUGUAAGUUAUAUAUUAUGUAUUAUGUAAGUACUGUAAGUAAUGUGAGUUAUGUAAGUAAUGUAUUAUGUAAGUUGUGUAUAAUAUUAAUUAUGUAAGUUGUGUAUAAUGUAAGUUAUUUAAGUAAAUGUUGUAUUAUGUAAGUUAUUUAAGUUAUGUAAGUUAUGUAAGUUAUGUAAGUUAUUUAAUUUAUGUAAGUUAUGUAAGUUAUGUAUGUUAUGUAUUAUGUUAGUUAUUAUGUUAUUAUAUAAGUUAUGCAAGUUUCUAUAUAUGUUUAUAUAUUGUAUGUUAGUUAUUAUGUUAUUAUAUAAGUUAUGCAAGUUAUAUAAGUUAUUUAAGUUGUGUAAAUGUUGUAUUAUGUAAGUUAUGUAUUAUGUAAGAUAUGUACGUUGUAUUUUAUGUAAUUUCUGUAUUAUGUAUGUUAUGUAAGUUGUGUAGAAUGUAAGCUAUGUAAGUUAUGUAAGUUAUGUAAGUGGUGUAUUAUGUAAGUUGUGUAAGUUAUGUAAGUUAUUAUGUAAGUUAUGCAAGCUUAUAUAUAAGCUUAUAUAUAAUUAUUUAGAAAACUUAUAAAAUUAAUACUAAUAAAUUUUAUUACUAAUAAAUUUAGAACACUUAUUUAGAAAACUUAUAAAUUUAAUACUAAUAUAGAAAACUUAUGAAUUUAGAAAACUUAUAUAGAUAUUAAAACAAUAUUUAUAAUUAUUUAAAAAACUUAUAAAUUUUAUAGUAAUAAGUUUUAAAUAUAGGUUAUAUACCCAUACCAUAUAUGGGGUGAUAUAUUAAAAAUAUUGGUUUUAAUAGAUAUUAAAUUAUCAUUUACAAUUAUUUUUUAAAUUAAAAUAUUAUUAUUACAAAAAUUGAAAUAUAGGUUAUAUAUCCAUAUUAAUAUAUGUAAUAUAUAAAAAGAAUAUAAAUUUUAAUAUUUACGAUAUAAUAUUUCUGUCCAAAAUUUAUUGUGUUUUUGGCACGAAUGAUUGCGUUUUUUGCACGAAUGUAGCAAACCAUAUUCCUUUCUAAGUUGCUGCUGGAAAAUAUUAACAUGCUAGAGAGACUAUGAAAAUUAUGUGUUUAUUUUCUAAGCAUUGCAAACUGUUACCAAUUAAUUAAAAUAUUUCAUUUCAAAUAAAUAAAACCUAACACAUGAGGUACAUCUUGUAUAAAACUAACAAAUAUGAGAAAACCCAAUGUAUAAAAUACGCAGCAUUGAUUUAAAUGCAUAGAUGCAAUUGGCGAUUGCCAAGUUUAAAGCAAAGUCAAAUCCCCUAAUCUUCUUGUCUAUGAAGUCAAAAGUUUAAAGCAAAGUUAAUUUUAAACCCCCAAAUCAGUAACUUACCCUUGCAGAAGAUCAACAACUCCCCAAGCCUUAAUCCUCCAAUAGAUUAGUUGGUCUGUGACCUUCACCAAAAUAAUCCAAAAGAUUAAUAGCGAAAAUAAACCCCGAUUCAACAAGGUAACAAAUAAUGAAAUAAAGGGCUUUAAUCAAAAGAAAUAUAACCUUAAUCGAAACAAAUAACGAAAAAUCGUGCAAUGAGGAAACAAGGAAACUUAUAGUGAAUAGAAGAAGCGGACGACAGAGAAAGCGGGUGACAGAGCGACCGCCAGAGUGGAGACGACUGCAAUGACAAGAGGGAAUUUGGGAAUUUGGGGAUUUGGGGAAAUGAAAUCCGGGAAAUUGGGGGAAAAUGAAUUGGGGGGAAAUGAAAUCGGGGAAGUUGGGGGGAUAGGAAAUGGGAAAUUAGGGAAAUCAGAGUGGGGGAGAACUAAGGAAAUUCAGCGCUAAACAAAUGACGUCGUUUAAGUUAGUUCAAUUAAAAUUUGCGACGUUUAUAAAUAGCGCCACUAACGGAUUAAAAAAUCCUAGACAGAAAACGACAACGUUUAGCAAACACUUAAAACAUAAUUGCGGCGUUUAUAAUAAAAAUGCCACUAAAACAUAUCCUUUACCGGCGUUUUAGUACAAAUGCCAUUAAAAACGUAGAUAAAAACGACAACGUUUAGCGAACACUUGUAACAUAAUUGCGGCAUUUUUAUAAAAACGCCAGUAUCACAUAACCUUUUACGGCAUUUUCGUAAAAAUGCCACUAAUAAUGUAGAUAAAAACGACAACAUUUACAGAAGACUAAUAACAUAAUUGUGGCGUUACCUAACAACGCCACUAACACAUAUCAUUUUGCGGCGUUUUGGCAAAAACGCCACUAAAAACGUAGAUAAAAACGACAACAUUUAACAAAGACAAAAAACAUAAUUGCGGCAUUUUUCGUAGAAACGCCACUAAUAUAACUCCUUUUGCGGCAUUUUAGUAAAAACGCCACUAAAAAAUCAGACAAAACGAAACCGUUUUGCUACCUUUCAAUGAAUAUUUGUGGAGUUUUCAAGAAAAACGCCACUACUGGUCAAACUUAAAAUUAUUUUCAAAUUAUUUUAAAUAGUACUAUUUUAUUUUUUCUAUUUUUAACAUAUAUUUUUCUAUUUUUUUAGCAUAACCCUUAAAUGUGGAAAAUUAAAAUUUAAACCCUAAACCAUAAGCCCCUAACCCUUAGACUCUAAACCCGUAACCUUUAAACUUUAACCUCUUAAACCCAAAACAAUAAACACUCGACCAUAAACCUACACCAUAAAUCGUAAACACUAAACUCUUAACACUAAACCAUAAACCUUAAACUUUAUACCCUAAACAUGCACCCUAAGCUAUAAACCCUAAAUUAACCAUAAAUCGUAAAUCAUAAAUUAUAAACCCUAAAACCAUAAAUCUUAAACCUUAAACCAUAAAUCAUAAACCCUAAACCACUAAAGCCCAUGAACCCCUAACCCCCUAACCUAUAAACCCUUAAGCCCAAAACCCAAAGCCACUACCCCUUAGACCCUAAGCCUAUAACCCCUAAAUCCUAUGCUCCUAACCACUAAACACUAAACCAUAAACCAUGAACGGUAAAUCAUGAACUCUAAACUUAAAACUCUAAUCCUAAUAUAAUAAACAUUACUUCAUAAAUCCUAAAACCCUAAACUAUAAAAAUUAAACCUUAAAUACUAAACACUUAAACCUAAAAUAAAUUUAUUUUUACUUGUGGGGCUUACAAUAAAGCGCCACUAAUGUCUCUAAACCUCCACAACAAAACGAAGCCGUUUCCUUAAAUAUAUUUGCGGCGCUUAACACAAAUCACCUCUAAUGCUUGAAAUCUGCGGCGUUUAUAAAGUUGCGCCGCUAAUGUAACUAAACCUUAACAACAAAACGUUGUCGUUCUCGCAAAGCGCCACUAAUGUCCCUAAGCACAACAGGAAACGACGGCGUAUGCUUAAAACAUUUUGCGGCGCUUCCUCUUAAGCGCCGCUAGUGAUUGACUUUAGCGGCGAUUUCUCUAAAGCGCCACUAUUGUGUCUAAAACUCAACAAGAUCCAAACGACUUCGUUCGGUAAAANNNNNNNNNNNNNNNNNNNNNNNNNNNNNNNNNNNNNNNNNNNNNNNNNNNNNNNNNNNNNNNNNNNNNNNNNNNNNNNNNNNNNNNNNNNNNNNNNNNNNNNNNNNNNNNNNNNNNNNNNNNNNNNNNNNNNNNNNNNNNNNNNNNNNNNNNNNNNNNNNNNNNNNNNNNNNNNNNNNNNNNNNNNNNNNNNNNNNNNNNNNNNNNNNNNNNNNNNNNNNNNNNNNNNNNNNNNNNNNNNNNNNNNNNNNNNNNNNNNNNNNNNNNNNNNNNNNNNNNNNNNNNNNNNNNNNNNNNNNNNNNNNNNNNNNNNNNNNNNNNNNNNNNNNNNNNNNNNNNNNNNNNNNNNNNNNNNNNNNNNNNNNNNNNNNNNNNNNNNNNNNNNNNNNNNNNNNNNNNNNNNNNNNNNNNNNNNNNNNNNNNNNNNNNNNNNNNNNNNNNNNNNNNNNNNNNNNNNNNNNNNNNNNNNNNNNNNNNNNNNNNNNNNNNNNNNNNNNNNNAAAUUAAAGUCUUACUGCUGCUACAAGCGAUAUCCAAAAGGAUCGAUUGCUGAAGGCUACUUAGUAGAGGAAUGUAUGACCUUCUGCUCAAGAUAUUUGGAAGAUGUUGAAACAAGGUUGAACAGACCAAAUAGGAAUGCUGGACUUACGGACCAUAACAUCGCCAAUACUUAUGUGUUCCAAAGUUUUAGAAAACCAAUCGGCAAAGUUGAAAUUGUAAAAUUAGAUCAUUUAUCGUGGGUACAAGCACAUCGAUAUGUUCUGUUUCACCACGAAUCAAUGGAACAUUUACGGAAGUAAGUUUUACAAAUUUGAUAAAUAUUUAUCAAAUUAAAAAUUGAUUAUCUUCUAACAAAGUGAACAUUUUUUAACAUAGUGAGUACAAACAAAUAUUGAGAUCUCGUUCGCGCUCCCGAAGAACACAAUAUCGAGAUAUCAAUAAGUUGUUUACAUAAUCUUUUCAUGAAUGGUUAAGCUCAACGAUAUGCAGUUGGAGCUUCCGCUUACAAAUAAUAAUAUUUUCUCAUAACAUUUUUAAUUACUCAAUUUACUUUCCAUUCAAUAGGUUUGGAGUGGGAAGAACGUAAACGACGAAGCUAAAUGGCUCUCCCAAGGUCCAAAUCAAGUGGUUAAAAGAUAUAGUGCGUUCCUCAUCAACGGAUUCAGAUUUCAUACAAAAUAUUGCGAGAGGUUGAGGAGAACGCAAAAUUGUGGAAUAGUUGUUAAUUCCUCAAUUACAAGUUAUGCUAGUGCUAGGGACAACAAUCCUGUCGAGGGAAAUGUGGAAUAUUUCAGACUUCUUACUGACAUAAUUGAGUUGAAUUACUAUGGCAAAUGGAAAGUUGUCUUAUUUCGAGGUGAUUGGGCCGAUGUUAAUACUGCCUGUGGAAUUAAGCAAGAUCAAUUUGCUUUUACAAUGGUGAACUUCGUUCGAUUGAUUCACACAGGACAACAACUGAUAGAUGAGCCGUAUGUAUUCUCAUCUCAAGUCAAACAAGUUUUUUACUGAAAAGAUCCAACUGAUGAGGGUUGGUACGUUGUACUCCGUAACAUCCCUAGAGACUUGUUUGACAUGGGCAAUGGAAGUAGAGAUAACAUCAACGACAGAUCAAAAACUUUGCCCUUUCCAGAACAAAACUUAAACAAUAAUAUCCCUAGUACUAGUACACAAUUUCAAUGGGUUUGUCAGGAUACGGAUGAAGAUAUUUACGAAUAAUGACGUAGUAAGAUUUUACGAUUUUUUAAUUAUAUGUAAUAUCAUAAUUUAAAUCUUGGUCUUAUUAUAUAUUUCAACUAUUUUAUAUGUGCUGUUAUUGUUGUAAUUAGUUAUUAAGUUUUCAACUAUUUUAUGUGUAUUGCAGAUAAAAUGCCUAGAAGAAAAAUUCCAAUGGGAAGCAUUGUUCAAAAUGAUCCAAACUCGACAGAAACAAAUAGUACUGAACAACAGACAGUAAUUGGAUCUUCGAAUGUUCCAAUUACACCUGAGGACCAUACAGAAGUUCAAAGUAAUUUUACAUUUAAUUUACAUGCGUGUUGACUUAUAAUUGAUUUAUUUUUCAAAUUCUUAUAUUAUAAUAUACCAUUUGCAGCUGAAAAUGGUGGGACACGUAGAGGUCGAGGACGUACGCUACUUAGAGAUUUAUACGAGUUAGAUCUAGUCGAGUGCGUCAAGGUAUGCAGAAACAGUUUUGGUCAGCCUGUUGGAUUAAAAGCUCGACUUUUAGCAGGAUACAUGUGGCAUUUUAGCACGAAAUGCGGAUAUGUUGCCUAUUAACUACGAGUCAUGGAAUCAAAUGCCCGAUAGCAACAAAAACUAAGCCCUCGAUAAUAUUAAGGUAACAAAAUGUUAAUGUCAUCUGUAAUACUUGAGAAAUAGUUUCAUUUAUAUUUACUUUAUUAACUUAUGUUUUUUGUAGGCGAGAUUUGCUUUAGAGGUCUUGGAUGCUUAUGUAAAGAAGGCAUUGGGAAAAAUAUGGAGAGAACAUAAAAAUACUUUGAAGAAAUAUUAUUAUAAGACAAAAACAACCCUCGAUGAGAAAUUACAAAAUGUCCCGCCGAGUAUGCUGAGGUACCAAUGGGAAGAUGCGGUUAGAUUUUGACAUUCGAAGAAAGGCGAGGUAUGACGUACUUUCAAACUAUUGUAAUUAUUUUGGUUUGUAGUAUUUACUAUUUACGUACUAAAAAUUUCAUAACGUAGGAUCAGUGAACGAGUUGGAAAAAGCAGCAGGCAUAAACAAAAAUUCACUCACACAGCCGGGUCGAGAAGUUUUGCAUGUGUAGCUGAGGCGGAGGUAUUUUUAAUUUUUUAAUAUUGUCAAAUAUGUAUAACUUUCCAUUAAAUAAUAUUUUUACUACUAUAUUGUAGGAACUGUCGUCCGGUCAAAAAGUUGGACACCUUCAGCUUUUUGAAAUUACACAUAGGAAGAAAGAUGGAUCUGCUAUGACUCCUGAAGCUGGUGAAAUUAUGGUACGUUUACUUAAUACCGUUUGACUUGUUUUAGUUAUUUAUAGUGUUUAUUUUCUAAUGGUUUAAUUCAUUGCUUGUAAUGCGACUAUUGUUAUGUUGCAUUUGUUUUUUUAAUAUAUAUUGCGUUCUUAACUAUGUGAUUUAUUUAUUAGGAAAAACUAAAGAAUAAAAAUGCGGAGUACGAAGCGAUUGCUUCUAGUGAUAGUUCUGUUCAUCCUAAAGACAUUUUUAACCGGAUUAUUACUGAAGUUUUGGGUCAUGAAAGGUAUGGUCAGGUUCGAUUUCAAAGAUCUUUUGUUAGCCCAACCCAAUAUUUUGGAUCCAGCUCGCAGCAAUACAUGGCUUCGGGGAGUCAGACUCAAGCUGAAGUUCAGAGGUUAAAAGACCAGAUGGCUCAGAUGCAAGCGACCACAGUUGAGGUUCAAAAGAAAUAUGAAAAACUCUAGCUACAACUUAAAGUAGAGGCGGCAGCGAGGGAAGCAAAGGCUGUAGUGAGAGAAGCAGAGGUUCAAAAGAAAUAUGAAGAACUCCAGCUAAAACUUAAAGAAGAUGCAGACUCGAGAGAAGCAGAGCAGAGCAGAAAGUACGACUAACUCCAACAGCAGCUUCAGAGUAUGAUGAAGAUGUUUCAGCAGUCGCAAAUUCCGCCGUCAUAGAGUAUUGCAUAAAUAUUUUUAUCAUUUCAACUUUUAACAUUUUUUUAAAAAUAAUAUGAAUUCACUUUUAUUUAUUGAUAUUAAUAUUAUUUUAUUAUUUAAUUUGAAAUAUUAUAUAACUUUAUUGCUUUUGGCUGGUUUAGAUCUGGUUGCUUUUGAUUUGUUGCUACAAUAAGGCUGAAAAAAUGGAAAAUUUUAUUUUACAGAAAUCCCAAAUUAAUGGCGUUUUUUUUAAAAGCACCGCUAAAAGUCGCGUCCCUAUAGUAGCGUUUGUGUAUAAAGCGCCGCUAAAGAACAUGUUCUUUAGCGACGUUUUUCUUCAGGCGCCGCUAAAGAACAUGCCCUUUAGCGGCAGUUUUCUUCAAGUGCCGCUAAAGAACAUGAUAUUUAGCGGCGUUUUUCUUUAAACGCCAUUAAAGAACAUGAUCUUUAGCGGCGUUUUUUUCUAACCACCGCUAAAGAACAUGAUCUUUAGCGGCGUUUAUUUCUAAGCGCCGCUAAAGAAUAUGACCUUUAGCGGCGUUUAUUUUUUUAAACGCUGCAAACAUUAGCGACGUCGUUAGCGGCAUUUUUUGCGGCACUUGUGGAAGCGUCGCAAACACCUUUAGUGGCGCUAAGAAGCGCCGCUACAUGCCUAAAAAAACGCCGCUAAAAACCUGUUUUGGUGUAGUGCUCUUAAAAAAAAUUCUUGGAUGAAGAAAGUAUAAAAGUAUAUAUACCUGAUGAACUUCGUUCUAAAGUUGCUCCAUGUUUCCAUAUGGUAAUUCCAAUGUAAUAAGGUUCUUUGGAUUAAAACUUGAUGAUAAAGAUUUGAAGGGGUAAUAAUGCCAUACAAGAUACCUUAGCUCAUCCGGAAGAGAGAUAAUAUCAUCUUGGUAUGUAUGUAGCUUCUUAUAAUCCUCAUGCUCUUUCCUCAACCAACUCCGAGGAAAAUAGAAGAAAAUACAUCUAAGAUUAAUCAUGCUUUCAAAACCAGAAGGUUGGAAUACUAGGUUACCCAUACGUGACAAGGCUACCUUUAUUCCUUGAAUUCGAUCAGUUCCCUGAUAACAAAAACCAAUUUAUCAAAUAUUAGCAUGGAGAAAUUUAUAGACAUUCCAUUAAAUAACUCAUAAAAAAAUAAUUAUAUUAAGAUAGACGUAGACUAAUUGAGCACUUUUACAUACAGAAAGUGUUUUCUUUUCUUUUGUUUUUAUUUUUUCAAAUCAAUGCAUUAAGUAUUUAACUAAGUCAUAAACCUUGAGCAGAUUCUACAUUAUACCUAAGACAUAGUCAUUAUGUGUCUAGUAUGAUGAUAAUUAUUUUAUUUUUAAAUACUAAUUAAAAGGGAUAAUACUUGAUAUGAUAUCAAAUGUAUAGGUUUAUAUACUGGCAUUCAACCAAAUGACAAUAUCUCAUUAAAGUAUAUUAAAAAAAUAUAAUUAGUGCUUACUUUAUUAUAUUUGAGCACUUCUUCCACGUGUUUCGGAUUCCAUAGUCUACUGCACUUACCAAGGGUUUUAGAUUCUUGACAAACAAUGUCCUUUCCCAUCUCUUCAAGCGUAUCAUGCAUAGAAAUUGCAUCUCGUAAUAAUUUACAUGGCCACAUUGUAGAAUAAUCAAAAUGAUCAAGAGAGAAAUUAGUAGAAGAUGAGACAUUGAUCAGGCAUUUGUCAACCAAUUUGUUUAUUCCACACUCUGCACCCGUAUAACAACUACUUAGAAUAAGUUUUGCUCUUUCCAUGGGUUCCCCUUUAAAGAAGCAUGCAAUGUCAAGAAAUAUAUUCUGCUCUACUAAAUCUAGCCCAUCAUAACUACUUUUCAAAACCUCUAAAAUUUUUUUUUCUGGGGGACAGUCCUUUAGCUUCUCCACCUUACUUUCCCAAUAAUUUUUACUUCUUUUAUUUAAAUCAGAACCCAAAACUUUAAGAGCAAGUGGAUUGCCUUGAGUGUACUUUACAAACCUACGGGAUAGAUCUUGAAAACCAACUGCGGGAUUCAACUGCUUAAACGCAAAGGUAGAAAAAAGUUGAAGAGAAUCGUUCUUAUUUAACCCUUUCACCUCAUGUAUUGUGUCAGCUCCUCCACUCUCAAGCACUUGUCUAUCUCUUGAUGUUAUAAUGGUUUUACUUCCAUAACCAAAAUGUUUAACACCCAUAUAAUCUAUUUGGUCUGAGUCAUCAACAUCAUCAAGGACAACAAGUACUUUCUUCUUGUUGAGUCUCUCUUGAGUUAAAGUGGAUCCAAUGGAGGGGGUGCCUAUAUCAACAUUUGAGUUCAAUAAUUUCGAAAGAAAUUCAUUUCGUAAAGAUUCCUUCCCUUGUUUGUUUAUUUCCUCUCUAACAUUUUGAAGAAACCAAUGACUUUCAAACUCUGAAGAGAAUUUUUUACAUACAGCCUCAGCAAGGGUUGUUUUGCCUUGACCACCCAUUCCCCAAAGUCCUAUUACACGACACUCUUUUUGCUUAAUCAGCUUCAAAAUCGCAUUUUUCUGAUAUUCUAUUCCAACCAAUUCUUCAGAAGCACUUUCAAACCCAAUAUUCGUCAACUUUUUUUAUAACAUAUUCGACAACAUCUUUAAUGUACUCGGUUUCAGGUCUAGAAAACAAUAAGAAAUGUAAAUAAGUAAAUAUGAAAUCUAAAAUAAAGAUUAGUUGAAAAUAACAAGAUGAGAAAAAUAUAGUUACCUGUCAAAUUUGCCUCCUUCUAUAUACCACCCUUUUAAUUUACCAACCUCUGCAAAAGCAGUUUUCCAUUGUUGUACUCUAUCAGCUGGUUGCUCUGAUUCAUGCUCUUCGAAGGAUGUCUUAAAAUGCCCACCACUAUUUCGCACAUCGGAAGGAUCAACAUGGUAAAAGACGGGAAGAACAAUAUGUUUGUCAGUGGGAUUGUGCUUGCGAUCCAUGAUGUCAGAAAGUUCACCUAAGCAUGAUUUUAAAGAAGCAUAGGCUUUAGAUACAACGAGGAUUGAGAGAUUUGAGGCCAAAAUUGUUCGAGAAUACGUUGGUGGAAGUUUCUCUCCUUUUUUCAGUGUUUCGUUAUCGGGGAAGACAUUAAUUCCUACUUUUUCCAAAGCAUUGACUAGGUGAUUGGAGAAGUUGAGGCGUGUGUCUUCACCUAAGCUUAAGAAAACUUGAUGCUUCAUCAACUUUUGCAUAACAUACGCAACAAUAUCCUUGAUGUACUGGGUUUCAGGUCUAGCAAAUAAUAGAAGAAGUAUAUAUAUGAAAUCCAAAACGAAGAUAAGUCAAAUAUAAGGAGAUGAGACAAAUAUAGUUACCCAUCCGACCUGCUUCCAUCUAUAUGCCACCCUUGUAAUUUACCAACUUCAGCAAAAGCAGUUUCCCAUUGUUUCACUUCAUGAACUGACCUCUUUGUUUUAUGCUCAUCAAAGGAUUUCUUAAAACUUCCAUCAAUUUUCACCACAUCAGAGGGGUUAACAUGGUAAAAGAUGGGACGAACAGUAUGUUGUCCGACGCUAUAGCGGUCCAUGAUGUCAGAGAGUUCAACCAAGCAUGAUUUCGAAGAGGCAUAGUCUGCAGACAAAACGAUGAUUGAGAUAUUUGAGACUGCAAUUGCUCGAGAAAGUGCUUGUGAAAGCUGGUCCCCCCUUUCCAGUUUUUCUUCAUCGAAGAAAACAUCAAGUCCCUCGUCUUUCAAAGCUUGAAGUAAGUGAGUGGUGAAAUUAAGGCGCGUGUCUUCACUUCUGAAGCUCAAGAAAACAUGAUACUUCAUUAGAGUAGAAGAUGAAGAAGAAGAACCCAUGAAAGAGUAUUGAUAGUGUGCUUGAAGCAAAAGAGAGAACAAAUAUAGCAAGUGAGUUUUGCUUGGGUUGUGGUAUUAUUGUAAGAAGAAAAAGUGUAAAUGGGAAAGAGAUUGAAGGCCUAGGCAAAAGCACAGGCGACGAUUUGAGCUUAGCCAACUAUCCUUUAGUCAACACUGGUGUUACUUGCACGCCACAUUAUCUUUUUGAAGAAAGCAAUGAGUUUCAAACUCUGAAGAGAGUUUUUUAUAUACAGCCUCAGCAAGGGUUGUUUCGCCUUGACCACCCAUUCCCCAAAGUCCUAUUACACGACAGUCUUUUUGCUUAAUCAGCUUCAAAAUCGUCCUUUUCUGAUAUUCUAUUCCAACCAAUUCUUCAGAAGCACUUUCAAACCCAAUAUUCGUCAACUUUUUUAUAACAUAUGAUUAAAUUAUUUAUUAUUUAUAUUAAUAAUCUUAUUAAAAUUUAAUAACAAUAACAAUAAUUAUCUACCUAAAAAAAAUUCUGCUAAGGGUAUUCUAGUUAUUUUUAGGGGUGUGCAUAAUUCGGGUAAAACCGAAAAAAUUCGGUUAACCGACCAAAUUCGGUUAAUCGGUCGGUUAACCAAAUUUUUACGGUCGGGGGUCGGUUAAUUUUUUUUAUGAUUUUUUGUUAACGGUUAAUUCGGUUCGAAACCGGUCGGUUAACCGAAUUUUUUCGGUUAACCGAAAAAAUUAAUAAAUAAAAUUAUUCAACCCAACCCAAUUACCAACCUAACCCAAUAAAACUAAAACAAAAGUCUACCCAAUUACCUAACCUAAUAAAACUAAAACAAAAGCCUACCAAAUUACCAACCCAAUAAAAAUAAAACUAAAGUCUAACUCUUAAGUAUCUACCCAAUUACACAUGUUUUUUUGUUAGGUUUAAUGCAAAUGAAGAUUUUUUGGAGAGAAGAAAUGGAUAUAAAUGGAGAAUAUUAAAGACUUACAUUUAAACUAUGUGUUAUUUCAAGAAUUAAUUUCAAGAAUUAUGUAAUGUUUUUAAUUAUGUAGUGGUUCAAAGACUUAUGUAAUAUUUUUAAUUAUGUAGUGAUUCAAUUCGGGUAAUUCGGUUAAUUCAGUUAAUUCGGGUAAUUCGGUUAAUUCGGUUAAUUCGGUUAAAUCGGUUAAUUUGGUUAGUUUUUAACCAAAAAUAAAUACCAUACAAUUUUUGGUUAAUUCGGUUAACUAAUCUAAUUAACCGAAAAAAUUUCGGUUCGGUUAAUUUCUUUUUAAAAAAAUUCGGUUCGGUUAACGGUUAAAAAUUUUAGAAAGUCGGUUAAUUCGGUUAUAGCUAUUUCGGGUCGGUUAACCGGUCGGUUAACCGAAUGCACACCCCUAAUUAUUUUAGUUUUUGUCCUUAUGCUAUUACAACAUCAUAUAGUUUAAGGGUAUUCUGCUAAGGAAAACAUGAUACUUCAUUAGAGUAGAAGAUGAAGAAGAAGAAGAAGCCAUGGAAGAGUAUUGAAGCAAAAGAGAGAAAAUUUGGUUGGGUUGUGGGAUUAUUGAAAGAAGAAAAAGUGUAAAAUAUGCAUAAUCUUUGGUAUCCUUUCAUUAAAUGGGAAAGAGAUUGAAGGCGUUUUCCUUAGACUUGAGCUUAGCCAAUUAUCUUAGUCAACACCAGCGGAGAUAAUCAAUUCUCCUUUUUAUCUUUUACCGCAAAAGUGGGAGUGUUUUGAUGGUGGGUGGGCCCAUCAAACCCAAAAUGAUUCUUAUUUCAACGAUUUAAAAUACAAAUUUAAAAAUCGCGAUUAAUUGAGCUUAGUUGAGAGGAUAAGUUUACAGUUUUAUAAUAAAGUCCCUCGUGAUGUUUUAAAUAUUUUAAAUCAAGAUAAAAGUUAAGGGUGCUUUUGAUCAAUUUAGUUUGAUGUAAUUUUUAUUUGUUAGUUUGUUUUUUACUAAAAAAUUGGUUAUUAUCUGAAAUCGAAUCGAAUUUUAUUUUUUAUUUCAUAUAUAAUUAAUUUUAACUUUUUUGAUAUAAAAAUACAUAUUUUAUAUUUAAAAUAAUGAAAGUAAUUUAAAUUUUUUGAAAAAUUAUUGUAUUUUAGAAAUAUUUAUGAAAAUAAAUUUGAAAUUUAUCAAAUAAUAUUUAAAAGCCAUAAAACAAAACUCAUUUUAUCAAAAUAAACCUUAAAAAUCAAAAAAAAAAUUAAUAUAAGAAACUGUGAACUAAACCGAGCCGAAUUAAACUAUAAUGGAUGAUUCAAAAAAUAUAAAUAACCCGGCCCUGUGAACCUCUUUGAAACUUCACUAUCCAUGAAAUUAGCCAAUUUGGAAAAGGGUCAAAUUUUGAUUUUGAGUCCUUUUACUAUUCUCAAAUUCGAGAUUUAGUCCUUUAACUUAAAAUAAUCUCUUUAUUUAUAUGUUGUCAUUAGUUAAUUCAAACAAGACAAUUAACUAUUUCAAUUAAAAUUAAAACGUAUUAUUAUCAAAGUGAUAUAAUAUCUUGUAAAAGGUAACUAAAAUAAACAAAUAAAGAACAAAAAAAAUUGAGAGAGAAGUGAAGAUAAGGGCAUAGUUAACUUUUUCUAUGUUUAUUAAGAUAAAUCAUCUUAUGGAGCAAAUCCAAAAAUUAGUUUAGAGUCUACUGUUGGAGAGGAUAAUGAUAGUAGUUAUGGAUCAUCUGUUGGUGAUGAAAAUGCUGUUGAUUUUGCAUUAGAUGAAGUGAACAAUGUUGCGGUUGCAAUUAGUGGAAAAGAGGAGGAUGGGAAUAAUACUAAAACUGAGGUAUGGGACUUAGAUGAACAUGGCAGCUUGGUUGGGUUCAAUGAAGAUGAAGAACAUGAAGAUGGUGAGAGAAGAAGAAGCAAGUUUCUUUUAUACAAUGAUUGAUCUAAUCCGUUAAAAUUUAGUUUAGGAAUGUUGUUUAAAGAUGGCAAAUAGUUUAAGAGUGCAAUUCGAAACUACUCCAAAGAAUGUAGAAGACAACGGAAGUUUCUUAAGAAUGAAUUGAAAAGGGUUGUUGUGAGGUGCAUUGCUUCCCCUAACUGUCCAUGGAGAAUUUUGGCUAGCUACAAUCCUAUUCCCAAAUACUUGCAAGUAAAAACUUUUCAGGAGAAGCAUCAUUGUUUGGGUAGUUCUGAGAACAAAAUGAUGAUUGCUGCAAUGAUUGCCCAACAUUUUGAAGCAAUUAUCAAUGAUCACUUUAAGAUGCAAAUAAGGAAAAUUCAAAGAAGAUGUGCUUCAUAGAUGCAUGUAAAUGUGAGCAUUCAGUGUUGUUAUAGAGCUAAGAAAGUAGUGAAGGAGAAAAUGGUUGGGAAUUACGAGGAAUUUGGUCAGUUAUAUGACUAUACUCAUGAGUUAAGGUCAAAGAUGUCAGGCAGCACAAUAAAAAUGGUUGUUCAUAGUAGAUUCCCCUCCUUAUUUUAGAAGGUUUUAUCUGUGCUUUGAUACACUAAAGAGAGGCUGGAAAGUGAGGUGUAGGCCAUUUAUUGGAUUAGAUGGUUGCUUCCUAAAAGGGUCAUUUAAGAGUGAAUUUCUCACAAUUGUUGGAAGGGAUGCAAACAACCAGAUGUUCCCUAUGGCAUGGGUUGUGAUUGAAGUGGAAUACUUUGAUUCAUGGGCCUAGUUUCUUAGUCUCCUAUUAAUUGAUUUGGGCUUGGAGGAUGGGUAUGAGUUCACAAUUAUCAGGGACCAACAAAAGGUUAGGGAAUUAACUAAUUUGGGCUUGGUCUUGUCUUUUUAUUUUGUUAAGUAUAAUUAGCUAUAUUUUUCUAACAAUCUAACUGGUUCAUUAAAACACAAUUAAGGCCUUCAGAUUGUAAUUUCUACAUAUCGCCAAAGGUGGAGCAUAGGAAUUGUGCGAGGGACAUGUUUGCAAAUUGGUCAGGAAGGAAGCUAGGGAAAUCUUAUGAGUAUGAUUUCUAGCAGAUUGUGAAUUCCAUAACUGAGAAUGAAUGGGAGGAAUUAUGUGCAGCACUAUGUCCGACUUGACUUUCAUUAAAAUUUUAUGGAAACUACGGAUCACGGUCAUAAAAUUCAAAAAAAUAAAACAUAACAAAUAGAAAACACCUACUCCGUGAUCAAUAUAAAACCAUAUGUUAGAAGAUUAACCAAUCUCAAGCAUCUAUUGAUUAUAUAUAGGGAACAGUUGGUAGGUUUACCUUAUCUAACAUGAAUAUAAAUCAGAAAUCAUGAACUGAAAACAUAUAUAUUUACUAACAUUUUAAGGAAAUAUGAAGCAUAAAUCAAUGGGUGAACGAAUCAUUGAAGUAAAAUGCAGAUAGUCUUGAGAUACAAUAUGAUUAAAUCUCUACUUACUGCCCAUGGCACAAGCACCAAUGGUAGAACCUAAACAAUUAAGCUGAAUGAUGUCCACCACAGAUCCUAUGAAUCAAAACCAACCAAUAACAAGUCAAUUGCCAAAAAGAAUUCAAGUAUGAAUCUUAAUAUCUCUUCACUGCAAUGCUCAAACAACAUGAGAGGAAGUAACAUACAAAGAACUUUCAGCCCAAACUGAUACGACAAUCAAAAUCCAAGGUAAGAAGCUAGCAACUCCAAUGGCUCUACCCUGGAACUAACCCAAUCUAGCUUGAGAAUGAAAACUGCCGAAGGUUGCAUCUAGCUCCACGUGUUCAUCCCACAAGUUUUGAGAUCUCUUGCAAAUUCUGGAUUUAUAUAAUCCCAUUGAUAAAUAUGGGAAAAAAUGGUGAGGAUGCUGAAAAUCAUUAUAUGAACCUAAAAUCAUGAUAAUUAAGUCCAAGUCGAUGGUAACUUCUUCACCAAGACUGAAUUUGCCAGAACCCAGAAAGGGCCUCAAAAGAUUACUUUGAAGUUGUGUUCACAAAUCUGUUGACAACUUGCAUUGUCACCAAAUAUCAGUUAAAACACUUGUAUGAAACAAGCAUUCAGCAAAACAAAUUGAAGCUCUUACAGUUCAGGUGCUCCUCCUUAUAUGGCUAAAGCUCCAAUUCAGCAGUGGCACAAAUAACCAAUCUUUCUAAUGAAUCUAGAUGUCAUUGAAGGAAAAUGCAGCAAGUCUUGAGAUACCAGAUGACACCAAUGCUGGAAACUAAACAAUGAAGCUGAAUCGAGUCCACCACUGGUCCUAUGAAUUAAAAAAAAAACCAACCAAUAACAAGUCAACUGUCAAUAAGAAUUAAGUAUGAAUCUUAAUAUCUGAAUUUUAAGAACACAGACACAACAGGGGAUGAAGAUGAGAAAAAAAUAAUAAUAAUAAUAAGCAAAAAUCACAAGCUGUUGAACAAAUUUCCAAUUUUUAUGUUCAUAAAUUAUGUUUUUAACAUUUACAAUGUAGAACUACAAGGUUUCAGUAUGGUAAAGCACCUUCUGAAAGACAAGUAAUUUAUAAAGCAGAGCAAGUUAGAUUCAUCCUGGUCGGUUUUAAUUAAUUAAAGCACUUCAUUUGCUGUUAUUAAUUUAUAAGUUCAAAAUUUACUAUUAACAAUUGUGGAAGACAAAAGUAUGGCAAUAUGAAAAAUGAAAUGAAAAAACUGAAAAUGUAUGAUAAUAUGAAAAACUGAGAUGAAAUGAAACCCUUACCCAUGCAUUUGGAUGACAUAAUUGAGAAGUUGAAAGUCCUCAAAAGCAGAGCCAAAGAUGGAAAGAAAUACAAACUAUUUCAAUCUUUUAAGUCCUCCAUCCCCUUCUUCACCAUCAUGGCUAAAGCUUCUUUUGUUCCCAGCAACUCUCUUUUCAGUAGCAUCCACGUAAAAUACAUGAACACCACAUCUCUCCACCUUGAUAUACUUUUCUCCUCCAUCAUUGUCUUCAUCGAAAUGGAAAUUGUUAAUGUAGAAUUCAAAUGUUGCCUCCUCAUAAUUCUUGUCUUCUAUAACCAUGUCGAUGCUAGAUAGAAUAAACACGUGAUAAUCCAUGUACUAAACUGGCUCAUAAAAACUGCGGAAAGAGAUCUCACUUCUGAAAUUUUCACAACCACCUCCACCAUUGCCGCCAACGGCAGUUGUAAGUUGGUACUCACAAAUACAUUCACGUAAUUGAAAUUCAAGGCAGUGAGUGAGAUCAACCACAAGGCAGAUAGCAAAAACCAAAAAUCUGCUCCCACUACCCCCAUUUGGGGCUAUCUUCAAACUUAAGGAAGAAUUCAUGCUCUGACACUUGAACAUAUUUGCUGAAAUUUUGUUUCCUGGGAAACAACAAAUCAAACUUGGAGCUCUGUCAGGGUUGUAUUGCCAAUCAUAUCUCGCUGCCCAUUUCUUAGCUAGGGAUCCAAUUUUGAGCAUGGUAUUUGCCUCAAUGUUAUUAGUUGAGUCUUGAUUCAAGUUGAAGCAAUUACGGAAUCGCAUCAAAAAGUUAUGAUUUAUGCAAAACUCAUCAUCUAAAGAAUCAAACUGAUUUAAAUUUUGAUCUGCGAAGGAUACUUUUUCUAAUGAUGUGCAGUCAUUUACACUCAAGACUUCCAGAUAUGGUGGAAGCUCUGAGAGUAAUUCGACCUUUGGGCAACCACUAAGAUCCAGAUAAUGAAGAGAUUCCAACUUGAUCGAUACAUUUUUGACCGCUGAGCCACUCAUAUUUAAGUGCUGAAGAUUACAUAGAGAGUCGAAAGGCAACGACACUUCUUCAAUUUGAGUGCCAGAUAAGUUUAAUUUUAUUAAGCUUCCUGGGAUUUCUGGAAAUUUGACCAUUGGGCAUCCACUAAGAUUCAGUUUGCGAAUGGAUUCCAACUUGAUCGAUACAUUUUUGACCGCUGAGCCACUCAUUUUUAAGUGCUGAAGAUUACAUAGGGGGUCGAAAGGCAACGACACUUCUUCAAUUGGGCAACCACUAAGAUCCAAUUUACGAAGGAAUUCCAACUUUAAAAUAUUGAUCGAUACUUUUUUCACCUUUGACUUCCCUAACCACAAAGUUUCAAGUUUGUGGUAGAUCCUUAAUUGAAUCAGACACUUCUUCUACUUUGGUUUCUGAUAAAUCUAAAGAGCAAAAGGGAGGUGGGACAUUAGGAAACUUCUUGAGACUAUAACAUCCGUUAAGACGAAGACUAUAUUGAUGAAGAGAUGCCAAAUGAUUGAGGCAAGGAAGUUCAACCAAACUUUUACAGUUAGAGCAACCAAGGAAUUCAAGGUUGAUUGCUCUUGAAAGAUUAGAUAUCUUCCUUAAAUUCACGCACCCAUCAAAGUAAAUUUUCCUUAAAUGAACAAGGUCCUGUACAGAAAAAAUAAUUGUUUUACUUUUAAGCAUCAACCACUUACUUUAGACCGUAAAAUAUGUAAAGGAAAUAAAUAAUUAUAAUACGAUAAAAAAUAAAAAUUUAUAUUUGAUGUAUCAAGGGUGAAAAUCCACCCACAGCUAAUAAAUCAAAUGAUGUCACUUAUCUAAAUAAAAUAAAUUCUUUUAUAUAUAUUUUUAAAAACCUUUAAAUAAAAUAUUAUCAUAUGAAUAUUUGAUACAUCAAAUUAUAAAUUAUUUUUUUCAAAAAAAAAAGAGUAUAAAAAUGCAUACCAUACGAUCAUCUUCAUCCCAAAGUUCAACCAAACUUUGACAGUAAGAGCAAUCAAGGAAUUCAAGGUUGAUGGCUCUUGAAAGAUUACAUAUCUUCCUUAUAUUUUUGCAUUCUGAAAUAUAAAUUUCCCUUAAAUUAACAAGCUCCUGUAUGGAAACAACAUUUGUAUUGCUUUGAAGCAUCAACUACUUACUUUAAGUAGUAAAAAAUGAAAAAGGAAAUAAAUAAUUAUAAUACUAAGAAAAAUAAAAAUUCAUAUUUGAUGUAUUGGGUGUGAAAAUUAACACACAAUUAAUAGAUCAAAUGAUGCCACUAAUUUAUAUAAAAUAAAAUAAAAUCUUUCAUAUUUCUUUUUUAAAAACUUUAAUUAAGAUGUCAACAUAUCAUAUGAUUAUUUGAUACAUUAAAUUAAAAAAAAUCUUAAAUGAAAUAAGUAUGAAAGUACACAUACUAUAUGAUCAUCUUCAUUCCAAAGUUCAACCAGACUUUCACAGCCAAUGCAACGAAGGAGUUCAAGGUUGAUGGCACCUGAAAGAUUAUGCAUCUUCCUUAAAUUCUUGCAAUAUGAAACGUCAAUUUCCCUUAGAUUAGUAAGGUUCUGUGCAAAAGAAAAAUAUAUAAAAAUAAUUAUAUAUCAUUGUCAAGUAUCAUCUACUUACUUUAGGCAGUAAGAAAUAAAAAGAAAAUAAAUAAUUGACAAGAUCCUGCACAGGAUGAGAACGAAAGUAGUUUCAUUACUUUAGAGCAUCAUCUACUUAUAUUAAGAUUAUCAAAAUAAAAAUUUGUAUUGGGUGUAUUAAUUCACCCACCAUUAAUAGAUGAAAUUGCUUCUUUUAGAAAAAAAAAAUAUAUAUAUUUAAAAAAAUUAAAUAAAAUGAUUUCACUUAUUCAAAUAAAAUAAAAUGUUUCAUAUUUAUAUUUUAAAAACUUUAAAUAAAUAUCAUAUGAUAUAUUAUUUGACACAUCAAAUUAUAAAUCCUCUUUCUCCUUAAAAAAACUUCUUAAAUGAAGAAAGUAUGAAAGUAUAUACCAUAUUGUCAUCUUCACUCCAAAGUUGUUCCAUGUUGCCAUGUAAUAGUUUCAACAUGACAAGAUUUUUUGGAUUAAAACUAGAUAAAGAUUUGAAAGGGUAAACAUCCCAACAGAGAAACCUUAACUCAUCAGGAAGAGAUAUACUCUCAACUUGAUUUGCAUAUAGCUUCUUAAGCCAUAACAUUUUCUUAGGAAAGCUGAUGUUGAUAUAUCUAAGCUUAUGCAUCUUCUCAAUAGCAGUAGCACAAAACUGUAGACUAUCAACUUCAGUCAUGUCUACCUUUAUUCCUUUAAUUAGAUCAGUCCCCUGAUAAAAAAAAAUAUUUAUCAUGAAUUAACACAAAGAAAUUUAUGUACAUUCCAUUAAAUCAGUCAUAAAAAAGUUAAUUAUAUUAGGAAACACUUUAAACUAACGCAUACCUUUUUUUUUUUUUGAAGUUUGAAUUUUUUUAAUCAAAAUGGCUUUUUAUAAUUAAAAUUUAUUUUAAUAUAUGAAACUUUGAUUUGUAAUCAAGUAACUCAGCUCUUGUGUAUGUAUGUGAUGCUAUUUUUGUCUUAAAGAUUAUUAUCAACAAGAAAAAUUGUUCCAAUGAUGUUGGGGGGUGUUAAUUUCCAAGUCAAGGUCUUCCAUUGGGACAAAAUUGUUAAGUAAAUAAAAUUCCAUUCUUUGAAUUUCUUUUUGGGUCCUAACAAAAAUAUUGACUUCUACACACUUUGUGAUUUGGGUCAAUUGAACUGAAAUUUCAUAUAAUUUUCUUUAAGAAGAAGCACUUUCAGACAAUUUUAAGUGAAUUGAACUUAAAUUUCCCACAACUUUAUAAUUUUCACUUUUUUCCCCUAAAUGAAAAGUUUUGGGAAUGAAGGGUGUUGUGUUUCUAUUUUCCUAGGUAAAAUAAUGAUAGAUUUUCUUUCUGCUUUGGGGGUUUCCUAUUUAAUCCUUUAUUUUGAGCACAGGUAAGGUGAGUUUGGUUAAAAAGACCUCUUUAGUUUCUUUCAAUUUUGGAAUCGAAUAAAUUGGUCACUCUCAAAAAAGAAAAUCAAAGCAAUUGAAUCAUGGUUAAUUUUAAAGGUGAGUAACUAAGGACAACUAAUCGUGAUGUUAACGUCUUUCGUCAAUUGUACAUAAUUUUGAUUGGUAUAACAAUAAAUUUAGCCUUCAAUGUUUCCAUUUUUUGUCAAUUUGGUCUUGGUUCUAAAAAAUCAAUAAAUUUAGUAUCAACAUUUACACAAAUGUUGUGGGCUAAAUUUGUUAAAUCAAGACAAAAUUGUAAAAUUUGAGGGGUAAAUUUGUUAUUAUACUAAUCAAAAUUAUGUAAGUUUGAUGGACAACAUUAAUGUUGUGCUUAAUUUACUUUAAUUGCUCACUUUCGAAAUUGAUGGAAUUUAAAUUGUUCUAAUUUUUUUAAGGGAGAUCAAUUUACUAAAUAUCAACCUUGAGAUAGAUUGAAUAGAUCUUUUACCAACAAAUAUGCUUGCUUACAUUUAUUUUAAACAUAGAAUCCAAUCAGUUUUCUAAUUAAACAUGGAUUCACCUAAACUGAUUAGCAAGUAGGAAUGAGCAAAAUUCAAUUCUAUUUGUAUUGGCAAGCAUGCAAUCUUUGAUUUUUUCAAAGAUGAAUGGUGUCAGAAAGUUGGCACCGAAAAUCUAAGCAUUUAAGGCAUAGAUUUUUGAGUUGAAAUUUGGCUUGGAAUAAUUGCAAUUUUGGUCCCUAAUUGUAUAGGGACUUUGCAAGUUGAUCGUUGAGCUUCAACUAUAAAUAGGCCUAGCUAUUUCUCAUUUUCACCAUCCCACAAAUGCCAUUCUCUACUUAAGGCAUUAUUCUCUCUCCUUAUUUGUAAAAUUUCACUUGUAUUUUGGAGUGAAAUAUAUUUGGUAGUGCCCGAGGACGUAGGCAAAAUUUGCUGAACCUUGUUAAAAUUCUAGUGUUCUUUAUUGUUUAUUUUGCAUAUUUUGUAAGUGUGAUUGUAGUGAUUUAUUGUGCUAUUAAAUUACGAUAGAGGGAUAUUCUGGCUAGGAAAGACCUGGGAAUUGAACUUAGUGUGAUUUUUUAGUACAAUAAUUUUACUCUUUUACACGCUUUCGCGCAACAAUUGGUAUCUGAGCUAGAUUCGUACUUGGGGAAUACGACCAUUUACGAUACUAUUUACGUAUACGAUAUUGUUCAUCCACGGCACUAUUCACGUAGACGGUACUGUUCACAUAAACAGUAGUUGGGAUCGAGGAGAAGAAUGGCAGAGGCAUCGUCAUCAACAAAGACUACCGUGACCAAUGCAAAAUUUGAAGUAGAGAAAUUUGAUGGUACAAAUAAUUUUGGUAUGUGGCAAUGUGAGAUCCUGGAUGUCUUAUGUCAGCAAGAGUUGGAUAUAGCUCUUGAAGAAAAACCUGACAAGAUGGAUGACAAGGAGUGGGCCAAGAUCAAUAGACAGGCGUGUGGUACAAUCCGCUUAUGUCUGGCCAAAGAGCAGAAGUACUCUGUCAUGAGGGAGACAUCAGCAAAGAAGUUAUGGGAUACACUGGAAGAAAAGUUUCUAACGAAAAGUCUUGAAAAUAGGCUUUAUAUGAAAAAGAAACUUUUUCGAUUCACGUAUGCACUCGGUAUGUCGAUGAAUGACCAUGUGAACUCAUUUAAUAAAAUUUUAGCAGACUUGCUAAAUUUGGAUGAGAAGUUUGAAGAUAAGACAAGGCAUUAUUGUUGUUGAAUUCUCUUGCCGAUGAAUAUGAUCAUCUUACCACCACAUUGCUUCAUGGGAAGGAUACGAUCACAUUUGAUGCAGUCUGCAGUGCGUUGUACAGAUCUGAGACUCGAAAGAAAGAUAAAAGAGAUCACAGAGAUACAACUGCAGAAGUCUUAACAGUAAGAGGUCGUUCACACAGCAACAAACCUGGUAGAAGGGGCAAGUCCAAAGGGAGACCCGCCAAAGAUGAAUGUGCUUUUUGUCGUGAGAAAGGGCAUUGGAAAAAGAAUUGUCCUAAGUUACAAAAGGGCAAGGCUAUUUCUAAUGCAUGUGUAGCGGAGCAUGAUGAGGAGUCAGACUUUAGCUUGGUUGGCAUGGCAAUGACAUGUCAUACAGAUGAGUGGAUAUUGGAUUCGGGAUGUACUUACCAUAUGUGUCCUAAUAAGGACUGGUUUUCUAGUCUUGAAGAACUAGAAGGUGGAGUUGUUUUUAUGGGCAAUGACAGUGCCUGUAAGACAAUGGGAGUAGGUACAAUCAAAUUAAAGAAUCACGACGGCUCAAUCCAAGUCUUGAUAGAUGUUCGCUAUGUACCUAGCUUGAAGAAAAAUCUCAUCUCAUUAGGGGCCCUAGAAUCUGGGCUCACAGUCACUUUGAGAGAUGGAUUACUAAAGGUAGUAGCUGGGGUAUUGACAGUGAUGAAAGACACUAGAAGAAAUAACUUUUACUAUUUAAAUGGAAGUACAGUUAUUGGAUCAACAUCAACAGCUUCUGCAAAAGAUGCAGAUUCAGAGGCUACCAGUUUAUGGCAUAGGCGAUUGGGACAUGCUGGUGAAAAAGCUUUGCAGACUUUGGCGAAGCAAGGCUUGUUGAAAGGUGCAAAUUCUUGCAAAUUGGAAUUCUGUGAACAUUGUGUUCUGGGCAAGCAGACGAGGGUAAAAUUUGGUUCAGCAAUUCACAAUACGGAAGGAAUUCUGGACUACGUUCACAGUGACGUGUAGGGACCUACCAAAGUGGCUUCUUUGGGAGGUAUGCACUAUUUUGUUACUUUUGUUGAUGAUUAUUCAAGAAAAGUAUGGGUGUAUCUAAUGAAAAGAAAAAGUGAAGUUUUGGAUGCAUUUCUGAAGUGGAAGAAGAUGGUGGAGACUCAGACUGGUCGAAAGGUCAAACGACUUCGAUCAGAUAAUGGUACUGAGUACAAAAAUGAUCCAUUUCUACAAGUAUGUCAAGAUGAGGGCAUUGUGCGACACUUCACUGUCCGGGAUACACCACAGCAGAAUGGGGUGGCAGAACGUAUGAAUCGGACUAUACUGGAGAAAGUUCGAUGUAUGUUGUCCAAUGCUGGAUUGGGCAAGGAAUUUUGGGCUGAGGCAGUUACAUAUGCGUGCCAUCUAAUCAACCGGUUUCCAUCAGCUGCAAUAAAGGGAAAAACUCCUAUGGAGAUGUGGACUGGUAAACCUGCUACUGAUUAUGAUUCUUUACAUGUUUUUGGUUCCACUGCAUAUUAUCAUGUAAAAGAAUCUAAGUUAGACCCAAGAGCAAAGAAAGCAUUAUUCAUGGGUAUAACUGGUGGAGUAAAAUGAUACCGUCUCUGGUGUCCUGAUACAAGGAAGAUUGUUUUCAGUAGAGAUGUGACUUUUGAUGAAUCAACCAUGAUGAAGAACAAAGAUUCACAAAAGGAUGACAAAACCAGUAGUACUUUGCAGCAGGUGGAGCUUGAAAAGGUUAAUGAUGAUCCAGCUAAUAUUGAAGAAACAAAUGAUGAAGAAGUUUUGACUCAAGAACUUCUACAGCAACAAGAUUCAAUUGCAUAUAGGAGGCCAAGAAGAGAGAUUCGUAAGCCUGCUCGCUUUGAUGAUAUAGUGGCCUAUGCACUUUCAAUUGCAGAUGAUGAUGUUCCUUCUACUUACACAGAAGUAAUAAGUAACCCUGAUAGUGUAAAGUGGAAGCAAGCUAUGAAUGAAGAAAUGCAGUCUCUUCAUAAAAAUAGGACUUGGGAGUUGGUGACACUGCCCAAGGGAAAGAAGGCAAUUGGAUGUAAAUGGGUAUAUGCAAAGAAAGAAGGAUUUCCUGGUAAAAAUGAAAUUCGAUACAAGGCUAGAUUGGUAGCAAAGGGUUACGCUCAGAAAGAAGGAAUAGACUACAAUGAAGUGUUUUCUCCAGUUGUGAAGCAUUCGUCUAUUCGGAUUUUGCUAGCCUUGGUUGCGCAAUAUGACCUUGAACUAGCUCAGCUUGAUGUGAAGACGGCUUUUUUACACGGUGAUUUGGAAGAGGAAAUCUAUAUGACUCAACCUGAUGGAUUCAAGGUUGCUGGUAAAGAAAAUUGGGUUUGCAAACUGAUGAAGUCGCUUUAUGGAUUGAAAUAAUCUCCGAGACAGUGGUACAAGCGAUUUGAUCAGUUCAUGAAAGGGCAAAGGUACACAAGAAGUAAAUUUGAUCAUUGCGUGUAUUUUCAGAAGCUACAAGUAGGAACUUUCAUAUACUUGCUCUUAUAUGUUGAUGAUAUGCUGAUAGCAUCUAAGAGCAAAGUUGAGAUUGAGAAAUUGAAGACUCAACUCAAUCUUGAAUUUGAGAUGAAAGAUCUAGGUGAAGCUAAGAAGAUUCUUGGCAUAGAAAUAUGUAGAGAUAGAGCUCAAGGCAGAGUUAGCUUGUCUCAGAAGCAGUAUUUGAAGAAAGUACUACAGCAGUUUGGCAUGAACGAGCAGACCAAACCAGUAAGUACCCCGUUGGCUUCUCAUUUCAAGCUUUCUGCACAACUAUCUCCUUCGACGAAUACGGAACAAGAAUACAUGUUACAAGUUCCGUAUUCUAAUGUAGUGGGUAGCUUGAUGUAUGCAAUGGUGUGUACAAGACCCGACAUUUCACAAGCAGUUAGUAUAAUGAGCAGAUAUAUGCAUAAUCCUGGAAAAGGACAUUGGCAAGCUGUGAAAUGGAUUCUACGAUAUAUUCUGAAGACCGUGGAUGUUGGAUUACUGUUCAAGCAGGAUACUACACUUGGUAAAGGUGUUAUUGGGUACGUUGAUUCUGACUAUGCCGGUGAUUUGGACAAACGAAGAUCAACCACCGGUUAUGUGUUUACACUUGCUGGAGGACCAAUAAGUUGGAAGUCUACACUACAGUCUACAGUUGCGUUGUCAACCACAGAAGCCGAAUACAUGGCUGUAACAGAGGCUGUAAAGGAAGCUAUUUGGUUACAAGGUAUGGUUAAAACCUUGGGAUUGGUUCAGGAGCAUAUUGACGUGUAUUGUGAUAGUCAAAGUGCUAUUCAUUUAGCAAAGAAUCAAGUCUAUCAUGCACGUACAAAGCAUAUCGACGUACGAUUCCAUUUUGUGCGGGAAAUUAUUGAUGAGGGGAAAAUUCGUCUUCAGAAGAUCAAGACUGCAGAUAAUCCCGCAGAUAUGAUGACCAAGGUGGUAACAACAAUCAAGUUCGAACAUUGUUUGAGCUUGAUCAAUAUUCUGGAAGUCUAACAGUUGAAGAAGGCACUAUCAAGUAUUGUUGUCAAAGGCAGAAAGAAUUGUGUGAAGAUAAGAUUAUCCUAAUCAAAUCUUCAAGGUGGAGAUUAUUGGCAAGCAUGCAAUCUUUGAUUUUUUCAAAGAUGAAUGGUGUCAGAAAGUUGGCACCGAAAAUCUAAGCAUUUAAGGCAUAGAUUUUUGAGUUGAAAUUUGGCUUGGAAUAAUUGCAAUUUUGGUCCCUAAUUGUAUAGGGACUUUGCAAGUUGAUCGUUGAGCUUCAACUAUAAAUAGGCCUAGCUAUUUCUCAUUUUCACCAUCCCACAAAUGCCAUUCUCUACUUAAGGCAUUAUUCUCUCGCCUUAUUUGUAAAAUUUCACUUGUAUUUUGGAGUGAAAUAUAUUUGGUAGUGCCCGAAGACGUAGGCAAAAUUUGCUGAACCUCGUUAAAAUUCUAGUGUUCUUUAUUGUUUAUUCUACAUAUUUUGCAAGUGUGAUUGUAGUGAUUUAUUGUGCUAUUAAAUUACGAUAGAGGGAUAUUCUGGCUAGGAAAGACCUGGUACUUAAGCGAUCUUCGUGAUCCACCUCCCUUUCCUGGGAAUUGAACUUAGUGUGAUUUUUUAGUACAAUAAUUUUACUCUUUUACAUGCUACCGCGCAACAAUUUGAAAAAAUAGAAAAAAAAUCGAAUUUCAAAUUAUUCGAAUUGAGUUAAUUGAGUUAAUCAAAUUAAUUGACUCAACUUGAUUUUCUUUCAAAUUUCGAGUUCAAUUCGAGGAGUUUUCGAAUUCUAAGAAUCCAAAUAAUUCGAAUAAAUCAAUUGCCCAAACAAAAUUAAGCUAAAUGAUGUCCACCACAGAUCCUAUGAAUCAAAACCAACCAAUAACAAGUCAACUGCCAAAAAGAAUUCAAGUAUGAAUCUUAAUGUCUCUUCACUGCAAUGCUCAAACAACAUGAGAGGCAGUAACAUACAAAGAAAUUUCAGCCCUAACAGAUAUGAUAAUCAAAAUCCAAGAUAAGGAAAUAUCAACUCCAAUGCCUCUACCAUGAAACUAACUCAAUCUAGUCUGAGAAUGAAAACUGUCAAAGGUUGCCUCCAGCUCCAUGUGUUCAUCUCACAAGUUUUGAGAUCUGUUGCAAAUUCUGGAUUUAUAUAAUCCCAUUGAUAAAUAUGGGAAAAAAAUAUUUAAGGAUGCUGAAAAUCAUCAUAUGAACCUAAAAUCAUAAUAAUAAGUCAAAGUCAAAGGUAACUUACUUCUCCACCAAGACUGAAUUGCCAGAACCUAAAAAGGGCCUCAAAAGAUUACUUUGCAUUUGUGUAGACAAAUCUGUUGACAACUUGCAUUUUCACCAAAUAUCAGUUCAAACACUUGUAUAAAGCAAGCAUUCAGUAAAACAAAUUGAAGCUCUUACAGCUCAGGUGUUCCUCCUUGUAUGGCUAAAGCUCCAAUUCAGCAGUGGCAUUCUCAAAGAUCUGUCAUUCCCUCGUCUUACAUCAACACAAAAGCAAAGGAUAUAAGAAAAACCUGUCUCACAAAUAACCCAUCUUUCUAAUGAAAGAAAAUGCAGCAAGUAUUGAGAUACCAGAUGACACCAAUGCUGGAAACUAAACAAUGAAGCUGAAUCGAGUCCACAUUUGGCCCGAUGAAUUAAAAAAACCAACCAAUAACAAGUCAACUGUCAAUAAGAAUUAAGUAUGAAUUUUAAUAUCUGAGUUUUGGUACCCACCAAAAUCCUCUAUGGAUAUUUUAACAACUCCAAAGCAGAAUCAUUUUGCUACUGUGUUGAAAUCUCUAGUUUCCGUUCAAUUUUCCUCCAAAUUAAUUAAUAUAUAUGGAGAAUUUCGUUCUUGGACAAUAUAUGCUAUAUCUACAAAACAACACAGACAUAACGGGGGAAUGAAGAUGAGAAAAAAUAAUAAUAAGCAACUAUCACAAACUAUUGAACAUAUUUCCAAUUUUAUGUUCACAAAUUAUGCUUUUAACAUUUACAAAGUGGAACUACAAGGAUUCAGUAUGGCAAAGCACCUUCUAAAAGACAAGUAAUUUAUAAAGCAGAGCAAGUUAGAUUCAUUCUGGUUGGUUUUAAUUAAUUAAAGCACUUCAUUUUCUGUCACUAAUUUAUAAGUUGAAAAUUUACUAUUAACAAUUGUGGAAAACAAAACUAUGGAAAUAUGAAAAAUGAAACGAAAAAACUGAAAAUUUUAUGAUAAUAUGAAAAAAUGAGAUGAAAAUGAAACCCCUACCUAUGCAUUUGGAUGACAUAAUUGAGAAGUUAAAACUCCUCAAAAGCAGAGCCAAAGAUGGAAAGAAAUACAAACUAUUUCAAUCUUUUAAGUCCUCCAUCCCCUUCUUCACCAUCAUGGCUAAAGCUUCUUUUGUUCCCAGCAACUCUCUUUUCAGUAGCAUCCACGUAAAAUACAUGAACACCACAUCUUUCCACCUUGUUAUAGUCUUCUUCUUCAUUAACUUCAUCAUCAUUGUCGAUGAUGUAGAAUUUAAAUGAUGCCUCCUCAUAAUUCUUGUCUUCUUCAACCAUGUCGUUGCUAGAUAGAAUAAACACGUGAUCACCGUUGUACUUAUUUGGCUCAGAACAAUCGAAGAAAGAUAUCUUACUUAUGUAGCUUUUAGAAUCACCACCACCGGCGGCUGUAAGGUGGUACUCACAAAUACAAUUAAGAUAUUUAAAACGAUGGCAGUGAGUGAGAUCAGCCACAAGGCAGAUAGCGAAAACCAAAAAUCUGCUCCCACUACCCCUAUUUGGGGCUAUCUUCAAACACAAGGAAGAAUUCAUUCUCUGAUACUUGAACUUAUCUGCAGAAAUUUUGUUUCCUGGGAAACAACAAAUCAAUCUUGGAAAGUCUUCUCGCUGGUAUUUCCAAUCAUAUCUUGCUGCCCAUUUCUUAGCUAGGGAUCCAAUUUUGAGCAUGGCAUUUUCCUCAAUGUUAUCAAUUGACUCUGGAUUCAAGUUGAUGCAAUUACAGAAUAGCAUGCCAAACAAAUCAUCACCUAACGAAUCAAACUGAUAUAAAUUUUGAUCUGCAAAGGAAACUUUUUCUAAUGAUGUGCAGUAUUGUACAUUCAAGUUUUGCAUAUAUGGUGGAAGCUCUGAGAGUAAUUUGAGGCUCUCGCAACGAUCCAUCCUCAUAUGGUUAAGGAUUUUAGACCUCAAGCUUGGCGUGGGAAAAUCGACAGUUGGAAACUCUCUGGAACCGAACAGGGUGAUAUUACACAUUAGCUUUUGAAUACUUGAGCCGCUCAUAUUUAAGUAUUGAAGAUUACUUAAAGAGUCUAACGACAAGGCAGCUUCUUCAAUUCCAGUUCCAGAUAAGUCUAACCAUGUUAAGCUCCUCGGGAUUUUUGGAAAUUCGACCAUUGGGCAUUCACUAAGAUUCAAUUCACUAAGGAGUUCCAACUUUGAAAUAUUGAUCGAUACUUUUUCUACCUUUGAUUUGCUCAACAACAAUCUUUCAAGUUUGUGGAGAUACUUAAUUGCAUCAGGUACUUCUUCUAUUUCAGUUUCUCGUAAAUCUAAAUAACAAAAGUGACUUGGGACCUGAGGAAACUUCCUGAGACUAUAACAUCCCUCAACGCGAAGCUUAUCCUCAUCACGAGAUGCCAAAUGAUUAAGGCUGGGAAGUUCAACCAAACUUUCACAGUAAGAGCAAUCAAGGAGUUCAAGGUUAGUGGCUCUUGAAAGAUUAGGUAUCUUCCUUAAUUUUUUGCAAUUUGAGACGUCAAUUUCCCUUAAAUUAACAAGAUUCUGUACAGGAAAAAAAUUAAAUGUCAUCUACUUACUUUAGGCAAUAAAAAAUGGAAAGGAAAUAAAUAAUUAUGAUACUAAGAAAAAUAAAAACUUAUACCCGAUGUAUUGGGCUUGAAAAUUCACCCACAAUUAAUAGAUCAAGUGAUGUCACUUAUUUAAAUAAAAUAAAAUCUUUUAUAUUUAUUUUUUUAAAAACUUUAAAUAAGAUGUCCUCAUAUGAUCAUUUGAUACAUCAAAUUAUAAAUCCUUUUUUUCCUUAAAAAAAUUCUUAGAUGGAGAAAGUAUGAAAGCACAUACCAUAUGAUCAUUUUCAUUCCAAAGUUGUUCCAUAUUGCCACUUCGUAAUAUCAACAUGACAAGAUUCUUUGGAUUAAAACUUGAUAAAGUUUUAAGGGGAAAAUAAUCCCAACAAAGAUACCUUAGCUUAUUAGGAAGAGAUAUACUAUCAACUUGGUCUACAAGAAACUUCGGAUUUCGGUAGCCGUUCUCAAUCUUUGAAUCAUAGAAGCAAAUAUAUUUAAGAUUAAGCAUGCUCUCAAAAACAGAUGGACAUAACUGCAGCUCAUCCAUUUGAAACAUGUCUAAUUUUAUUCCUUCAAUUGAUACGGUCCCCUAAUAAUGAAAAAACAUUUUAUCAAGUAUCAGUAUGUAAAGAUACAUUUUGCUUUCUUUUAAAAGCAAUGCAUUAAAUAAGUACUAACCCAGUAAACCCUUGAUAUUUUUUUUUUUGAAAUAAUAAUUAAAAUGAUUAACAUUUGAUACAAUAUAAAUAUAAACAAUUAAACUUUUAACACAUGAAAACAUAUAAUUAACUGAAUUUAUAUAUUUACAUGAUAUCACAAAUAAAUUUUAAUUAAAAUAACACGAAUAUAUAAAAUAAUAGAAAACACUGUAAAUACAAUUAGCGCUUACUUUAUUAUAUCUGAGCACUUGAUCUACAUCUUCAGGAAACCAUAACCUGCUACGCUUUCCCGGGUCUUCUUUACAUUCUUGGCGAACAAUGUCCUUGCCAAUCUCUUCAAGCAUGUCAUGCAUAGAAUAACAAUCUAUGCUAUCAAGUAAGCACUUGUCGACUAAGUUUCUUAUUCCACUCAUUGCACCCAUAUAAUAAUUACUUAGUAUUUUUUCUACAGUAUCCAUUUUUUCUCCUUUAAAGAAGCAUGCUAUGUCAAGAAAUAUAUUCUUUUCUAGCUCACGCAACCCAUCUAAGCUACUCUUCAAAAUAUGUGACAUUUUUGGCUCGGCAUAUUGCUUUAGACUAUCCACUUCGCUCUCCCACUCUUUUCUAGACUUUGUAUAUAGUUUAGAACCCAAAACUUUAAGAGCAAGUGGAUUACCUUGGGCAUAUCCUACAAACUUGCAUGAUAGAUCUUGAAAAUCAGCUGCGGGAUUCAACAACUUAAAUGCAAGUGUAGAAAAAAGUUGAAGAGAAUCAUUCUCAUUCAACUUCUUCACCUCAUAUAUGUGGUUAGCUCUUCCAUUUUUAAGCACCUGUCUAUCUCUAGAUGUUACAAUGAUUUUACUUUCUGGACCAAAAUGUUUAACACCCAUAAAUUCUAUUUGAUCUGGGUUACUAACAUCAUCAAGGACAACAAGUACUUUUUUAUUGUUCAACCUCUCUUGGUAAGGGUGUCCUAUGGAAGGGCUGUUAAUACAAAUUCCUUUUUGGUUUAAUAAUUUGGAAAAAAGUUCAUUUCGUAAAGAUUCAUUCCCUACAUUUUUUAUUUUCUCACUAACAUUUCGCAGAAACAAGUGGCUUUCAAAAUUUUGGCAGAUUUCACUAUACACAACAUCAGCAAGGGUAGUUUUGCCAAUACCACCCAUUCCCCAAAGUCCUAUUACACGGCUAUGCUCUUGCUCAAUCAGCCCCAAAAUUAUCUUUUUUUGAUCAUCUAUUCCAACCAAUUCUUCAGAAACACUUGUACAAUUGCUAUCCAACUCUUUUGAAAUAUAUUCAACCACAUCUUCAAUGUACUCUGUUUCAUAUCUAGAAAAUAGUUAAAAAAUCGACAGUCAAAAGAAAGAUAUUCGUAUUAGUCAAAUAUAAGGAGAUGAGAAUAUAUAUAUAUAUUGUUACCUAUCGGAUUUGCCUCCUAUAUGCCACCCUUUUAAUGCACCGACCUCUUGAAAUGCAGAUUUCCAUCGUUGUACUCUAUCAGCUGGUUGCUUUGAUUCAUGCUUUUGGAAGGAUGUCUUAAAAGUCCCACCAAUCUUUUGCACAUGGGAAGGAUUAACAUGGUAAAAGAUGGGAAGAACAAUAUAUUUGUCAGUAGGAUUGCGCUUGCGAUCCAUGAUGUCAGAAAGUUCACCUAAGCAUGAAUUUGAAGAAGCAUAGUCUUUAGAUAAAAUGAUGAUGGAGAGAAUUGAGGCCGCAAUUGCAUUCGAAAGUGCUGAUGAAAUUUUCUCCCCUUUCUUUAGUGUAUCGUCAUCGAAGAAGACAGUCCAUCCCUUGUCUUUCAAAGCUUGGAGUAGAUGAGCGGUGAAGUUAACGCGCGUGUCUUCACCUCUGAAGCUCAAGAAAACUUGAUGUUUCACUUGACGAGAAGAAGAUGAAGAAGACGCCAUGUAAGUGUAUGGACUGUGAGGUUGAGGAAAAAGAGAACAAAAUAAACUGAGGGAGCUUUGCUUUUGCUUCUAUUUUUGUAAUGGUAAGAAGAAAAAGUGUGUCAAUUAAAUGGGAAUGAGAUUGAAAAGGUGAAGCAUUGCGGAUGAGUUUUUACUGAUAAAAAUUUCAAUAUUUAAUCCGCUUAUCGAAUCUAAAACCUCCAUUAUCAAUAUACCAAAUAUUUUCUUAUUAAUUGAAUGCUAAAACUUAUCUAAAUAUAAGUUAAAAAUUAAGGGUUAUUUAGACUUUAAAGGCUUAUUUGGGGUAUGAUAAAAGUACAAGAGAUUAUUUAAAUGAUGCUAUAAAUCAUCUAUAAGAAAAAUAAAUAUUAAUUGAUUUUUGUAAUUAAACGUAUAACUUCAAAAAAAAAUUGUCACCAUUCUUGAAUUUCGUUUUGGGUUAUGAUAAAAUUUCUAAUAAAUUUCCUAACAAAAAUAUUGACUUUUAUACACUUUGUCAUUUGGGUCAUUGAACUGACUUUCAUAAGAAUAAUUGCCACUUUUAGACCAUUUUAGGUGAAUUCAACUUAAAUUUCCUACAACUUUCUCAACAAUAAUCGCCACUUUUUUCCCCUAAAUGGAAAGUCUUUGGAAGGAAGGAUGUUGUGUUUCUAUUUUUCUUGGGAAAUAAUGAUAGAUUUUCUUUGUGCUUUUGGGGGGUUUCCAUUUUAGUCCUUUCUUCUGAAAUAGGUAGGGUGAGUUUGGGCAAAAAUAUCUCUCCAAUCUCUUUCAAUUUUGAAAUUGAAUAAAUUGGUCUCUCUCAAAAAAAUCAAAGCAAUUUAAUCAUUCUUAAUUUUGAAAGUGAGCAACAAAGAACAAUUAUUCAUGACGUUAAUGCUUUUCGUCAAUUGUAUAUAAUUUUGAUUGGUAUAAUAAAAAUUUUAGCCAUGUUUACAUAUUUUGUCAAUUUGGUCUUAAUUCUAAAAAUUCAACGAGUUUAGUAUAAACAUUUACACAAAUAUUGCUGGCUAAAUUUGUUAAAUCAAGACAAGUGAUAUAAUUGUAAACUUUGAGGGGUAAAUUUGUUAUUAUACCAAUUAAAAUUAUUUACAUUUGAUGGAAAACAUCAAUGUUGUGAUUAACUAUCAUUAAUUACUCACUUUAGAAAUUGCUCCGAUUUUUUUAAGAGACUCCAAUUUGCUCAAUACCAAAAUUGAUCAAAGAGAUUGGAUAGAUUUUUAACCAACAAAUAUGCUUGCCUACAUUUAUUUUAAAUAUAGAAUCGAACCGGUUUUCUAAUUAAUGGUCUAUUUGUUUGUAUGUAAAAUGUUUUCCAUAACAUAUUUUCAUUGUUUUACCGUGUUUGUUUGGUGAAAAAUGAAUUAUUAAAGGAAAUCAUUCUUCAAAAAAAAUGUAAAAUCAAGACUUUUUCAAGGAAAAUAUCUUACCAAUUUUUUUUCCCGUAAGAUAUUUUCUAAACUAAUAAGACUAUAUUGACUAUCUUCACUGUCAAAAAAACAAAAAAAAAGGGAAGCUUUCAGAGCAACAAAAGGAAAGCUCUCUUCACUGUCGAAGAAAAUAGUCCCUCAUAUUAUAAUUUUAUAUUUUUACAAAUUAGUCCCUGGAAUCUAAAUUUUUACUAUUCUACAAUUUAAUUCCUCAAAAAUAGAUUUUAUUAUUCUACAGUUCAGUUCUAAACCUCUUUUUGUACAAUUCUGCAAAACAGUCCCUUCUCUAAAAUUUCUAGAUUUUAUAAUUUAGUCCUUACAAUUAAAAUUUUGUUUUGGUCCUAUUAUUAUUCCUAAAUUUAGAUUUUUAUUUUUAUACUUUAAAAUAGAAUAAUUUGAUCCUUUACUACAAUAAUAUCGUCAAUUAAUCAAAGUAAAUAUUACUAUUAAUUAUUCCAAUUGAAAUACUAACGUGAAUUUUUUAAAAAAACAUUGCUUCCAUCAUAAAGAUUUCAGCAUGACUAGCUAAUAUGGAAAUGCACAAUCAAUAUUCCAUUAUCGUUUUACAAAAGAGUGAUCAAUUUCCCUUUUGGAUGACCAAAUUAACAAAAAUAUUAGAGCAACCAAAAUAGGAAUGACCCCUAUUUGAAAUAACUAACGAGAUAAUAAUUUACCCAUAAAAGUUUAAGAGCUUAACUGAAUAAAGCUUAUGACUUAUUUAGUAUAGUAGUCUAAGCAAAUCAUCUAUAGGAAAAAAAAAGUUACUAGUUGAUUUUGUAGCCAAAUCUAGUUGAUGGAUAUUAAGUAAAUUUCAAAGCACAAAAUAUUGAUGCCCAAAUUAGCUUGGAUUAUUAUAAUAAUAUAAAAAUAGGACAUAUUUAGAAACAAAUUAAAAAGGUAAUCCUCUUUUAAUAAAUGUGAAAAAUAGGUCGUACACCGGCAUUAGUAGUGGAGCUUUUAUUUUAAUGCCACGAGUGAGAUUAAAAAAUUGUCUUAUAUUAAUUCAUUGAAUAUUGCAAAAAAUAUGCUACAAAGAUGUCAAGAAUCUUCUCCUUUUUCUUUUGUUUUUUAGCUGAAUUUACAAAGCAAAUCUGCAUAUUACAGUCAUACAUAUUGUUCCAAAAUGCAUAAGGAGAUAAUGCACCAAAUUAAGCAUGGAAACUCACUUUUUUGUUUUUGAUGAGGUGAUAAAGACUACAUUAAACUUAUUAAUAAAAUAUUUUUAUUGGCUGAGAAAAAGAAAAGGUUGCUUUUGCUUUUGACACCCAUUUCAAAAUGACUAAUAAACAGCACUUCAAAAUAUCAUCCAACCUUCUUUCUUUCCUCGAAGCUACAUAUGUAGGAAUUUGGAUAAAUCAAACCAGAACCACCCCUGGGCUGAAUUUUCAUGGAAGUUCCACCAAAUUUGCACAUCACAACCGUACAUAUAGCUUGUAAAAUGCAUAAGGAAAAAAGUAAGUUGAUAAUGCACCAAAGAAUGAAAAUUCUAAAUCACAAGCUAUUUGUACAGCAUGUGAUUCUGGUUGGUUUUGAUUAAUUAAAGCACUUCAUAUUUCUAUCAUUGGCCAUUAAUUUAAAAGUUGGAAAAUAAUAGUUUAUGUGUUACAACGUAAAUGUUGAGUAAAAUACUAUUCAACGUACCAAUAUCGGCACAUUUUCUAAAUAGCUCGGGUCUUGGGCUAGAUAGUUUGGCCUCGCUCAAAUUUGAUUAUUUCUUUUCUGUUGUUGUUUGCUGCUGUUAUAUUGUUGUUUCGUUACAAUUUUAUUAUUGUAUUGUUAAUAUUUUAUUGUUAUUGUUUGGAUAUUGAAUUUUUGGUUUUAUUGUUAAUUUUGCUACUAUUUUAAAACCAUUUGAUUGUUGAGUUGCAACCGUGUUAGUGUUAUUUAAGUAUAAAUAUUUAUUUUUAAAAAUAUAUUUUUAAUUUGUUGAGAAACAUUUAUUUUAAUAUUUUGUGUAUUUGAUAAAUUAUAUUUUUUAAAAUUAUCUUUACAUAAAAAUAAUCUAAAGAAAUUAAUACGGGUAGGUCAGCCCGAGCUUAGAAAACGGGCCUAAAAUUUUGCACUGGCUCGACUCAUGAUCAAGUCUAUAUGAACUUUAAAUAAUCAACUCAUUUAAUUUAUCCAACCCAAUAUCAAGUUUUCAUUGCAAAAAUAUUAUUUAUAUAAUUAAUUAAAAUAAAUUUAAUUCAUUGAUUCAAUUAAAUUAUUUUCUCAACUAAAUUUUAAUUUUAUUAAAGUCAUGAUAAUUUUAUCGUACUAGAACCUAUAAUUAAAUAAAUUUUGAGUUAAGGCACGUGUCUUCACCUCUCAAGGUUAAGAAAACUUAAUGCAUCAUUUGACAAGAAAAAGAUGAAGAAGAUGCCAUGAAAGUGUAUGGAUUGUGAGAUUGAGGAAGAAGAGAGGAAAGUACACAAAGGGAGCUUUGGCAUCCUAGUAUUAAAUGACAAUGAGAAUAUGAGAUUUAACAAAGGCAACGACUGGAGGAGAUUAGCUAAUUAUCUGAGUCAAGAAAAUUGUCACUCUCACACUUUCCAGAAAUGACAGUCUUCUUGAUUUGUAUAUUUUACCCACAAUAGUCAAGGUCUUCCAAUGGGACAAUGUUGAGCAAAUGGUUAAAUUCUUAAAAGAGUCCUUGAAUAGUUUACUUUUGUUGUACCCAAAUAAACCCCUAUGUUUUUAUCUGUGUUUAAAUUAGCCCUUAUUUCAAAUGACAUGUUAAUUUUAAACUAAGUUGGUGACGAGGAGACUUAUAAUCACCAUUUAAUAUAUUUUAUUUUGUGUUUAUUGUUGUGCAAAGUUUAAUUAUUAUUGUUAAUUUUUAAAAACCAAGUUUAACUUAAAUCGUUUGUUAGUUAAAAGGAUAAUAAAUCUCGUAUUGCUUAAGAACAAAGCACAAAUUGGGAUUAUGAAUCUAUAUAAAAGCCCAUAUUUCACAUUAUUUAGAAAAACAAAGGCAAAAAGAUUUUGAGUUUAUAUAAAGAACCAUAUUUUACGCCUUAACUCUAUAUAUUAGCCUUCUGGUGAUGUGGACUUUGAUGAAGAAGAAGGCAUGAAAGAGUAUUAAAAGGGAGUUUUGACCAGCAAGAAAACUUGUUCCAAAUGACGAUGAUGAUAAUGAUGGGUGUUAAUUUCCAAGUCAAGGUCUUCCAAUGGGUUUUGACCAACAAGAAAACUUGUUCCAAAUGACGAUGAUGAUGAUGGGUGUGUUAAUUUCCAAGUCAAGGUCUUCCAAUGGGAGACUAAAACUUUUCUAGAUACAAGUUAAAAAUUAAAAUUAAUUUAUUUGGAUAACAAAUAAAGUUUAAAGGCUUGUGUGGGGUAUGAUGAAAGUACACAAGAUUAUUUAGAUAAUGUGAUAAAGGUUAAUGGCCUAAUUAAUAUGUUAGUAUGAGUAAAUCAUCUAUACGAAAAUAUAUAUUAGUUGAUUUCGUAACCAAACGUACAACUUCAAAAGCAAUUGUUACCAUUCAUGAAUUUUUUUUGGGGUUGUGAUGAAAUUUCUUACGAAUUUCCUACCACUUUCUUGAAGAAUAAUUUUCACUUUUUUUCCCUAAAUAAAAAGUCGUUGGAAGGAAGGGUGUUGUGUUUCUAUUUUCCUAGGUGAAAUAAUGAUAGAUUUUCUUUGUUAGUCCUUUCUAACAUAGGGAAGGCAAGUUUGGGUAAAAUGACUUCUUUAGUCUUUCUUAAUUUCAAAAUUGACUAAAUUGAUCCCUUUAAAAGAAGAAAAAUUUAAUCUUUGUUAAUUUUGAAAGUGAGCAACACAUAAAUUUUGAAAAUUGAAUAAGGACAUUUAACUACAUCGUUAAUGUCUUCUAUCAAAUUCACAUAAUUUUGAUAUUGAUAUCAAAUUCACAUAAUUUUGAUAUUGAUAUAACAAUAAAUUUAGCCCUUCAUGUUUGCAUUUUUGUCAAUUUGAUCUUGAUUCUAAAAAAUCAACAAAUUUAGCAUUAACAUUUACACAUUUACACAAAUGUAACAGUUUGAAUUUGUUAAAUCAAGACAAAUUAAACAUGAAUUCACCUAAACUGCUUAGCAACUGAUUUAGAGCUUAGAUCAAUAGGAGAUACCAUUGUUAUAGAAUAGUAAGUCUUUAAAGCAAAUAAAUAUUUGGAUUUGCCUACCCUUGAGAGCUUAUAUGUACUUUGAUCUCUUGUGUGAUAUUUAGUAAGUCUUUACAGUGUCUAAUUAUUUAGAUAUUUGAUGGGUUUCUAUUGCUCUGCAAGAAAAUGAAAACUUGAGCUUACCCAAUUAUCUAUCACGCACAUAUGUGCGUAUGUACCUUACAAACCCAUCAGAUUCUAUCUUUUGAAAAGCCUUUUAACUCUGCUGCCUAUCAUCAUAAUUUUACAAUCUAAUGAAAAUGAUUAAGUUUAAUACAAUGAAGUUUACAAUCAAGUGGAAUAUAUUUGAUUAAACAUCGUUUGAAGAUCAUAUAAAAUAAAGGAAACAAAGUGUAAACCUUAAAAUAAAGCCUCAAUGCCUUCAACUGCUAACUUGAGUCGGAGCUUCCAAGCAGCACGUAAAACAAAAAACAAUAAUACAACAUAAUGUAUAAUGUCAAUAAAUACAAUGACAUGAACAUCAAAAUCCGAUCCACCCUGUCCUUGGCUGAUAUGCCUUGGCAAGACAUUUACGAAAAUCAAUAUCUUUCACUUGAAGGAUCAAUUGAUUAGCUCGGAUACGUCCCCAAAAGUAUUCGAGGUUGAAUUGAUACACAAUGAAACUGUCAUGCUCUAGUUCGAAGCUUCAAGCACAUUAUAAUAGCUCGAAUCACAGCCACGUUUUAUGACUGCUGGAAUUCCGGCACCCCCUUAACAUCAUUCUCCCAAAACAGUGACUGUAAAUUCACAACGAACGAUCACCGUAUGCAGCAAAUGGUUAUAGAAAAUCGCAUCGUUUGUUUCAAGACACAAACACGACACUGCAACCGCAUAACAUGUUCAGCUAAGAUCAAACACCUAUAGAUUUGUGUAAAUAAUGCAAUAUAAAAUAAUCAGAGUAGUAUAAUUUGUGUUCUCUUGUAGUAAAAUCAUAGUUUAGGAUUAGAGAAAGUGACUGUAAAGACAAAGUUUCGAAGCUCAUAAAAAUGAAUGCAUGAACCAAAUGGAUUAAAUCCAAAUUAUAUGAAGAACAUAAGGUGAUAGAAUAGUUAAUGCUUAGUGACUAAAGUCCCUGAUUGCCAGCUCCAGUAUUCAUCCUUUCUAUCCAAAAAGAGAGUAAAAAUCUGGAAUUUUAAUCACAAAAAUCAAAUCAAAGUUCAAUCUCUGAUAAUCUAAAAUACAAAAAAAGGAAAAUUAAUUCAAAUUUCAGCCCAAACUGAUAUGAUAAUGAAGUCAAAUGGCUCUACCUUGAAACCAACUCAAACUAAACCCAAAUCAUUUGUUUUUAAAAAGCAGAUGGCCAUGAGGGUUGUAAAAGAUCACAAUGAAACAAAGGUAAUUAAGCUCACAAGGAAGGCUAAAUUGGCAAGAGCAUAUGGCUCCUCAAAAGCUCCAAUGUUGGUGCAAGAGGCAGCAAUAGGCUAUUUUGUAUCUUGCUUGAAUAGCAAGCCUCGAGCCUUGGUGAAGAAACAAACUCAGAAGCAGAAACAGAAAAUGAAACUAGCUAGUGAAUAACAGAAAAGAGAGAAGAAAAUUUGAAUGAAAAAUGAGCUGAUCUUUUUUCAUUAACACAUCAACAAGGCAUUAAGCCAUUACAUAUAUCAGUCAACAAGUAAAACAAACAAGUAAUCACCUAAUCAACUACCUAACUCCACUAAUUUGCAUUGAAACUUACAAGAUUAGCUUGUACAACUUGCAUUGCUGACUUUUCAGUCAAUCAAUAUCAAAACAUUUACCUACUUAGUUCAACAUGAACUAGAUUACAAAACAAUCAAAAUGGAACUAAAAACAGCAAGUGGAUUGGCAGCUUCAAACUUCAGUUGCUGCACACCAUGGCACCACUGCUUGCUGCUAUUUCUUCGAGCAUGACCACCUUUGUAUGUCGUGCAUGGCCACCUUUGCAUGGGAACUAAACUUAACACUCCUCCUUAGUUUCCAUGCUAGUAACACCUAAUUCCCUUUUGAAUUUAACAAAUUUAGACACAUUGAGUGCCUUUGUGAAGAUAUCAGCAAUUUGCACUUCUGAAUUGCAAUGAAUCAGCUCGAUUUCAUGAGCUUGUUCCAUCUCCCUUAUAACAUGCAACUUAAUAUUGAAGUGCUUGGUUCUGCCAUGAAAAAUGGGAUUUUUUGCAAUUGCAACAGUAGAUUUGUUGUCACAAUAAAUCUCUGUUGCCUCCUUUUGGUUUUGGUUUAAAUCAGCCAAGAUUUUUCUAAGCCAUAUGGCUUGAUUCACAGCAGAUGCAGCAGCAACAUAUUCAGCUUCUGCUGUUGAUUGUGCCACCAGACUUUGUUUCUUAGAACUCCAGCAAAACAUGCCUGAGCCAAGACUAAAUGCAUAUCCGGAUGUGCUCCUCAUGUCAUCACUCGAUCCAGCCCAGUCACUAUCAACAUAGCCUAUCAGCUUCAUGUUUUCAGCCCUUUUGAACAAUACACCAUGAUCAAUGGUGCCUUUGAUGUAUCUUAGCACUCUUUUAGCUGCUCGAAAGUGCUGAUCAUUGCAGCAAUUCAUGUAUCUCGAUAGCACACUAACAACAAACAUGAUAUCGGGCCUUGUUGCAGUCAAAUACAACAGACUACCAAUGAGACUCUUGUACAUGGUCUCGCAAAUUGGUUCACCACUCCCUUGCCUCGAAAGCUUCACUCCAACAGCCAUUGGUGUGCUUGUUGGCUUGCAGUUCUUCAUAGANNNNNNNNNNNNNNNNNNNNNNNNNNNNNNNNNNNNNNNNNNNNNNNNNNNNNNNNNNNNNNNNNNNNNNNNNNNNNNNNNNNNNNNNNNNNNNNNNNNNNNNNNNNNNNNNNNNNNNNNNNNNNNNNNNNNNNNNNNNNNNNNNNNNNNNNNNNNNNNNNNNNNNNNNNNNNNNNNNNNNNNNNNNNNNNNNNNNNNNNNNNNNNNNNNNNNNNNNNNNNNNNNNNNNNNNNNNNNNNNNNNNNNNNNNNNNNNNNNNNNNNNNNNNNNNNNNNNNNNNNNNNNNNNNNNNNNNNNNNNNNNNNNNNNNNNNNNNNNNNNNNNNNNNNNNNNNNNNNNNNNNNNNNNNNNNNNNNNNNNNNNNNNNNNNNNNNNNNNNNNNNNNNNNNNNNNNNNNNNNNNNNNNNNNNNNNNNNNNNNNNNNNNNNNNNNNNNNNNNNNNNNNNNNNNNNNNNNNNNNNNNNNNNNNNNNNNNNNNNNNNNNNNNNNNNNNNNNNNNNGGAGAGUAUUUGAUGAACAAAAAUGAUUCAUUAUGGAGAGUAUUUGAUGAACAAAAUGAUUCAUUCAUUUUUUGAAUAAUGGCAUAAUGCCAAUACAUAUAACCAAGCACUAAGCUUGUCAAAAAAUAGUAAGUAAUUACCUAAACAUUACUACCUCCACUAAUUACAUAGAAACUUGAAAUUUAAACUUGUAAAUUGGAACAAAGCUAUGUUUACAGCUCACACUCUAGCUAAGCACAUCAAUCAUAGACCUAACUUAGUUAGAAAUGAACUAAGAUAUAUUUCAUUAACUAAAGUUUAACAAAUGAACAAAAUAAGCUUGCAUCAGCAGCUCCUGCAUGGCUUGGUCUUCUUGCUUUUGAGUGUUUGCUGCAUGCUGACCAACUUCAUCACUCAUCCUUGGUUAGCAUGGUACAAACACCAAAUUUCCUUCUUAGACACUCGAACCUUGUGACAUUAAGGGCUUUAGUUAAAAUGUCUACAAGUUGAUCCUCUGAAUUGCAGUGAAUCAACAUCACCUCCUGUGCUUGCUCCAUUUCUCGAACAACAUGCAAACUUAAUGCUAAAAUGCUUUGUUCUUCCAUGGAACACUAGAUUUUUGGCAAUUGCAACAGCAGAUUGGUUGUCACAGAAAAUUUCUGUUGCUUCUCUUUGCUGAACAUUCAAGUCAAUCAAGAUUUUCCUUAGCUAAACGGCUUGGUUGACAGUACUUGCUGCUGCCACAUACUCUACUUCAACAGUAGAUUGAGCCACCAGGCUUUGCUUCUUCGAGCUCCAGCAGAACAUGGCUGAACCAAGGUUGAAAGCAUACCCUGAGGUGCUUUUCAGAUCAUAUAUCGAGCCAGCCCAGUCACUAUCAGUGUAGCCUACCAGCUUCAAAUUUCCUUCUUUGUUGUAUCUCAGACCAUAGCCCAAAGUACCCUUGAUAUACCUGAGCACUCUUCUUGCAGCCUGAAAAUGUUUCUCAUUGCAGCAAUGCAAGAAUCUUGAGAGCAAUCCUACAGCAUACAUUAUGUCUGGUCUAGUGGCAGUUAAGUAUAGCAAGCAACCAACUAGACUUCUGUAGGUAGUUUCACAAACCUUCUCAAAAUCACCUUGGCUUGAUAGCUUCUCUCCAACAGCAACAGGUGUCUUAGUUGCCUUGUUGUUUUGCAUGGAGAACUUAGUCAGAAUCUUUGUGGCAAAGCUUUUCUGACUUAGGAAUAUCCCAUUCUGAUUUUGUGACACCUCCAUUCCAAGAAAAUAGGACAUCUCUCCUAGAUCAGACAUUUCAAGCACCUCUUGCAGGUUGGUCUUGAAAUCGACCAGCAUUGUUUGAUCUUCUCCUGUCACCAGCAGGUCAUCAACAUACAGGGACAUAAUGAGCUGUGUUUGUGCCCCUUUCUUCUUAACAUACAAUGUUGGUUCACUCUUGCUUCGAUCGAAUCCCAAAUAAAUCAAGUAGCCAUCAAUUCUGCUAUACCAGGCCCUUGGAGCCUGUUUCAAGCCAUACAAGGCUUUCUUCAGCUUGUACACCAUCUGCACCUUCCCAGCUAUUUCAAACCCCAGUGGUUGCUCAACAUAGAUAUCUUCCUCAAGAAUUCCAUUGAGAAAGGCUGACUUUACAUUAAGUUGGAGAAUUUUCCACUGCAUUUGUGCAGCUAAGGCAAUCAACAACCUUAUGGUGUCAAGCCUGGCCACUGGUGCAAAGGUCUCCAGGUAGUCCAGGCCAUAUUUCUGACUGAACCCUUUGACAACCAACCUUGCUUUCAACUUGUUCAAGCUUCCAUCAGCAUUCAAGCUUGGCUUUGUACACCCAUUUCACUCCAAUAACCUUCCUUUUGACUGGUCUUUCAACCAAUUCCCAAGUCUGGUUCUUCUCAAUCAUGCUGAUCUCCUCAGCCAUUGCCUUCUUCCAUCCUUGCUGAGUUUCAGCCUCCUCAAAGCUACUUCGUUCAGCUAUGGCUACAUGAGCCCUUUCAUAAAUCUCAGCCAAUGGUCUUGUUCCCCUGACUGGUUCAUCACUAAUGUCCAUUUCAAGACCAUUUUGGUCUGGCUCAGCUUGAUCUGCUGCAAGUUCUUCUGAAACUUCCUCAGGUUCAUGUCUUUCCCAGUUCCAACAUAACCUUUCAUCAAAUACCACAUCCCUGCUGACUGACACUUUGUUUGUUAAAGGAUCCAAGAUCCUAUAGCCCUUCUUGACAGUGCUGUAGCCUACUAAAAUACCAGGUCGAGCCCUUUCAGACAACUUGUCCCCUUUAACAGUAGGUACAUGUGCAUAACAAAUGCAUCCAAAGACCUUCAGAUGAGCCAGUGAUGGUUUGAAUCCAAACCAGGCCUCGAAUGGAGUCUUUUGAGCCAAAGCCUUUGUUGGAAGCCUGUUUUGAAUGUAGGUUGUAGUGUUAACUGCCUCUGCCCAUAGAGCUUUAGGCAGAUUCUUCUGAAUCAUCAGGCACCUAGCCAUAUCCAUCAGGCUCCUAUUCUUUUUUUCACUUACUCCAUUUUGAUGGGGUGUAUAUAUGUUGGUAAGCUGAUGUUUAAUGCCUGUCUUAUCACAGAAGGCUUGGAACUAAGAUGAAGUGUACUCAAUCCCAUUAUCAGACCUUAUGGUCUUCAGCUUGCAACCUGUUUCAGUCUCAGCAGUAGUCUUAAACUUUAAAAACACAGAGGCCACCUCUGAUUUUUGUUUCAAGAAAUAAAGCCAGCAAUAUCUCGAGAAAUCAUCAAUGAACAGUAUAAAAUACCUGUUUCGACUAAAUGGCUCAGUCUUCAUGGGGCCACACAAAUCAAUAUGCACCAGUUGCAGUCUUUCAGAGGCUCUCCAGGCUUGAUUCGAGGGAAAUGAAAGUCUGGCCUGCUUGCCUAGCUGCCACACUUCACACACCUCCUGGUUUUGGACUGAAUUUAUGAAAUUUUCAUUGAAACCACUCCUGCACAUGUGCUCCAUUGAUUUGUAGUUGGCAUGACCAAGUCUUUGAUGCCGAAGCUUGGAUUCAUCUGUUGUAGCCAUGUAAGCAAUGUCUGAUUCCUUUGUCCAGUCAACCACAAAGCUUUUAUCAGCCAUAGGGACUGCCAUCAGCUUGGAUCCACUUGGAUCACUGAUUUGGCACUGAUUAUCCUUGAACACCACAGAAUACCCUUUCUCCAGCAAUUGAGCUAUGCUGAGCAGGUUUCUGUCGAUUUUAGGCACCAAAAGCACAUUUGAAAUAACUUUGGCACAUGUGGGAGUGCAUAUCAGCACAUCACCCUUGCCUUCAGCUUUUAUGAAGUGGCCAUUAUCAAUUUUAACUUUGGUUCUGUAGCUUCUCUCCAAUGACUUGAAUAUUGCAGCAUCAGGUGUCAUAUGGUUGGUGCAUCUACUGUCUAGGAGCCAAACAGUUGAGAGCCUUUUUUGUUCAGCUGAACAUGACACAGCAAAGACUUGCUCCUCUUGGUCACUAUCUUCCUUGGCUACUCGAGCCUCAGCUUUCAUCUGUUGAGACUGGUUCUGUCUUGGUUUGCCCUUACUUUUGUAGACCCUUUCAACAUGACCCUUCUUUUUGCAAUGUUGGUAUACAGCAUCUGGAUUGAACCAACAAUUUUUCUUCUGGAUGACUAGCCCUUUUGCAGUGCUUGCAAGUCUGACCUUCUUUUCUUGCAGCAUCAUACCUUGGCUUGUCUCUCCAAGCCUUCUUGCCUUUGUAGGCGGUAUUUAUUUUUGCCUGAAAGGCACCUUCUUGGUACUCCUCCAGUCUGCUUGCUCUCCUCUGCUCUUGAACAUAUAGAGCAUUGAUCAACUCUGUAAAAGGAAUGCUGGUCAGGUCCCUUGAGUCUUCGAGGGAUGAGAUUUUUGCCUCAUACCUCUCGGGCAAAGUUGAAAUAACCUUUUCCACUAUCCUAGCUUCAUUAAACUGCUAUCCAAUGAGCCUAAUGCUGUUAACUACAGCCAUAAUCCUGUCAGAGUAUUGCUUGACAGUCUCUUCUUCCUUCAUCUUCAAAUUCUCGAACUCCCUUAUCAAAUUCAACAACUGUUGCUGCCUUGUCCUCUCUGUCCCUUGAAACUCUUCUUUCAACUUGUCCCAGGCCUGUUUUGGUGAUUCACAAGCCAUAAUCCUUGUGAAAAUCACAUCAGACACUGAGUUCUGGAUGCAAGACAUGGCCUUGUGCCUCUUGGUCCUCUCAUCAGCAUGCUGCCUGAUCGGAGCCACUGUUGGAUUGGCUCUAAGUGGCUCUGGUUCAACAUCAGAGUUGACCACCUCCCAUAGAUCGAAAGCCUGUAGGUAGGUCUUCAUUUUGACCACCUAUAUGUGAUAGCCUUCUCCAUUGAAGACUUGUGGUGCAGUUGGUGAAAAGUUUGAUGAAGCCAUUCUUUGAAUACCAGGUCCCUUAAGAAAUAUGCUUUAGAUACCAAUUGUUGGUGUUAGAACAGAAUUAGACAGGCUCAGCUUGUGUCUUGUGCAAUAAGCCUCGAUGCUUGCUGAGCAAACAAACGAAUUCGAGCAGAAGAGAAGAAGAAAAACUAAGGAAAAAAUGGAGAGUAUUUGAUUAACAAAAAUGAUUCAUUCAUUUUUUGAAUAAUGGCAUAAUGCCAAUACAUAUAACCAAGCAUUAAGCUUGUCAAAAAACAGUAAGUAAUCACCUAAACAUUACCUACCUCCACUAAUUACAUAGAAACUUGAAAUUUAAACUUGUAAACUGGAACAAAGCUGUGUUUACAGCUCACACUCUAGCUAAGUACAUCAAUCAUAGACCUAACUUAGUUAGAAAUUAUCUAAGACAUAUUUUAUUAACUAAAGUUUACAAAAUGAAAAAAAUAAGCUUGCAUCAGCAGCUCCUGCAUGGCUUGGUCUUCUUGCUGUCAAGUGUUUGCUGCAUGCUGACCAACUUCAUCAAUACCCUUAUCAAGAGAGGCUAAAUAAUAAAUAAGUACUUCUUGUCCUUGAUGAUGUUAGUGACCCAGACCAAAUAGAUUUUAUGGGUGUCACAUAUUUUGGUCCUGAAAGUGAAAUUAUUAUAACAUCUAGAGAUAGACAAGUACUUAAAAAUGGAAAGCUAACCGCAUAUAUAAGGUAAAGGAGUUGAAUGAGAAUGAUUCUCUUCAACUUUUUUCUACAUUUGCAUUUAAGUUUUUAAAUCCUGCAGUUGAUUUUUGAGAUCUAUCAUGCAAGUUUGUAGAAUAUGCCUAAGGUAGUCCGCUUGCUCUUAAAGUUUUGGGUUCUGAACUAUAUACGAAGUCUAAAAAAGAGUGAGAGAGCAAGGUGAAUAAACUAAAGCAAUGUGCAGAAUUAAAAAUUUCACAUAUUUUGAAGAGUAGCUUAGAUGAGCUAGAUGAUGAAGAAAAUAAUAUAUUUCUUGACCUAGCAUGCAUCUUUAAAGGGCAAGCCAUGGGUUAUGUAGAAAAAGUUCUAAGUAAUUGUUAUAAGGGUGCAACAUGUGGAAUAAGUAAAUUGGUCGACAAGUGUCUACUUGAGAACAAAUAUGGAUGUGUUUUUAUGCAUGACAUGGUUGAAGAGAUGGGCAAGGACAUUGUUAUGCGAAAAUUUGAAUGCCCUAGAAAGCGAAGUAGAUUAUGGAGUUGUGAAGACAUGGAAUAAGUGUUCAAAUAUGAUAAAGUAAGUGUUAAUUGCAUUUAUUUUCUAUUCACUCUUUGGUAGGUUUAAUAGAUGUUGUUGUGUACCAUGUAUUAUCUUUUUUAAUUAUUAUUUCAAAAAAUAAAUUAUUUAUUUCUUACCAAAAACAUAAUGACCAAAUGUCUUACGAUACAAUAUGGAAUUUUGUUAAAAGUUUCUUGGGUUAGUUAAAUAUCUAAUGCAUUUUUAUGAGUGAUUUAAUGGAAUGUCGAUAAAUUUCUUUACGUUAAUCUAUGAUUUUUUUUUAUCAGGGGUCUGACUUUAUUAAAGGAAUAAAGUUAGAUGUAACUCAAACUGGUAACCUACAAUUUUGUGCUACCGAUUUUGGGAAGAUGCCUAAGCUUAGAUAUAUCAACAUCAGGUAUUUUGCACAUACUUUAUGGAAACCUCCACCCCAAUAUGCAAACCAAGUUGAUAGUAUAUGUCUUCUGGGUGAGUUAAGGCUUCUCCAUUGGGAUUAUUUUCCCUUCAAAACUUUAUCAAGUUUUAAUUCAAAGAAUCUUGUCAUAUUGAUAUUACGACGUGGUAAUAUAGAACAACUUUGGAAUGAAGAUGAUCAUAUGGUAUGUGCUUUCAUAUUUUCUUCGCCUAAAAUUUUUUUAAAGAAAAAAAGUAUUUAUAAUUUGAUGUAUCAAAUAAUAAUUUGAUGAUAUCUUAUUUAAAGAUUUUAAAUUUAUUUAAAUAAGUGACAUUAUUUGAUCAAGUAAUUGUGGCUUUUACGCCCAAUACAUCAAAUAUAAAAUUUUAUUUUUUAGUAUUAUAAUUAUUCAUUUCCUUUUCAUUUCGAUGAUGCUUAAAAGUAAUACAGUUAUUUUUUCUGUACAGGAUCUCGUCAAUUUUAAGGAAGAUACCUAAUCUUUCAGGAGCCAUCAACCUUGAACUCCUUGAUUGCUCUUUAUGUAAAAGUUUGGUUGAACUUCCAUGCCUCAAUCAUUUGGCGUCUCUUCAUCAUGAUAGGCUUUACCUUCAGGGAUGUUAUAGGCUCAAGAACUUUCCUCAGGUCCCAAGACACUUUUGUUCUUUGGGUUUAUUAAUAACUGAAUUAGAAGAAGUGCCUCAUUCAAUUGAGCAUCUCCACAAACUACAGAGAUUGUCGUUGAGCAAGUCAAAGGUAAUAAAAGUAUCGAUCAAUAUUUCGAAGUUGGAACUCCUUGGUGAAUUGGUUCUUAGUAAUUGCCCAAUGAUCAAAUUUCCAGAAAUCCCAAAAAGCUUAACAAAAUUAAACUUAUCUAGAACUCAAAUUGAAGAAGUAUCGUUGCCUUUCGACUCUCUAUGUAAUCUUCAGGACUUAAAUAUGAGCGGCUCAGCGGUCAAAAAUGUAUCAAUCAAGUUGGAAUCCCUUCAUAAACUGAAUCUUAGUGAUUGCCCGAUGAUCAAAUUUCCAGAAAUCCCAAGAAGCUUAAUAGAAUUAAAUUUAUCUGGCACUCAAAUUGAAGAAGUGUCCUUACCUUUUGACUCUCUAUGUAAUCUUCAGAUCUUAAAUAUGAGUGGCUCAGCAGUCAAAAAUAUAUCGAUCAGGUUGGAAUCCCUUCGUAAACUGGAUCUUAGUGGUUGCCCAGUGGUCCAAUUUCCAAACGUCCCAAGAAGCUUAACACAUUUAGAAUUAUCUCGCACUCAAAUUGAAGAAGUGUCAUUCCCUUUCGACCCUUUAUGUAAUCUCGAGUACUUAAAAGUGAGAGGCUCAACGGUCAAAAAUGUAUCAAUCAAGUUGGAAUCCAUUCGUCGACUGGAUAUUAGUGGUUGCCCAAUGGUCGAAUUUUUAAAAGUCCCGAGAGGCUUAAUAUGGCUAAAGUUAUCUAACACUCAAAUUGAAGAAGCGGCCAUGUCUAUAGACACUUUAAGUAAUCUUAAGGAGUUAAAGAUGAGCAGCUCAAGUAUUCCAAAGCUCCAAUGUAAUAUCUCCCUGUUCGAUUUAAGAGAGUUUCCCACUGUUGAUGUGCCCUCACCAAGCUUGAGGUCUAAAACCCUUAGGUAUAUGUGGAUGGACCGUUGCAAGAGCCUCAAAUUACUCUCAGAGCUUCCACCAUAUCUGCAAGGCUUGAGUGUACAUGACUGCACAUCAUUAGAAAAAGUAUCCUUUGCAGAUCAAAGUUUAUAUCAGUUUGAUUCUUUAGUUGAUGAUGACAAUUACAAUGUCUUUUGCAUGCUAUUCUGUAAUUGUUUCAACUUGAAUCAAGAGUCAACUAAUAACAUUGAGGCAAAAGCCCUGCUCAAAGUUGGAUCCCUAGCUAUGAAAUGGGCAGCAAGAUAUGGUAGGAAAAAACGGCGUGAUAACUGUCGAAGUUUGAUUUGUUGUUUCCCAGGAAACAACAUUUCAGGAAAUAAGUUCAAAUGUCAGAGCAUGAAUUCUUCCUUAAGUUUGAAGAUAGUUCCAAAUUGGGGUAGUGGGAGCAGAUUUUUGGUUUUUUCUAUCUGCAUUGUGGCUGAUCUCACUCACUGCCGUUCCAUUAGUUAUGUUGGAUGUAUUUGUGAGUACCAACUUACAGCCACCGAUGGUGGUUAUGAAAAGUUCGAAAGUGAGAUAUCUUUCUUGGGUGCUUCUAAGUCAAAGAGGUGCACGGGUGAUCACGUGUUUAUUCUAUCUAGCAUCAAAAUCGUUAAAAGAGACAAUAAUUAUGAGGAGGCAUCAUUUGAAUUCUACAUCAGAAAUAGGGAUUACGAAGAAGAAGAAGAAGCAGAAGCAGAAGCAGAAAAAAUUAUCAAGGUGGAGAGAUGUGGUGUUCGUGUAUUUUACGUGGAUGCAGAGAGGGAAACUAACGCUAUAGAAAUGGACCAAAAGAAGCUUUAGACAUGAUGGUGAAGAAGGGGAUGGAGGCCCUAAACGAUCGAAAUAGUUUUUAUUUCUUUUCAUCUUUGGCUCUGGUUUUCUAGAGUUGCAACUUCUCAAUUAUGUUAUCCAAAUGCAUAGGUAUGGUUUUCAUUUUCAUCUCAUUUUUUCAUAUUAUCAUACAAUUUUCAUUUUUUUUAUUUCAUUUUUCAUGUUGCCAUACUUUUAUUUUUCACAAUUGUUAAAACUAAAUUUUUAAUUUACUUAAUUAAAACAAACCAGAAUGAAGCUAACUUGCUCUACUUUAUAAAUUGCUAGUCAUUUAGAAGGUGCUUUACCAUUUUCGAGAAACUGAAAACUUGUAGUUCCACAUUGUAAAUGUUAAAAGCAUAGUUUAUGAACAUAAAAUGGAAAUUUGUUCUAUAGUUUGUGGUAGUUUCUUCUUAUUAUUUUUCUCAUAUCCAUUCCUCUGUUGUGUCUGUGUUCUUUUGUAGGUAUAGAAUAUAUUGUCUAAGAAGGAAAUUCUCCAUAUUAAUUGAUUUUGAGGAAAAUUGAAUGGCAACUGGAGAGAUUUCAAUACAGUAGCAAAAAGAUCCUGCUUUGGAGCUGAUAAAAUAUUCAUAAACAGCCCAAAUUAAUAGGAUCGUACUCAAAUAUAUAUGUAAUUAGCUCAUAAAAGUAUGUCAUUUUAGAGUAUUAUCAAUAGGGGUUAUUGGUAGGUGACCAAAUUUAGAUAUUAAGAUUCAUACUUAAAUUAUUCAGCCUCAUUGUUUAGUUGCUAACGUCAUUGUUGGUGUUAGAACAGAAUUAGACAAGUUCAGCUUGUGUCUUGUGCAACAAGCCUCGAUGCUUGCUGAGCAAACAAACGAAUUCGAGCAGAAGAGAAGAAGAAAAACUAAGGAAAAAAUGGAGAGUAUUUGAUGAACAAAAAUGAUUCAUUCAUUUUUUGAAUAAUGGCACAAUGCCAAUACAUAUAACCAAGCACUAAGCUUGUCAAAAAACAGUAAGUAAUCACCUAAACAUUACCUACCUCCACUAAUUACAUAGAAACUUGAAAUUUAAACUUGUAAACUGGAACAAAGCUGUGUUUACAGCUCACACUCUAGCUAAGUACAUCAAUCAUAGACCUAACUUAGUUAGAAAUGAACUAAGACAUAUUUUAUUAACUAAAGUUUACAAAAUGAACAAAAUAAGCUUGCAUCAGCAGCUCCUGCAUGGCUUGGUCUUCUUGCUGUCGAGUGUUUGCUGCAUGCUGACCAACUUCAUCACUCCUCAUUGGUUGCAAACACCUAAUUUCCUUCUUAGACACUCAAACCUUGUGACAUUAAGGGCUUUAGUUAAAAUGUCUGCAAGUUGAUCCUCUGAAUUGCAGUGAAUCAAUAUCACCUCCUGUGCUUGCUUCAUUUCUCGAACAACAAGCAACUUAAUGCUAAAAUGCUUUGUUCUUCCAUGGAACAGUAGAUUUUUGGCAAUUGCAACAGCAGAUUGAUUGUCACAGAAAAUUUCUGUUGCUUCUCUUUGCUGAAAAUUCAAGUCAAUCAAGAUUUUCCUUAGCUAAACGGCUUGGUUGACAGCACUUGCUGCUGCCACAUACUCUGCUUCAGCAGUAGAUUGAGCCACCAGGCUUUGCUUCUUCGAGCUCCAGCAGAACAUGGCUGAACCAAGGUUGAAAGCAUACCCUGAGGUGCUUUUCAGAUCAUAUAUCGAGCCAGCCCAGUCACUAUCAGUGUAGCCUACCAGCUUCAAAUUUCCUUCUUUGCUGUAUCUCAGACCAUAGCCCAAAGUACCCUUGAUAUACCUAAGCACUCUUUUUGCAGCCUGAAAAUGUUUCUCAUUGCAGCAAUGCAAGAAUCUUGAGAGCAAUCCUACAGCAUACAUUAUGUCUGGUCUAGUGGCAGUUAAGUAUAGCAAGAAACCAACUAGACUUCUGUAGGUAGUUUCACAAACCUUCUCAAAAUCACCUUGGCUUGAUAGCUUCUCUCCAAAAGCAACAGGUGUCUUAGUUGCCUUGCUGUUUUGCAUGGAGAACUUAGUCAGAAUCUUUGUGGCAAAGCUUUUCUGACUUAGGAAUAUCCCAUUCUGAUUUUGUGACACCUCCAUUCCAAGAAAAUAGGACAUCUCUCCUAGAUCAGACAUUUUAAACACCUCUUGCAUCUUGGUCUUGAAAUCGACCAGCAUUGUUUAAUCUCCUCUUGUCACUAGCAGGUUAUCAACAUACAGGGACACAAUGAGCUGUGUUUGUGCCCCUUCUUUCUUAACAUACAAUGUUGGUUCACUCUUACUUCGAUCGAAUCCCAAAUCAAUGAAGUAGCCAUCAAUUCUGUUAUACCAGGCCCUUGGGGCCUGUUUCAAGCCAUACAAGGCUUUCUUCAGCUUGUACACCAUCUGUACCUUCCCAGCUAUUUCAAACCCUUGUGGUUGCUCAACAUAGAUGUCUUCCUCAAGAAUUCCAUUGAGAAAGGCUGACUUUACAUCAAGCUGGUGAAUUUUCCACUACAUUUGUACAGCUAAGGCAAUCAACAGCCGUAUGGUGUCAAUCCUGGCCACUAGUGCAAAGGCCUCCAGGUAGUCCAGGCCAUAUUUCUGACUGAACCCUUUGACAACCAACCUUGCUUUCAACUUGUUCAAGCUUCCAUCAGCAUUCUGCUUGGCUUUGUACGCCCAUUUCACUCCAAUAACCUUCCUUUUGACUGGUCUUUCAACCAAUUCCCAAGUCUGGUUCUUCUCAAUCAUGUUGAUCUCCUCAGCCAUUGCCUUCUUCCAUCCUUGCUGAGUUUCAGCCUCCUCAAAUCUACUUCGUUCAGCUAUGGCUACAUGAGCCCUUUCAUAAAUCUCAGCCAAUGGUCUUGUUCCCCUGACUGGUUCAUCAUCGAUGUCCAUUUCAGGACCAUUUUGGUCUGGCUCAGCUUGAUCUGCUGCAAGUUCUUCUGAAACUUCAUCAGGUUCAUGUCUUUCCCAGUUCCAACAUGACCUUUCAUCAAAUACCACAUCCCUGCUGACUGACACUUUGUUUGUUGAAGGAUCCAAGAUCCUAUAGCCCUUCUUGACAGUGCUGUAGCCCACUAAAAUACCAGGUCGAGCCCUUUCAGACAACUUGUCCCUUUUAACAGCAGGUACAUGUGCAUAACAAAUGCAUCCAAAGACCUUUAGAUGAGCCAGUGAUGGUUUGAGUCCAAACCAGGCCUCGAAUGGAGUCUUCUGAGCCAAAGCCUUAGUUGGAAGCCUGUUUUGAAUGUAGGUUGCAGUGUUAACUGCCUCUGCCCAUAGAGCUUUAGGUAGAUUCUUCUGAAUCAUCAGGCACCUAGCCAUAUCCAUCAGGCUCCUAUUCUUUCUUUUACUUACUCUAUUUUGCUAGGGUGUAUAUGUGUUGCUAAGCUGAUGUUUGAUGCCUGCCUUAUCACAGAAGGCUUGGAAUUGAGCUGAGGUGUACUCAGUCCCAUUAUCAGACCUUAUGGUCUUCAGCUUGCAACCUGUUUCAGUCUCAGCAGCAGUCUUAAACUUCAAUAACACAAAGGCCACCUCUAAUUUCUGUUUCAAGAAAUAAAGCCAGCAAUAUCUCGAGAAAUCAUUAAUGAACAGUAUAAAAUACUUAUUUCCACUUAAUGACUCAGUCUUCAUGGGGCCACACACAUCAGUAUGCACCAAUUCCAGUCUUUCAGAGGCUCUCCAGGCUUGAUUCGAGGGAAAUAAAAGUCUGGCCUGCUUGCCUAGCUGACACACUUCACACACCUCUUGGUUUUAAACUGAAUUUAUGAAAUUUUCAACCAAACCACUCCUGGACAUGUGCUCCAUUGAUUUGUAGUUGGCAUGACCAAGUCUUUGAUGCCAAAGCUUGGAUUCAUCUAUUGUAGCCAUGUAGGCAGUGUCUGAUUCCUUUGUCUAGUCAACCACAAAGCUUUUAUCAGCCAUAGAGACUGCCAUCAGCUUGGAUCUACUUGGAUCACUGAUUUGGCUCUGAUUAUCGUUGAACACCACAGAAUACCCUUUCUCCAACAAUUGAGCUAUGCUGAGCAGGUUUCUAUCGAUUCUAGGCACCAAAAGCACAUUUGAAAUAACUUUGGCACCUGUGGGAGUGCAUAUCAGCACAUCACCCUUGCCUUCAGCUUUUAUGAAGUGGCCAUUACCAAUUUUAACUUUGGUUCUGCAGCUUCUGUCCAAUGACUUGAAGAUUGCAACAUCAGGUAUCAUAUGGUUGGUGCAUCUACUUUCUAGGAGCCAACCAGUUGAGAGCCUUUUUUGUGCAGCUGAACAUGACACAGCAAAGACUUGCUCCUCUUGGUCACUAUCUUCCUUGGCUACUCGAGCCUCAGCUUUUAUCUGUUGAGACUGGUUCUGUCUUGGUUUGCCAUUGCUUUUGCAGACCCUUUCAACAUGACCCUUCUUUUUGCAAUGUUGGCAUACAGCAUCUGGAUUGAACCAGCAGUUUUCUUUUAGAUGAUCAGGCCUUUUGCAGUGCUUGCAAGUCUGACCUUCUUUUCUUGCAGCAUCAUACCUUGGCUUGUCUCUCCUGGCCUUCUUGCCUUUGUAGGCAGUAUUUGUUUUUGCCUGAAAGGCACCUUCUUGGUGCUCCUCCAGUCUGCUUGCUCUCCUCUGCUCUUGAGCAUAUAGAGCAUUGAUCAACUCUGUAAAAAGAAUGUUGGUCAGGUCCCUUGAGUCUUCGAGGGAUGAGAUUUUUGCCUCAUACCUCUCGGGCAAAGUUGAAAUAACCUUUUCCACUAUCCUAGCUUCAUUAAACUGCUCUCUAAGGAGCCUAAUGCUGUUAACUACAGCCAUAAUCCUGCCAGAGUAUUGCUUGACAGUCUCUUCUUCCUUCAUCUUCAAAUUCUCGAACUCCCUUAUCAAAUUCAACAACUGUUGCUGCCUUGUCCUCUUUGUCCCUUGAAACUCUUCUUUCAACUUGUCCCAGGCCUGCUUUGGUGAUUCACAAGUCAUAAUCCUUGUGAAAAUCACAUCAGACACUGAGUUCUGGAUGCAAGACAUGGCCUUUUGCCUCUUGGUCCUCUUAUCAGUAUGCUGCCUGAUCUGAGCCACUGUUGGAUUGGCUCUAAGUGGCUCUGGUUCAACAUCAGAGUUGACCACCUCCCACAGAUCGAAAGCCUGUAGGUAAGUCUUCAUUUUGACCACCCAUAUGUGAUAGCCUUCUCCAUUGAAGACUUGUGGUGCAGCUGGUGAAAAGUUUGAUGAAGCCAUUCUUUGAAUACCAGGUCCCUUAAGAAAUAUGCUCUAGAUACCAAUUGUUGGUGUUAGAACAGAAUCAGACAAGCUCAGCUUGUGUCUUGUGCAACAAGCCUCGAUGCUUGCUGAGCAAACAAACGAAUUUGAGCAGAAGAGAAGAAGAAAAACUAAGGAAAAAAUGGAGAGUAUUUGAUGAACAAAAAUGAUUCAUUCAUUUUUUUGAAUAAUGGCAUAAUGCCAAUACAUAUAACCAAGCACUAAGCUUGUCAAAAAACAGUAAGUAAUCACCUAAACAGUACCUACCUCCACUAAUUACAUAGAAACUUGAAAUUUAAACUUGUAAACUGGAACAAAGUUGUGUUUACAGCUCACACUCUAGCUAAGUACAUCAAUCAUAGACCUAACUUAGUUAGAAAUGAACUAAGACAUAUUUCAUUAACUAAAGUUUACAAAAUGAACAAAAUAAGCUUGCAUCAGCAGCUCCUGCAUGGCUUGGUCUUCUUGCUGUCGAGUGUUUGCUGCAUACUGACCAACUUCAUCAGGUGCUCACAUUACAUGAUUUCAUGUUAAUUAGAAAGAUUGGUUUCUCUUAUAACCUAUGCUUUUAUGUUGAUUUAGGAGUAGGUGUUUCCUAUUUGUUGUGAGAUUCGAUACUCAACAGAACUUGCAGAUUAUGGAUGGUUCUGAUAUCCUCUUUCUCACCAACAAAACAAGUUCCCAUGAAAUUUCUGGUAUUAAAGUCAAGUUUGUGACCAAUGCAAAAUAUUUUUAGCCAAUAAUGAGUUGGAGUUUUAGCCAUAUAAGGAGGAACACCUAAGCUGUAAGAGCUUCAAUUUCUUUUACUUGAUGCUUAUUUUAUUUAUGUGUUUGAACUGAUAUUUUGAGACAAUGCAAGUUGUCAACAGAUUUGCCUUAUUGGUCUAUUCAUAUGAUGGUUCAACGCAAAAUUGAAGGAAUCUUUUGAAUACCUUUUCUGGGCUCUGGCAAUUCAGUCUUGGUGGAGAAGUAAGUUACCUUUGACUUAUUAUUAUGAUUUUAGGUUCAUCUAAUGCUUAUUUUUUCUAGAUUUAUCAAAGAAAUUCCGAGAGUUGCUCGUAUCUCAAAUCUUGUGGUAUGAACACAUGGAGCUGGAGGCAAGCGUUUGACGGCCAUCAUUCUCAAGUUGGAUUGGUGAGCUUAUGUUUAUCCCAUUGAGGAACCCAAGAAGAUACUGGAAAUAUAUUAAAUGAUUUGAGUUUAGUUUGAAGUGAAGAGCUGGUUCCAUGGUAGAGCCAUUGGAAUUGAUAUUUUCUUAUCUUGGAUUUUGAUUAUCAGAUCAGUUGGGGCUGAAGUCUCUUUGUAUGUUAUUGCCUUUCAAGUUGUUUAAGCAGCAUUGUGGCGAGGAGAUAUUAAGAUUCAUGCUUUAUUCUUUUCAGCAGUUGACUCCAUAGGAUCAAUGGAGGACUUCAUUCAGCUUCAUUAAAAAGUAGAUAAUUAAUCAUCUGGUAUCUCAAUAAACUCAUUGCAUUUUCCUUCAAUGAUAUCUUGAUUCGUUGAUUUAUGAUUCAUGUCUAUUUAUACUGGAAUUGCAGUCGCAGAUUAAGGUUGGGUUUGAUAUGAUAUCUUCUUUCUUACCAACAAAUACAAGUUCCACUAAAUUUCUAGUGUUAAUGUAAGGUUGUGCCCUAUGCCUAAUCUUUUUUUAUCUCACUUUAUAGAUGUGCUUUUUACUUGCAGAGUUUAAAGCAAUGUAGUAUAAGUGUUGAAGCUGGCCAGCAUGCUGCCAUGAUGCAACAGGAAUAGCCCAAGCCACGCAGUUGUUGCUGAAGAUCAAGCUACUGUUUUGUUUUGUUUUGUUUCUUAAAGUGAUGUUUUGUAACUUAGUUGAAAUCAAACUAAGUUGUACUUGCUGAUUAGGUGCUGAUAAGUUGAUAAAUCAGUUUACCUAUGUGUACAAGUCAUGUUUUGUAAGUUACAAUGCAAUUAGUGGGGUUAGAUAGUGUUUAGGUGUUGAUUUGCUUGUGCUGACCAGUUCAUGUCUUGUAUUUGUAUUGGCUUUAAGCUAUUGUUCAUUUUAAUGAAAAAUUAUCAAGCAAUUGUUUAUCAUAUACUCUCUCAAUUUUAGUUUCAUUCUGGUGCUCCAAAGCCAAAUUCUGUCAUUGAUUGUUCUGCAAGUCCCGAGCCUUAUUGCUCAAGAAACUGUUCAGCCAAAACCUAGAGAUUAAGCUUUGACUUUUUAAAUAUGCUACAGUGAAGGGAAUGAAGAUGUCAGUGAUUGGUUUAAGAAAAGCAGAUGAGGAAACAGAGUCAAGACGACAUUAAUGGCAGAUGAGUAAGCUUCUAAUUUCUUCUAUUGAGUUAUUGCCAUAUAUUUGUGGUUGAACUGAGACGUCGAGGCUGUGUUACAAUUUGUUAACAGAUUGUCCUAGUUGAUAUCAUUCAACUUUGCUUCAAUGCUUUCUGGUUGUUGGAGCUUUGGAGGAGCCAUAUGCUCUUGCCAAUUUAGCCUUCCCGGUGAGCUUAAUUACCUUUCUUUCAUUGUCAUCUUUUACAACCCUCAUGGCCAUCUGAUCUUUUAAACACAAAUGAUUUGGGUUUAGUUUGAGUUGGUUUCAAGGUAGAGCCAUUUGACUUCAUUAUCAUAUCAGUUUGGGAUGAAAUUUGAAUUAAUUUUCCGUUUUUUUGUAUUUGAGAUUAUCAGAGAUUGAACUUUGAUUUGAUUUUUGUGAUUAAAAUUCCGGAGUUUUACUAUCUUUUUGGAUAGAAAGGAUGAAUACUGUAAUUGGCAAUCAGGGACUUUAGUCACUAAGCAUUAACUAUUCUAUCACCUUAUGUUCUUCAUAUAAUUUGGAUUUAAUCCAUUUGGUUCAUGCAUUCAUUUUUAUGAGCUUCGAAACUUUUGUCUUUACAGUCACUUUCUCUAAUCCUAAACUAUGAUUUUACUACAAGAGAAAACACAAAUUAUACUACUCUGAUUAUUUUAUAUUGCAUUAUUUACACAAAUCUAUAGGUGUUGAUCUUAGCUGAACAUGUUAUGCGGUUGCAGUGUGGUGUUUGUGUCUUGAAACAAACGAUGCGAUUUUCCAUAACUAUUUGCUGCAUAUGGUGAUUCUUCGUUGUGAAUUUACAGUCACUGUUUUGGGAGAAUGAUGUUAAGGGGGUGCCGGAAUUCCAGCAGUCGUAAAACGUUGUGAAUUUACAGUCACUUUUGGGGACGUAUCCGAGUUAAUCAAUUGAUCCUUCAGGUGAAAGAUAUUGAUUUUCGUAGAUGUCUUGCCAAGGCAUAUCAGCCAAGGACGGCGUGGAUCGAAUUUUAAUGUUCAUGGCAUUGUAUUUAUUGACAUUACAUUAUGUUGCAUUGUUGUUUUUUGUUUUACGUGUUGCUUGGAAGCUCCGACUCAAGUUAGCAGUUGAAGCCAUUGAGGCUUUAUUUUAAGGUUUACACUUUGUUUCCUUUAUUUUAUAUGAUCUUCAAACGAUGUUUAAUCAAAUAUAUUCCACUUGAUUGUAAACUUCAUUGUAUUAAACUUAAUCAUUUCCAUUAGAUUGUAAAAUUAGGCAAUCUUAUGAUGAUAGGCAGCAGAGUUAAAAGGCUUUUCAAAAGAUAGAAUCUGAUGGGUUUGUAAGGUCCGUACGCACAUUGAGUGAUAGAUAAUUGGGUAAGCUUAAGUUUUCAUUUUCUUGCAGAGCAAUAGAAACCCAUCAAAUAUCUAAAUAAUUAGACACUGUAAAGACUUACUAAAUAUCACACAAGGGAUCAAAGUAUAUAUAAGCUCUCAAGUGUAGGCAAAUCCAAAUAUUUAUUUGCUUUUAAGACUUACUAAUCUAUAACAAUGGUAUCUCCUAUUGAUCUUGAUUACAUCAAGCUCUAAAUCAGUUGCUAAGCAGUUUAGGUGAAUUCAUGUUUAAUUUGUCUUGAUUUAACAAAUUCAGACUGCUACAUUUGUGUAAAUAUGUAAAUGUUAAUGCUAAAUUUGUUGAUUUUUUAGAAUUAAGAUCAAAUUUACAAAAAUGUAAACAUUGAGGGCUAAAUUUAUUGUUAUACCAAUCAAAAUUAUGUGAAUUUGAUAGAAGACAUUAACUAUCGAUGUAGUUAAAUGUCCUUAUUCAAUUUUCAAAAAUUAUUUGUUGCUCACUUUCAAAAUUAACAAAGAUUAAAUUUCUCUUCUUUUAAAGGGAUCAAUUUAGUCAAUUUUGAAAUUAAGAAAGACUAAAGAAGUCAUUUUACCCAAACUUGCCUUCCCUAUGUUAGAAAGGACUAACAAAGAAAAUCUAUCAUUAUUUCACCUUGGAAAAUAGAAACACAACGCCCUUCCUUCCAAAGACUUUUUAUUUAGGGGAAAAAAGUGAAAAUUAUUCUUCAAGAAAGUGGUAGGAAAUUUAAGUUCAAUUCACUUAAAAUUGUCUAAAAAAGGCAAUUAUUCUUAAGAAAGUUUUACAAAAUUUCAGUUCAAUUGACCCAAAUGCAAAAAUGUGUUAGCCAAAAUGAAAUUCAUGAAUGGUGACAAAUUUUUUUGAAGUUAUACGUUUGGUUACGAAAUCAACUAAUAUAUAUUUUCGUAUAGAUGAUUUACUCAUAGUAACAUAUUAAAUAGGCCCUUAACCUUUAUCACAUUAUCUAAAUAAUCUUGUGUACUUUUAUCAUACCCCACAUAAGCCUUUAAACUUUAUUUGUUAUCCAAAUAACUUUUAAUUUUUAAUUUGUAUCUAGAAAAGUUUUAAUCUUAACAAUUUUGUCCCAUUGGAAGACCUUGACUUGGAAUUAACACCCAUCAUCAUCAUCAUCAUGGUCAUUUGGAACAAGUUUUCUUGUUGGUCAAAACUCCCUUUCUUCUUCUUCAUCAAAGCCCACAACACCAGAAGGCUAAUACAUAGACCUUGACUUGGAAAUUAACACCCAUCAUCAUCGUCGUCGUUUGGAACAAGUUUUCUUGUUGGUCAAAACUCCCUUUUAAUACUCUUUCAUGCCUUCUUCUUCAUCAAAGCCCACAUCACCAGAAGGCUAAUACAUAGACCUUGACUUGGAAAUUAACACCCAUCAUCAUCGUCGUCGUUUGGAACAAGUUUUCUUGUUGGUCAGAACUCCCUUUUAAUACUCUUUCAUGCCUUCUUCUUCAUCAAAGCCCACAUCACCAGAAGGCUAAUACAUAGACCUUGACUUGGAAAUUAACACCCAUCAUCAUCGUCGUCGUUUGGAACAAGUUUUCUUGUUGGUCAAAACUCCCUUUUAAUACUCUUUCAUGCCUUCUUCUUCAUCAAAGCCCACAUCACCAAAAGGCUAAUACAUAGACCUUGACUUGGAAAUUAACACCCAUCAUCAUCGUCGUCGUUUGGAACAAGUUUUCUUGUUGGUCAAAACUCCCUUUUAAUACUCUUUCAUGCCUUCUUCUUCAUCAAAGUCCACAUCACCAGAAGGCUAAUACAUAGACUUAAGGCUUAAAAUAUGGUUCUUUAUAUAAACUCAAAAUCUUUUUGCCUUUGUUUUUCUAAAUAAUGUGAAAUAUGGGCUUUUAUAUAGAUUCAUAAUCCCUUUGUGCUUUGUUCUUAAGCAAUACGAGAUUUAUUAUCCUUUUAACUAACAAAAGAUUUAAGUUAAACUUGGUUUUUAAAAAUUAACAAUAAUAGUUAAACUAUGCACAACAAUAAACACAAAUAAAAUAUAUUAAAUGGUGAUUAUAAGUUGAUGUUGAAAUUCAACACUCCCCUCAUCACCAACUUAUUUUAAAAUUAACGUGUCAUUUGAAAUAAGGGCUAAUUUAAACACAGAUAAAAACAUAGGGGUUUAUUUGGGUACAACAAAAGUAAACUAGUUCAAGGACUCUUUUAACAAUUUAACCAUUUGCUGAACAUUGUCCCAUUGGAAGACCUUGACUUUUGUGGGUAAAAUAUACAAAUAAAGAAGACUGUCAUUUCCUGGAAAGUGUGAAAGUGACAAUUUUCUUGACUCAGAUAAUUAGCUAAUCUCCUCCACUCGUUGCCUUUGUUAAAUCUCAUUUUCUCAUUGUCAUUUAAUUCUAGAAUACCAAAGCUCCCUUUGUGUACUUUCCUCUCUCCUUCCCAUCUUCUUCUGGUCAAAUGAUGCGUUAAGUUUUCUUAACCUUUGAGGUGAAGACACAUGCCUUAACUCAAAAUUUAUUUUCUCAUAGGUUCUAGUAUGAUAAAAUUAUCGUGACUUUAAUAAAAUUAGAAUUUAGUUGAGAAAAUAAUUUAAUUGAAUGAAUGAAUUAAAUUUAUUUUAAUUAAUUAUAUAAAUAAUAUUUUUACAAUGAAAACUUGAUAUUGGGUUGGAUAAUUAAAUGAGUUGAUUUAAGUUUAUAUAGACUUGAUCAUGGGUCGAGCCGGUGCAAAAUUUUAGGCCCAUUUUCUAAGCCCGGCCUGACCUACCCGUAUUAAUUUCUUUAGAUUGUUUUUAUGUAAAGAUAAAUUUAAAAAAUAUAAUACAUCAAAUACACUAAAAAUAUUAAAAUAAAUGUUUCUCAAUAAAUUAAAAAUAUAUUUUUAAAAUAAAUAUUUAUACUUAAAUAAUACUAAUACAGUUGCAACUCAACAAUCAAAUGUUUUUAAAUAGUAGCAAAAUUAACAAUAAAACAAAAAAUUCAAUAUCCAAACAAUAACAAUAAAAUAUUAACAAUACGAUAAUAAAAUUGUAACGAAACAACAAUAUAACAGCAGCAAACAACAACAGAAAAGAAAUAGUCAAAUUCGAGCUGGGUCAAAAUAUCUAGCCCAAGACCCGAGCUAUUUAGGAAAUGUGCCAAUAUUGGUAAGUUGAAUAAUAUUUUACUCAACAUUUACGUUCUAACACAUAAACUAUUAUUUUCCAGCUUUUAAAUUAAUUGCCAAUGAUAGAAAUAUGAAGUGCUUUAAUUAAUUAAAACCAACCAGAAUCACAUGCUCUACAAAUAGCUUGUGAUUUAUUCUUUGGUGCAUUAUCAACUUACCUUUUUCCUUAUGCAUUUUACAAGCUAUAUGUACGGUUGUGAUGCGCAACUUUUGUGGAACUUCCAUGAAAAUUCAGCCCAGGGGUGGUAGCUGCUUUGAUUUAUCCAAAUUCCUACAUAUGUAGCUUCGAGGAAGCAAAGAAGGUUUAUUAGUCAUUUUGAAAUUGGUGUCAAAAGCAAAAGCAACCCUUUUUUUUUCCUCAGCCAAUAAAAAUAUUUUAUUAAUAAGUCUUUAUCACCUCACCAAAAAAAAAGUGAGUUUCCAUGCUUUGGUGCAUUAUCAACUUUUACUUGUCCUUAUGCAUUUUGGAACAAUAUGUAUGACUGUAAUAUGCAGAUUUUCUUUGUAAAUUCAGCGAAAAAACAAAAGAAAAAAGGCGAAGAUUCUUGACAUCUUUGUAGCAUAUUUUUUUUGCAAUCAAUGAAUUAAAAUAAGACAAUUUUUAAUCUCACUCGUGGCAUUAAAAUAAAAGCUCCACUACAAAUGCUGGUGUACGACCUAUUUUUCACAUUUAUUAAAAGAGGAUUACAUUUUUAAUUUGAUUCUAAAUAGGGCCUUAUUUUAUAUUAUUAUAAUAGUCCAAACUAAUUUGGGCAUCAAUAUUUUGUGCUUUGAAAUUUACUUAAUAUCCAUCAACUAGAUUUGGUUACAAAAUCAACUUGUAACUUUUUUUUUCCUAUAGAUGAUUUGCUUAGACUAAUAUACUAAAUAAGUCAUAAGCUUUAUUCAAUUAAGCUCUUAAAAUUUUAUGGGUAAAUUAUCUCGUUAGUUAUUUUAAAUAAGGGUCAUUCCUAUUUUGGUUGCUCUAAUAUUUUUGUUAAUUUGGUAAUCCAAAAGGGAAAUUGAUCACUCUUCUGUAAAACGAUAAUGGAAUAUUGAUUGUGUAUUUCCAUAUUAGUCAUGCUGAAAUUUUUAUGAUGGAAGCAAUUUUUGUUUUAAAAAUUCACGUCAGUAUUUCAAUUGGAAUAAUUAAUAGUAAUAUUUACUUGGAUUAAUUGAUGAUAUUAUUGUAGUAAAGGAUCAAAUUAUUCCAUUUUAAAGUAUAAAAAUAAAAAUAUAAAUUUAGGAAUAAUAAUAGGACCAAAACAAAAUUUUAAUUGUAAGGACUAAAUUAUAAAAUCUAGAAAUUUUAGAAAAGGGACUGUUUUGUAAAAUUGUACAAAAAGAGGUUUAGAACUGAACUGCAGAAUAAUAAAAUCUAUUUUUGAGGAAUUAAAUUGCAGAAUAGUAGAAUUUUAGAUUCCAGGGACUAAUUCGUAAAAAUAUAAAAUUGAAAUAUGAGGGACUAUUUUCUUCGACAGUGAAGAGACCUUUCCUUUUGUUGCUCUAAAAGCUUCUCCUUUUUGUUUCUUCGACAGUGAAGAUAGUCAAUAUAGUCUUAUUAGUUUGGAAAAUGUCUUAUGGAAAAAAAAAUUGGUAAGAUAUUUUCCUUGAAAAUGUCUUGAUUUUACAUUUUUUUUCAAGAAUGAUUUCCUUUAGUAAUUCAUUUUCCACCAAAUAUAGACGGUAAAACAAUGAAAAUAUUUUACAUACAAACAAAUAGACCAUUAAUUAGAAAAUCGAUUCGAUUCUAUAUUUAAAAUAAAUGUUGGCAAGCAUAUUUGUUGGUAAAAAAUCUAUUAGACUCUCUGAUCAAUUUUGGCAUUAAGCAAAUUGGAGUCGCUUAAAAAAAUCGAAGCAAUUUAAAUCCCAUCAGUUUCUACAGUGAGUAAUUAAGGAUAAUUAAUCACAACAUUGAUGUUUUCCAUCAAAUGUAAAUAAUUUUAAUUGGUAUAAUAACAAAUUUACCCCUCAAAGUUUACAAUUAUAUCACUUGUCUUGAUUUAACAAAUUUAGCCAGCAAUAUUUGUGUAAAUGUUUAUACUAAACUUGUUGAAUUUUCAGAAUUAAGACCAAAUUGACAAAAAUGCAAACAUGGCUAAAUUUUUUGUUAUAUCAAUCAAAAUUAUGUACAAUUGACGAAAAAUAUUAAUGUCGUGAAUAAUUGUUCUUUGUUGCUCACUUUUGAAAUUAAGAAUGAUUAAAUUGCUUUGAUUUUUUUGAGAGGGACUAAUUUAUUCAAUUUCAAAAUUGAUAGAGAUUGGAGAUAUAUUUUUACGCAAACACACCUUACCUUUGUUCAGAAGAAAGGACUAAACAGGAAACCCCCAAAAGCACAAAGAAAAUCUAUCAUGGUUUCACCUAAGAAAAAUAGAAAUACAACAUCCUUCCUUCCAAAGACUUUUCAUUUAGGGGAAAAAAGUGGCGAUUAUUCUUGAGAAAGUUGUAGGAAAUUUAAGUUGAAUUCACCUAAAAUUGUCCAAUUAUUCUUAAGAAAGUUAUACCAAAUUUCAGUUCAAUCGACCCAAAUGACAAAGUGUGUAAAAGUCAAUAUUUUUUGUUAGAAAAUUUAUAAGAAAUUUUAUCACAACCCAAAACGAAAUUCAAGAAUGGUGACAAAUUUUUUUUUUGAAGUUAUACGUUUGAUUACAAAAUCAAUUAAUAUUUACUUUUUGUAGAGAUGAUUUAUCGCAUUAUUUAAAUAAUCUCUUGUACUUUUAUCAUACCCCAAAUAAGCCUUUAAAGUCUAAAUAACCCUCAAGUUUUUUACCUGUAUCUAGAUAAGUUUUAGCAUUCAAUUUAUAGGAAAAUAUUUAGUAUAUUGAUAAUAGAGGUUUUAGACUUCACAACUUGACAAAUUUUUAUCAGUAAAAACUCAUCGGCUAUGCUUCACCCUUUCAAUCUCAUUCCCAUUUAACUGACUCACUUUUUCUUCUUACCAUUACAAAAAUAGAAGCAAAAGCAAAGCUCCCUCAGUUUAUUUUGUUCUCUUUUCCUCAAUCUCACAAUCCACUAUCUGUUUUGCCCUUUGCUCGAUUUCGUAAUCUUCUUCGGGUUUUGCCUAUCGAGAAGAUGAGUGAAUGUUAGAGUAUAGAUAAAGACUCUAUUAGUUUAUUAGUUGUUAGUCUGUUAUACAAGCAGUUAUGCUGUUAACUGAAAUUGUUAGUAGCAAUUACUCAUACACAUAUUAUCAAUACUAUUGUUAUACUGGUUAAAUUCAAGAUAAUAAUACAAAAAUCAUUCUCUGCAUAUUCUAUUUUUCUUUCAACUUAAUGUAGAUAUUAACAUAAAGCAAGGUUGUGCCGUAUGCCUACUUUUUUAUUGUCUUACAUUAUAGAUGUGCUUUUUACUUGCAGAGUUUAAAGCAAGGUAGUAUAAGUCAGCCAAAACCUGGGGAUUAAGCUUUGACUUUUUAAAUAUGCUACUAUGAAGGGAAUGAAGAUGGCAGUGAUCGGUGUAAGAAAAACAGAUGAGGAAACAGAGAGUCAAGAGGGAAUUAAUGGCAGAUCUUUGGAAAGGCCAUUAUGCUUGGAAUUUUAGCUAUUCAAAAAGAGAGGGAAUGAAGAUGGCAGUGAUCGGCGUAAGAAAAACAGAUGAGGAAAUAGAAAGUCAAGAGGGAAUUAAUGGCAGAUCUUUGGAAAGGCCAUUAUGCUUGGAAUUUUAGCUAUACAAAAAAGAGAGGAAUAAGUAAGCUUCUAAUUUCUUCUACUGAAUUAUUGUCAUAUAUUUGUGGUUAAGCUGAGAUAUUGAGGCUUUAUUGCAACCUGUUAACAGAUUUGGCUUGUUGAUAUCAUUCAACUCUGAUAAUUUUAUAUUGCAUUAUUUACAGAAAUCUGUAGGUGUUUAGCUUAGCUGAACAUGUUAUGCGGCUGCAAUGUGGUGUUUGUGUCUUGAAACAAGCGAUGCGAUUUUCUAUAGCCAUUUGCUGCGUACAGUAAGUCUUCGUUGUGAAUUUACAGUCACUGUUUUGGGAGAAUGAUGUUAAGGGGGUGCUGGAACUCCAGCAAUCGUAAAACGUGGCUGUGAUUCGAGCUAUUAUACUGUGCUUGAAGCUUCGAACUAGAGCAUGACAGUUUCAUUGCGUAUCAAUUCAACCUCAGAUUCUUUGGGGGACGUAUCCGAGCUAAUUAAUUGGUCCAUCAAGUGAAAGAUAUCGAUUUUUGAAAAUGUCUUGCUAAGGCAGCGGCCAAGGAUGGGGUGGAUUGGAUUUUAAUGUUUAUGGAAUGGUAUUUAUUGGCAUUAUACAUUAUGUUGUACUGUUGUUUUUUGUUUACUGUGUUGCUUGUAAGCUGUAACUUUUACACUUGGUUUCCUUUAUUUUAUAUGAUCUUCAAACGAUGUUUAAUCAAAAAUUUUCCACUUGAUUGUAGACUUCAUUGUGUGAAACUUAAUCAAUUUCAUUAGAUUGUAAAAUUAGGUAGUCUUAAGAGUAUAUUGUAAUUUGAUAUUGCUAAUUUUACAUAAAGGUCCAUGGAUAAAUUAUACAUUGCGAAUUCUACAAAUGUUU
RNAcentral lists this long non-coding RNA (95242 nucleotides) under Gossypium barbadense (sea-island cotton). RNAcentral describes it as "long non-coding RNA (GBAR_LNC020387)". Lineage: Eukaryota; Viridiplantae; Streptophyta; Magnoliopsida; Malvales; Malvaceae. The record is from RNAcentral.